CUCCGAGUUUACCUGUAUAUAAAUAUUAAAAGCUCUCCUUCCAAGGCUUUGAUAACUUUUGUUGCCUGUGAACAUUAUCUCCGCAAAAUGAAGGGUUACAUUGUGGGGCCCAUCCAUCAGACAAAAACCGUAAUAAGUUAGAGAGAUGGCAGAACGUCGUGCUUUUAUGUAAAGUUGGGCAUCAUUCAUGGACAGUGUGGAUGUGUUUUUAACUUCAUAGCUAACUGCAGUGCUAUCGUCAUUGGUGAAGUAACCAGUGCUACUGUAGGCCUAAUAAUCACUCCUGAAGAAACUUGGAGGUGUAGCCCUCUGUGAGUCAUCUUCGUAUGUGGUGCCCCUUACCUUUGCUUUGCUCCCACCGCAAUUUAUGAAGAGGUUAUACCGAGCUGGAUGGAGUAAAGAAGCAGCCACAGAGAAAAUUCAGUUUCUUCUAUUUGUUAAUAUGGAGUGGACUUUCCAGACACACUAAUUAAGCUAGCAUUCACUCAUUGGAAAAUUACAUAGAAACUCCCAAGUUAUGAGCAACCCAUUAUUUCAUGCAGGUAGCUUUUGAAAUUAUUAGGGUAAUUAUGCAUCAACCAUCAAAGAUUGACACAAUAGCCAAGAGGAGAGUUGACAAGGAGAUAAAUUUGAUGAGAAAUUACAGAGAGAGUAAGAUGCAAUAUUAGAAUCUGAUGAUAAUGAUAAGAUAUGUCAGAAUAAUUUAAAUAUAAAAUCACGCAGUCAUCUAACAGUUUAAGCUUUUAAAACAGUUGACCGUGAUCUUAUAAAAUCCUCAUAUGGUAUCAGAGAUGGAUUUCAUGAGUUCAAAUCUUUCGCAGCCUCAUUUGCCUCCCUAAUUAAAUAUGUCCACAUUUCAUCUAAUAAUUUAAACUUUUAAAACAGUUAGCUGUAGUCCCACAAAAUUUCAUAGGAUAUACAACACGUCAAUUUACUUUUUAUACAACAAUGACUCUGCAGCAUAUUAACUUACCUUUUGCACAACAUUGACUCUGCAAACAUGAGACAAGUCCACUUGUGGCAGAACAUGAGGUUCUGAGCAAGUCAGCAAAGAUUUUACUGUUCAGAUUGGGAGAUUUCACUAAUCCAAUAGGACUGAAACUAAAGCUAAUCAUAAUUUGUUGAAAACAUCUCCUUCACAAUAUAUUAUUUAUGAAUAAAGGGAUGUCAACUCAAUACUAGGGUGCUUAGAAAAGGAAAUAUCAGCUUCAGUGAAUAAAAAAAUAAAGAAUAAAAUGAGGAUUUCAAAAAACAGGAAAGAGAAUAGAGUAUGUGAUAAGCCGCAGCAGAACCACAGAAAUUUGGUCAUUCAAGAAUGUCAGAAAAACUAAAAAUUAAAGCUCCAUUUGUUUCGUGAAAAAUGUAACAUUUUUAGAAAAUAUUUUCCAUGAAGUUAUUUUUUUAGGAAAAUGAAAAUAUUCCGGUGCUUGACUGAAAUCCUGAAAAUACCCGGAAAAUAUGUUCCAUUGUUUAGUAUGGAAAAUUUAAUUUGAUUUUCUAGGAAAAAAUUGCCAAAAAAAUCGAAUUUUUUAAUUUAUUUUUUUAAUCCUUUUCUUUUAACUUCUUCCUCGGCCGGUUGUCAGCUAUGGCUACAGGCCACGGGAUAAAAAAAUAUUUCUAUAAGAACAAACAUUUCAUUAACUAAGGAUCCGAACUUGAGCACCAAGGACCUGCACACGGCCUUCGCGGACUCAAUCUAAGUGCUGGGGACUAGAGCUUAAGUGUCAAGGACCCAAGCACUGCUUUUAUGUACUCGGGGUCAGGCACCAGGGCUUCAGGCCCGGGCACCAGGGCUUCAGGCCCAGCCUCAAUGGACUAGGCUUGGGCGCUGAAGACCUAGUUCUGAACGCUGAGGACCAAGAACCAGGCGUUGGGGUUCCCGUGUCCAAGCAAAGAGUUGCGGGUCCAAGCACCGAUACCAACUCAUAGUUUGGAAAAUGUUUUCCGACUUUUUCAAAAGUGGAAAUCAUUUCCUAAAUUUAAACAUAGAUCUUUCAUUGACUUGGAAAACAUUUUCCAUUAAGUCAUUUUCCUAAACAAACCAAAUGCUGGAAAAUCAGGAAAAUGUUUUUCGCGAAACAAACAAAGCCAUGACAGAAUGGCAAAAUGUUGCUGUUAAAAGUAGCGUUUAUUAAAUCUUACAGAGAUGACCACAUGAACAAGAAGAAUUGACUUGUAUAGAGAUGCAUUUGAAGCCAUGCUCUUGUUUGAACUAUGAAUGUUAUGUCUGACAAGUGUACAACAGUCAAGCAUAAAACUCCAGCUAGAUAUUGUAGGACUGAGAUUCGAGAAUGUAAACCACCGGAAGGAAAGUUUCCAGACAAUCAACCACUAGAAGCCUCCAUUUUGCAUUAAUGCUCUUAAGAAGUUAAGAUAACAUAUCAAAGCAAAAGUAAAUUAGACGAAAUGGGAAACCACAACAAAGGCAAGAAUUCUUGCUGGCAAAGUGAAAACAAAGAGACUGUUAGAAUAUUUAAAUAACAAACCACGCUUUCAUCUAAUAGCUUGAACUUUUAGAAGAGUUGACAAUAGUUCUACAAAUUCUCACAGAGAGAAAAAGUCCAUAUACUUUUGUGCGAAACUGUAUAUUCUACAGCAGAGGCCACAAUCACCAAGAAUUUAAAUGUCACAUCAUUAACAAUUCAGCAAUAUCAACAGAAAAUAUCAAAACACCAUUGAAGUCAGUAAGGGACCUUCAAGCCAUCUUGAAUGGGUUCUUUAACUGCAACCAAUAGUCAAUCAAAAACUAAUAGGAAUUUCACUCCUUAAGGGUAAAAUUAUUUAUUCUGCUUGGAAUAUCCUAAGGGAAAAGCCGCUUUCUACUCACAAUAUAUAUAGAUUUGUCAUAUUUGCUAGAUAACCAGGUAGCUCUCCCAUGAGAUUGCAGCUCCUCAGAAUCCUAUAAGAAAAUAAUACUGAUAUUGUCACAUUGCUAAGACAAUUUGGCUCUUUUGCAUAAAGUAAACUAUCUGUGAAGGAGCAUCGAUCUCACAGUAUACAAAUAUAUGUAUUGUUAAUUUGUGGAACACGAGACUCGGGUCCAUCAAGGUCACUUAUUCUCCUGCAUAUCAAAAUCAAAAAGGAGCUCUAUUUGAUUGAUAACAUCUUAAAGAAAGAGAGAUUAGAUCAAAUGCCAAAAUUACAUACUGACAAGUCGUUCAAAUGCUCCAAAAGUGCGAUCACAGAGGGAAUCGGCCCUUGCAAUCCACUUCCUUGAAUAACCCUGAUGAUACAAUUCAUAGAUGGAAUUGUCUUGGGGGUAUAUCUAUAAAGACCAACUUAAAAGGGGAAGAAGCAUUAAGCCUUACAGUGUUUGGAGAUUUGUCAAGUUCUGAAUGAAAUCGGGUAUCUUUCCUGAGAACUGAUUAUCACCAAGUUGCCUACAGUGCAUUAAACAACAUGAUUCAUAUGAAGGAGAACGAAUAGAAAUGGCUAAAUAUUAGCUGAGUUUGUGGAUACUGGAAACUAACAGGUCAGCCAAUUUUGUGAAGUUAACAAAUGUUUGAGGCAGCUCCCCUGUGGAAUUAUUUGACGUAAGCCACCUGAAACAAGAAAAACCCAUGACAACACAUUGGUUAAUAGAACCUGAAUGCUGUAUCUCUCAACAGAUCACUCCAAUGGAUAAAAUUCCCUCGCCAGAUACAAAAUCAUCAGCGAAUAAAAACUCGAUGCCUAACACAGAAUUUUGCAUCAAGAGAGACUCACAAAUAAUAUAACACGGACAAGUUCCCGAGCUCUGGAGGAAGAGGUCCAGAAAGCCAAUUGCUUUCGACGACUCUGAGUGGAAUAUGAAAGUUAAAAUCUUGACACAUCAAUCAAAUUUAAAAUAGCGAAGAGGCCAAAGGCGAGCGUCGGGAUGAGUGGUCACUCACAAAUGCAGAAGUGUGGAUAUGUUCCCCAACUCCUUCGGGAUUGGACCAGUCAAUCGGUUUCGGGUACAUAACUGCACCCACAUCAUCGCGUUUCCCCCAAUCAAACAAUAGAACAUACACUCGUGAGAGAGAGAGAGAGAGAGAGAGAGAGAGAGAGAGAGAGCAUACAUGUAUUCCAACUUCGUAAAGCCCCAUUCUUUAGGAAUUGUGCCGUUCAGGUAGUUGCGGGAGACAUCACUGUUUAUAGAGAGAGAGGAUGAAGAAGAAGAAAGAGAUCGAAAAUGGAGAAAGAGAGUACUUACAAGACCUGGAGGAAAGGCAAUCUGAACAGUUGAGGUGGAAGGGUGCCGGCAAGAGAAUGCUCCCGAAGUCGUCUGUUUAAGCAAUGACACAAAGGCUUUAUUCUAGCUUUACUUAAAAACUAGGCAUCAAAAUGAUGUUACAAAAUGGCUUUAUUACAUCUAUUGAUAUGUAUACAUAAAUCUCAAUUGAUUCUAAAUGAAAAAAUUCUUCAAAAAUUGCCUAAAAAAAGGUACGAAGUAACUCUCAAGCCAUGCCAAUUGGGGCAAGAAUCUACUUUGGUAAUGGUAUACUCACUUUUAUCACUUCCACCGCUAUGCUUUGUAGCAGAGAAAGAACAGAAGGAAUAAGAUCAGGAAUUGAUAGACAGAUAUCUGUAUCCUUGUAAACUAGUACGGACAAUGCAGAAACAGCUCCACUUGUAAUUUGAGGUGAUGAACCAGAAAGAUAGCCCACUAUCUGAAAGCUAAGCAACCAAUAGGAUCCUGAGAAAUCAAAACUGAGCAUGAUAAUCUAACUCAUAUUAUGUAUGUCAAUUACUAAGCAAUGGGAAAAGUAAAAGGUAACCCGUGAGCAUUGACUGAAUAUAUCUCAGAGUCGAAGUUCUUUAAGACGGCUACUCAAUACAGCUUCCUUUUGCUAAUUCAAUGCAAUCCACGGGACUCAAUCCUCUCUUUCAAAAAAUUCAUUCGCAAAAUUAUUGAACGCUUUAUAGCGCCCAGAAGUUUGAUCCAAUUAACAAAGCAUCCACAAAGUUCUAUAACUCACAUGCAUGACGAUCCCUUCCACAAUGACCAACCUAAUCUAUCUGACCGAAUCUAGUACUUCAAAGUAUUUUGGUGUUCCAUGGUGAGUUCAGGGAGGGUAGACACUUGAUACACAACAUUGAUGCCACUUCACUUCUCAUAGCUUUAAUUCUUUUUAACUUUUCCUUUGAGGUUUUCUAAUAACAAGUACGUGAUCCAAUGUUUCAAUGCCAAACCAACCUCACAUAACUUUGACUUUUUCUUUUUCCUUUUUUUAUUUUCUUGGGGUCCAUUUCUAAAGAAUAAUUUGUUGUCAAUAAGAAUAUAAUAAAAAACCAUAAAAAUUCUAGCUUAUGCAUGGCUAUCAUGCUUCUAACAUAUGUUUUUUGGUAGGAAUGCUUCUAACAUAUGUUUCUACCACACAAAAGCAAUACCAUUAUUUUCCUUCACCAUUUUACAUUAAAAUAUAAAAUUACAACCAUCAAAUAUAGAAAAAUAACUAAUCAAGUAAAAUAAUAUUAUCUAAUCCAAAUUUUAAUGAUAUGAACUUGUUUUUGCGCAUGUUAACACAAAUUUCAACUUGCUUAUAAUAUUUUACAAAUUUAAAAGAAAAGGACAUGAAAAAGUUCAAGUUGAAUCUUAAAUUGAUAGUCAAAAUUAUAUUUUCUCAAAUCAGUUCAACUAUAGCUUCCUGAAGUGACAGGACCACAUGUCCUAUAGAAUCACCCUAAUUUAUCAUGCCAAAAAAAGUUGCAUUAAUCUCUUUAUACCAACCAAACUUACUUUCAACAGUCAUGGAAUGUUGCAUUAUUUUAAACCUACUCGGCCUAUUCUCCACCUAAUGAUUUUCUCCAUAUACAUAAUUUUUCAUCUGAAGAUUCGAUAUUGUCAAUGGCAUGAGAAAAGGAAAGACAAUCAUGCCAAGUAGAGGAUUCCAAGUAAGUUGUAUAAUUUUAGGAUCACUGCAUCUUGAAUUCACACUUCAUUCUAGGGGGUCAAAAGUAUAUAACUAUUCCGACAGUGAAGGUUUUCUCUUAAUUUUCUGAUUAUUUAAAAGCUGCUGUUGUCUGGUGGGGCACACUUGGGAACCAUUCUUUCAUGCAAAGCAGGGAUGGAACAAUAUUUUCCCCAUAGGGCAGGGAAUGGGAACAAAAUUCCGGGCCUGCUCCUCCCAAUGGCAACCACUAGUGUGUGCAAUUCAAAAAGUACCUUGAAUGAUGCAAUCAGAAGUAUUAAUUGUACUUAAGGAAAAUUUACAACUCAAAAGGGCUGGAGGGAGGUCUAAAAACACGACAGAAACUUCUAGCUAGAAUCCCAAAAUGUUUUAAGCUUCCAUAGGAUAUCAAAUAGCACAUAAUGACCUAAUAUAUAUCCAUGUAGCCAACCCCAUCUACGUGAACUGUCUCCACAAUACUUUCUGCAGCACUUAUAAGAAUGAUGCGGCCUCACUAGGAAGGAGAUUAGGCAGGUCUGAAUCUCACCAACCCAACAAUCAAAUUUAGCAUGUCAACUGCCUCAUACUAAACAGAAACCUUUGAAUUCCUCUCUACUUCUUCCAGCAAUUAACAUUGACAGAAAGAACUCCUACUAGUUAUACUAUUUUCAAUCUGGACAGGACUGAGGGAGAUGGAGCUUGGAUUAUCAUAGAGUAUUAGUAUCCUAUUAUUAUCUUAUAGUGCACAUGAGUCCUAUUAGCAUCUUUGAGAUGAGGCAUAUGCCUAAAAAAUUGGAGAAAAAGUUCAGACACCCAAAGUAAGUAGAAAAUUAUGACUAUGAAAGGGGAGAGGAGAAAACAAUUGCGCAAUAACUAGUAAGAAAUUUAGUAUAGAGCCAAAAAUGACUUUAGUGAUUGAGGGAGAACCUUCAAGUAUGACCUUGUCGCGGGAAUGGAAUUGACAAAUAAGUCCAAUAAAAGUUGAAGCAACUCAGUAGAGCAUGAACUUAAAGCCUUGAUAUUUCUGCUUGCAGUUUUCUUUGAGUAAAUCGUUAGAGUUCGCAAUUCUAAUCCGGAUGCUUGAACAUUACAGGUGUCUAAAUCUUUAACUACUCUAGAGCCGAGUACACUUGUAUUCUGAUUCACAAGGAUCUGCAGAAUUAGAACAGUACUAUCAGGAGAUAUGAAAAUGGGAUAACAACCUCUUCCCAGUAAAGAACAAGUGUGAGCCAAAUGUCACCAAUGUGGCAAGAAAGAUCACCUUUAAAGCAAGAGCCACACUUUCAUGCAUAAAAGAAUAUUUUUUAAGAAAAUCAGUCAAUAAUACUGCCAAAUGUCUAAACUGUUUGUCUGUAUCACUUGAAACCCGGCAAAAGGCUGGUAACAGUUUCCAAAGGUCAUGAGCAUGACCCAGCAGCUCCUUACCAAGUACUGAUUUCUUAACUGGAGAAAAAGAUAAACAGAAGCACAAUCAAAUCCCUGAUGUCACUAAAAUGUUAAUGAUGAACUGAACAAAACUCAAAUCAAGUAAUGCUGAUUAAGGACUCCACUACAUACAUGAACAAUCAGCAUUCAACCAAAGCUCACACUAAAAAAUAUGCAUCAAGGAAGGAAAAGUUAAUGUCACAGAGGCAGAUGAAGAAUAAAAUUGCAUAAACAACAAUAUUUUGCUCCCCAGGCCUGUCCCUCCUAUCAAAUAUCUACAGAAUGCAAAAAAAACAUGCCUUGAGAUGAACAAUUGCAAUAAGAAAAUAUGAUAUGCAUAAUUCAAUGGGUAUCAUAAGCCAAGUAAGGGGAGGUCAACGCUUUGGGAUGGCACCUAUCAAAUGGGAUCAACAUAUAUGAAAAAAAAAAAAAAAUCAAGAAGUUGACAGUUCUGUUAUAAUGUUUCAGAAAAGCUUUCAGCACAGCUUACAGGCAGGUUGAAUUACCCAGCUUGAUAAGUCUAUGGAGACUCUUAUUGAAGACUAAAGCUCCUUUUAACAUAGCUUGUGAACAUGCAAAAAUGAUCUCACAUGAUGAUGAUCUAUUGCGAGGAGUUUAUGAUGGACAAAAAAGUUUUUGUAUUGAGUUUUGGUUAAACACACGGAAUUUUGUGCACUUAUUCCUUAUAAAAUGUGUCUCCUGUCAAAGAACACUUAGUGGUGCCUUUGCAAAAAGCAGGACUUUUACCCUGCUUAAACUGAUUUGAAUCUGAAUACGGAUUUAAAGAUGGAGAUUCUAGGUUGCUUUUAAUUGAUAACUCAUAAGUUAUGCACAACCAGUUGUGAAUCUGUGCCAAACAGCCAAGGAUCUCCACACUUAUUAUGACGUCAAAUAUGAUAUCUGAAAAAUGAAAAUCACGGAAACAAAAGUCAUGUAGAAUGAUGACAUACCUCCAGAACUAGCACGCUUGAAACAUUUUGCGAGGGGCACAAUAUAAUCCAUGUAAUACUCAAGUGAUGAACCAACCACAUAAUCUCUUAGAAUGGCCACCAACCAAACAUUACUAGAACUAAAAUUGUUGGGAUGCAGUGAAAUAGGCACAACAGAAAGCAUCUUUUCUGGGCCCAUAGCAAUUACAGCAGAACCAAUACAUCUCUGAAGCUGUGUAUCACAGUAAAUUGAACACUGAUAAGUUACCAUUCAAACAAUCUUCAAACUACACAAGUAUUUGUUUUAUAAAGCUAGACGGUCAAUUAUUUGUUUCAUCAGAUAAUGGCAAAGUACUAUGCUCAAAGCUCUGUUAACUAGUCAUGUACCCAAUUUAGUAAAAAAAGCUUUUGUUAAUCCUUAUAUGUAAGUAAAAAAAUAACCUGCUGUUAACGCUCCAAUCAACAAUUCAAUCUAACUCUAACAAAAUUCAUGACGACAAGUCGAUUUGGAGUUUGCUAUGAACCCCAUCUUCUUCUUUGCACACUUCAACAGGAUAAACAUAUGAAGCAAAGAUGACUUGAAAAAUCAAAUUUUGGAGAGCAAGAUCAAGUAAUAGCCUUUACAUCAUUCUCUUGAAAAUCAAUUUCGAGAUCAACACAAAUCAAUUCCCUUUACAUCAUUCUCUUUUUCCUUUAUACAUGAAAUUAAAUCAAUAACAAGGCAGCAAGGAGGUGCAAACCCAAGUACCAAAGAAAUCAAGAACCAAAAAAAAAAAAAAAAGCUCAAUUCAUCAAUAAUGACAAUAAAUGCAUCUACAUCGACAUGCAUGUUUUCAAGUCGCAUUUCCACUUCCAUAAGAACAUUGACAAAAAACAAGGACAAAACAUAUUGCCUUCUUCCAUGAGUAACCAGCCUCGCUAUGAAUGACAACGUCAUCACAUAAUUAAGUACUUUUGUUGCUUCAAAGAGCAAUACAGUGACUUUAUUCAAGAACUUUAUCCAUUCAUAACAUACUCAUAAUUUCAGCAGCAAUUUUAAUGACAGAAGGAACACCACUGCACUGACAUGCCAUGUAGAGAGCUGAACCAGAGGCGAAUUGGGCCAUCACACUCUUAACUACAGAUGAUAACGGACAUUUUCAGAUGCUCUUUACUAGAAUAUGACAAGAAUACUGUAACGCAAACUUGCACACUGCACGAACUUAAAAAAAAGCUAAAGAUGAUCCUACAGAAAUAACAGCUUUCACACCAAUGACAUUUCUCAUGCCAAUAAAUUUCUAAAGCAUACAAAUACGUACAUGGCCUGUGAUAGAUGGGCCCCUUUCAGCUGAGGUUAUUAAGUGAACAAGUUUGAGCAAGAUACUCCUCAUAUAGAUGUAAGAAGUUUUUCCUACACACAUUUAGAGAUGAGAGGAGAGGACUGUGUAAAUCAGUUUGUGGUCAUAUUAACAAAGAUAAUCAAAUGAGAAAAAAUAGUAUUUAUACACUUUAAGAAUAGUGCAUGUGAAAUAAAUCCUGAACAAUCUCACACGUCAUUCUAUACUAGCAGAGGAAAAGCACUGUCACCCGCAACCAAUGUGGCAUUAUUAAAAAAAAAAAAAUGUCAUUCCACAAUUCAAAUGAACUUCCAAGAGACAACAAUCUUCUUUUUCAAGGAAUAGGAAAAUGAAGGAGGUAUGUAGACCUAGCUAGUCCAAAAGAACAGACUGAUGAAAGAAAUGGGCAAAAUCCAUGGUAAAUCCAGUACUCAUGAUUCAGGACAUUCUAAUCUAAACUUUAAAUAAUUUUUAACAUGUCUGUACAGGAAAACUCUCCAAAAAAAUUGCAGCUUAAUCACUAAAGUCAAGUUCAAACUGACACCUUACGAAGAUCAAAGAGCAACACCCAGGACUUUAGAACUUUUACAGUGAAAAAUCAUCAAUUGCUGAUCAUAUCCUGUUUGAAUUCCAACAUGCAAGACAAAGUACUUUUGAGAACUUGAAACUGUAAACCUCAUGCAAAGGUCAAAACUCAAUUCGAGUAGAAGUCCAGUUCUGCGUAAUUUAUUGCAAGGUAUGGCACUAAUACAUAUUUCUUUGCUAAAGUUUGACAUUUNNNNNNNNNNNNNNNNNNNNNNNNNNNNNNNNNNNNNNNNNNNNNNNNNNNNNNNNNNNNNNNNNNNNNNNNNNNNNNNNNNNNNNNNNNNNNNNNNNNNACGAAGAAUGCCUUCCAGCUUAUUUAGUUGUUGAAAAACAAACCAAAAAUACAGCCACAGCAGAGCUCGUAAGCCUCUACAAUGUUGAACAUUAUCAGCAAGCCCACAACAAAUAGAAUUGAAAGUAAGAACCGCAGAAAGUAGUUGCCAAGAAGUCAAGAUGGAGAAACAUAGAGAAUUAAUAUGGGUUCAGACGGAAGUAUAAGCCAUUUCUUUCAUAAUCGAAUUCAGAAAUUGACAUACAGUAGUCCUUGAUCAAUGUCUGGUAGAACUUAAUCAUGCCAAUCAUACAAAUCACAAGAAACAAAGAACAUUAAAUAUAUUGAGCUUGAGUUAUUUCAUGACAAAGCAAAGGGUUAAUACAUGUAUUUGCAAUUGACAAAUGGCAAGAAAUGAAGAUCUUCUAUAGCAUACAAGAAAUCAAGAUGUAUGCAUACCAAGUUUGAGGUACAAAAGAGAGAUUACAGAAAGUGCAUGCUGAUUUGGAGUUUCGCCAUGGGCACUGAGGGCACUUUCCAAAGCAAUACAUAUUCUCCUUAUUGCUAUUGUUUCCAGACUCUCCUCACUUACGUCAUCACUUGGUUGGCUCUCCAUAUGGAAAGUCUCUUCAUUUACUUGUUCAUUAAUCAAGUCCUUCAAAAUACUCAAGGCCUGCGAUGCAGCAUCAGCCUCACCAACGAGAAGUCCUAAAUUAGUAUAACCAAGUGCAUCAGAAAGCAAACACCGGGGUUAACAAUAUCAAAAGAUCAAGUGAACCAUCCACAAUCUCAUUUCCAGUAACUAAAAUUAACAAAAGAUAAAAGUAGAGUCCUUGAAAGUAAGCUUCCAAGUACAUCGGCCUAGGCUCCCGAGUGGUGGAGGUUCAUUUGUUUAACAAUCAAGGGAUAAUCCCAUACUUCCACUAUCUCAAAAAUGAUGUCUUAGACUCUUUGAUCGUUUUUUUUUUUGGUAGAAAGGGUAAUAAUUAUAUUGAGGAAAGGCAAAUGUACAGGAAAUCCCGGCACCGAAACUUACACUCAAGAAGAAAAACAACCUGAGUGGAAGGAUACCGGGACGUAAAAGGACCAACCGCAGCAAAAAUAGAGCCAUGCAACCAACAAAACAAGCACGGCAAACAGAAAGCCGGCACAAAGCUAGGGUGGCAGAAAGCCACACCAGAAAAACUAGCAAAAAACAACCCCCAGCCAGGUAGGAAGGUCGAGGAGAACUAACACCAAACAUGAUGGAGCAGCGCCUGCAACCACCACGCACAAAAAUCAACUAGCCAAAAUGAGGUCCCCAGAAGAGAAAUCAAUGGGGUCAAUAUCCCAAGAACGCUGUAGCCUCCUAUUUCUAAUGGAAUUUUCCACACCCCUGAAGGAAAGGGCCUUAUCUUUCACGGCUCUAAGCAGUUGCUUCUUCAUGGCCAAAACAGAAAUCGGCUCUCCCCUGAAUAGGAUAUUGUUCCUGUUCUUCCAAAUGAUGUGGCAAACCGCACCGAAGGGUAAUAAUAGACUCUUUGAUCUUUGAUAUACUGCAGUUGCACAAAAUUUCUUGUAAAAGGGAUGAUACCCAUUUGAGCCACUAUUUUUUCUAUCAUAACUCCUUCAUAACACCAUACAUAAGAUUUUGUUUCUAUCAUAACUCCUCCGUUCCACCAAGACAGAAAAGAUUGCAGUAAUGAUUUAAAAAAUAGCAGGAGCAAAAUAAUGAAGAAUGUUGACAGCAGAGAAAACCAAACGUAAAAUAAAAAAAUAAUAUGCGACAAAGGCUUGACUAUAUUUAGGAAAGUUAAUCAAUGAACAAGGUGCCAUAGAUUAAACUAAAGGGAGAACAUCUUUUGAUUAACAUAAAGAUCACAUUUUUUUGGUAAUAUAUAGAUGGUUUGACUUUGCUGCAUUGUCUGUUCAACCAUCAAACUUCAAUUUGCGUCAUGGCCAUCAACUACUGCCCUUUACAAUUCUUCCAAGCGUGUAGUCAUAAUUCCAAAACAUCAAUGACAUUUGAAUAACUUUGUAGAGUAUAGUAACAAGCAAGAUACACAUUUAAAAUUGAUGCACCUCCUUCCAUGCACCACUUUACACCACAAAAGGUAAAGCUUCAAUCAACAAAGUCAAUCAAUGAUAAAGAUUGAUACCACCAAUGUUGGAGAUUUAGGGCCUGUUUAAUUACCAUCCUAUUUUUAUAUUUUUCUGUUCUUUUGCUCCCCGGAGUAGAAAUAGAAUAGAAAUUCAUUUGGUAACAUCAGCUAAUUUUUCUAUUAGGAAUAGGAAAGUGGCUAGGGAAUAGAUUUGGAACAAAAUCAAGAAGAAAAAAAAAUAUAUUUCUUUGUUCUUGGGAAUAGAAAUGGAAAAAACUAUUUCUGAACAUAUAUUGUUCUCGGGAAUCCAAAGGUUACUAAGGGCACCCAUAGAAGUUAAUACAAAAUGUGACAAGGAAAUUCUCACCAACAAAGGAAUCCACCGUAGGAUACAGGACAGUAAUUUUUACAAAAAAAAAGUCUAUUUAUUGAGAAAUCUGCUCAAAUUAACGAAAGGAAUAGUAACUCAAGAAAUGAUUAGAGCAUAAACCCUACUUAUUAAAAUCAGCAAAAACAGAAUCAAGAGAAGAUUAAGAUAUUUGAAUUGUCCCCUAUUCCAUUCUUUUCCAAACUCACCAUGUAAGGCAAAGAGUAGGAGCAUUUUGGGCUGUUUUGAAAUGUAGAGAAGUAUGGGAAAACAUGACAUCAUUGUAGAACCAAGAUCGCAAAAUUAGCUAAGAAACUACCAAAACAAAGCAGUCGAAGCACUCCCUGCCCCAAGAAAGUUAAGAAGCAUACCUGCUAGAGACUCCCAAACUACAGGAAGGUUCUUAAUCCACAAGCUUGAUCCUCCAGUGUGGAAUUUAUUCAGAGCAACUCUUAACAAGUUUGCAGCAGUCAUGACUGUCCACCAAGUUCUCUUUAGAAGAAACAUAAGAAGCAAGAGAAGUGAUGACAUUUUCUAUCUCUUGAGCAGUAUCUCCCACCGCUAGAGUUUCCAAUAAUGCCUCGAUGAUUUUAAGAAUCAGUGUUGUAAGCGCUGAGAACCCGAGACUCAUAAGCUUGUCUCAUUCUGAAAGAAUCUGAAUGCUUACUUUGGCAGACAGAUACGGACAAACAGAUACCAGCACAUUAAGCAUAUGUAAGAAUCCUAUAUUCUCGGAUUUCAACAGUUUAUCAUCUUUAGAUCCAUCCUCAGGGCCCGUAGUCCUUGACCAAUCUGCUGAAGAAAUGCAACUUUCANNNNNNNNNNNNNNNNNNNNNNNNNNNNNNNNNNNNNNNNNNNNNNNNNNNNNNNNNNNNNNNNNNNNNNNNNNNNNNNNNNNNNNNNNNNNNNNNNNNNAUUCUUGUGCACAACGCCGAACCUGAGAAAACAACAAAACAUAUCUUCAAUUGCUACUCGUUUCUUACGAUAUGCAAAAGAAUAGGAACACAUUUCCACCUUUCAAAGCCCAAUUACGAUCAACAAGGCCAUAAGGGGAAGAAUACUGACCUAAAAAAGGUGACAAUUCCAUGUCGCCAAGUCUAACAGAAAAAAAAAAAUCCCAAAGAGCUUAAAAGAGCAGAACUGGAUACAGCAAUGCAUGAUUUGCGACAAUAUACCUUAGGACGCUUGGCCAGGGAGAACUUCAAAAGCAUCUUCAACCCGAAUUUCACCGAAUCCCAAUCCUCCAAGUCGCAAAACCCAAGCAAAACCCCCAAACACUUCACCGCGGACCUCACGCUGGACACGGCCAGCUUCUCCUCCUCCCUCGCCAACACCUCCGCCGCCUCCCUCGCCCUCGCGGGCGCGAUCCCCUGCGGCGGCACCGCGGCAGGACGAUCACGAGGAACGACAUGAGCGCCGCGACCUCCGUGGAGUCUAGGGCCUGCAACGAGGACGUGGUCUCGACGGCGGACAUGGCGGCGCCGAAGUAAGAGGCGGGCGUGAGGGGAGGGACUCGGCGUCGAGGAUGGCGCGCAUGGCGGCGGCGGUGGCGAGGAGGUGGCGGUGCUGAGGGGCGGAGGAUUUGGCGUAGCGGUUCAUGAGCUGUUGGCAGACGUCGGCGCCGUCUCGCAGCGGUUCGUCGGCGUGGUCGACUCGUGCUCCAUCUGUUGAUCCUGUCGAAGUAAUGAGGGUCGCUCUUCCUGUUUCCGUUGUCUCUGCUUCUGUGGCUUCAUGGCGGCGGCGGCGGCGGCGGCGGCGGCGGAUGCUUCGAUCGCCGCCGUGCGGUGGCUUCUCCCGGCUGUGGAAUGUUUCGGGGUAAAAAAUUCGCCUUUGAUGCUUAAUCCAUGUUUUUUCAUAUGUUUACGAUAACUAAAACUCAGGGGGUCGUUAUUUUCUUCGCAUUUGAUCUAUAUUGCUUCGCAAAGAACACUUUUUGAUUACAUUGAUGAGGUUUGCCUUGUCCCUGGUUCCUACCUAUCAGGUAACUCAACUUUCAAGGAAAUAUAAAAGUUAAUCUCACAAAAAAUCUCAAAUUAUACACAUUGUAACCAAAUACUCCGAAUCUUUUUUAUAUCACGAAGAAUCUUAAAUUCAUUUUUAUGACAUAUAUCCUAGCUUUUUUUUAUGUCAUAAAAAACCUCGAAAUUAUAUUAAUAUAACAAAUAUAUUAUAGAUGGAACUGAAAUAGAAAACAUAUAUAAAUAUGAUACACAUGUAAAAAUUUGGAUUUUUUUGUGAUACAAAAAAAUUAAGGUAUUUGUGUUGCUAUGGACAAAUUUAGGGUUUUUUGUGACGUAAAAAAAAAAGUUGAAGAUAUUUAUAUCACAAUAAAUGUAAUUUGGGGGCAAAUCAAAUUUAUGGAGCAAAAGUGGUACAUCUAAUCUUUUCCUUUCAAUCAUUAUUAUUUUCUUGUUUUAUAAUUAAAAGGUGUUAAGAUUUCAACGGGAAGUUUUCCGUUUUCGAUUUCAUCUUAGGUAUGCUAAAGUAUUCUCAAAGGAAUCUAGUGAUAUGAAAAACAAACUAGUAAAAUGAACAUACGAAAAAAGGUUAUUAUUGUGAUAAAAAAUGACAUCACAAUAUUUUUUUUGGAGGAAACAAAACGUCGCUUUUUAAUACGAUACACGAGAACCGCACUGAAUCAGCUAGUUUUGGUUAUUCUCGAUUCCAAAUUUUUUGAAUAGGAAUAAUCAAACUAUUUCCUAAUUUCAUAUGGGAAUCAAACUACUCGAACGAUAUGUCUUUUUUUUUUUUAACUACCCUCUUCUUUUAAAAAGUAAAGAAAAGGAAAUUGCCAAAAUCCUAAACCAAACCGGUCUAACCUAGGAAUUAAUCUAGUUUCCAAUUCUAAAGUGAAAUUGGCCCAACUCGGGAAUCAAUCACCUUUCCUUUUUAAUGAUAUGCAAGAAAGGAUAGAAAAGGAUAGGUAACUUUAUAUUCUAUCACGAAGUUGAUUAGAGAACCUACAGUCUACAGUAAGUAGCCAAGAGAGAGGAAGAAGGGAGGAAAAAUAGAGAGGAGAACAGGAAGAAAUGAAUCCUAAAAGCCAACAAGGAGUGCUUCAUUUCUGUGUUACUGAAACCGUAUACCUAUUGCAAUAUAUUUACAUUGAAUAUAAAUUAUACAUUACCAUGAUGCCCUUAUGUAUGUAAAAAGAAAUAAAAGCUAGAAAAUAAAACCAACACCAUUCAAGUAAUGUAACACUCCCCUUAAACUAGAGCAUAUAGGUCACUCAUACCCAACUUGGAACAGCUAGUAACAAAGACAAGACAAAACAACACUUUAAUAAACAUAUCAACCAAUUAAUCUCUAGAGGCAAUAUAAAUAGUAGUAACCAACUUCUGCUUCCCAACAUCACAAAUAAAGUGACGGUCAACUUCUAUACACGUAGUUCGCUCACGAAAAACAGAAUUCCUAACAAUAUAAAUAGCUGCUUAAUUAUCACACAUCAUAUCAUAAUCAUAAGUUGAUUAAUAGAAGGGAUUUCAACCACAACAAUUUAGUCACAAUAUGUGCCAUAGCACGAUAUUAUGCCUCCACACUAGACUUAGGAAUAGUUGUCUAUUUAUUGCUCCUCCAAGUAAUCAAAUUACCACCAAGAAAAGUGCAAUACCUAGUUGUGGACCGAUGAUCACAUGCUAACCCAGCCCAAUCAACAUCAGAAUACCAUUAGGUUUAUAAAUCAGCCCCUUAUUAGGAGAGCCUUUAAAGUACCAAAGAUGCGAUAAAAAGCGACCCAACAAGUGUUCUUUGGUAACACCUUUAAUUGACUCACCACACCAAUAACAAAGGAAAUAUCUAAAUGUGUAACAAUGAGAUAAAUUAACUAAUUAGCUUGAAUAUCAUGAAUAUCCUUGAUGCUUAUCAUAUAUGAUUUCUAAUUAACAUGCAAUUACUUAUUCUUUUUCAAGAUUUUCUUUUAUUUAAAUGAAAUUUAUUUUUGUGUGAAAUGCCAUGCAAUGACAAGCCAAAAUGCCUAACUAAAAUGACAUGUAACAUGCAACGUAUCAUGAACCAUAUGUCACAACAUGAUCUAAUGACAAUGUAAUUAUCCUAAUAUGUCAUGCACUCAAAUGAUCCUAAACAUGCAAUGACUAGAUGACGAAAUGACCUAAUUCUAAGUUACACACGCAUGAUAUUGCCUAAUAAUUGAACAUGCAAUUAAUGAAAAGAAAAUCUAACAUCCUCAAUUAAUGUUUUUGGUGUUCUUAUUUCAAAAAUUCAGAAUUAAUAAAAUGCCUAAUCUAAAUAUGCAAAUUAUCCUAAAACAAGCAAUAUUCUAACAUGAACCUAAUCUAACUCUAUAUAUAUUGGGUUUUUCUUUUAUGGAAAUAAAAUCGAUUCAAACAAUACAACGGCAAAUCAGACAAGAUAUGAUUAAUAUCCACCAAAUAAAUUGAUAAAUCGUAUCUCGCGCAUGAGAUCGGAUUGGUCAAUUCUAACAAAAUCUUGACGGUGAGAUCGGAUUGGCGAUUUUUCCGCACGAUUGUGAGUCAUAUUCCAGGCGUGAAAUCAGAUUGUCAAUCGUAUGCACAUUGUGAAAUUAGAAAGAUUACCCAAUUUAUAAGGCUACUCGAGAUUACGGAUAUGAUAGCAUAUCGAGAAUUUCAAUCACGUGCAUUGAUGAAUAUUUGAAAUAAGGAAAUGAAAUUUUCUGAAAUCAAAAUAGAUAAGUUUUCACCUAAUUCGAAUAUUGGCUCACCACGUAAUGUGGUGGUGCUCAGCGAGGCUCACAGGAUGGCUACUCGCCAGGGGGCUUUGCGUGCGGCACCUUGAUGAUUGCUCAAUUCAAUGAUAUGCGCGUAAACCUCAAGAAGCAAUUUGCAAAACGAUAACUUUUGUUGUUGUAGCAAUAGCAAGGCUUAGCCGAGAGAACUAGAGAACCACGAUGGGGAGAUGCUCCAAAUUACAAUAAAAUAAGCGUGUGAAAUCCUCCCUCCUUUCAAUGUAUACGUCCUCCUUUAUUAAAAGAACAUGCGCCCUUCUCUUGCCCAGAUUUUAGUGACUCGGAUGAUUGCUGAAUUUUUUACCGAGCUCAAUCACCUCGCUGGAAUUCGUUGGCAACGCGAGUAUUGGUGCAAAUCGUCUGGGCGCGAUGAAACAAACCCAAGGAUCGGGCUGAUUGGGAUGGGUGACAUGAGCAGUGCCUACUGGCGUUGCGGUAGCAACGGGGUCGUGGCCAGGAAACAACCAGCUCGGUUCACGGAUGCGGGGCAGCAGCGAUGGCGGCGUUCGGGUAAUAGUCGGAACAGCAACUACGAGGGGCGGAGUUGCAGUGACGUCAUCGAUGAAGGGGCUGCGGUGGCGUUGUCAAGCGGUCGAGUAAUAACUCAACAGGGUGGCAGCUCGUUGACAAUGUAUCGCAGACGAUGAAAGCACCGCGGCAGAAGUGUUGGCAUGGGUCUGACUCUUGACCAAGAAGACUCGCACUCUUUCCUCUCUCACGUGUGUGUGUCUCUCCCUCUCGUAUCAAGAAUGCCCCCUUUUUUUUGUCGAGUAACGAGUCCAUUUAUAGUGAAAGGGUGUAAACCAUCGAGGAAAGAACGCAUAUUUUGUUUCCUUCUGUGCAUGCUUUGAAAUAUAUUCUAUUUCCUUUCCUCUUCCUCGUUGUCCGAAUGCCUUCUUUGCAGGGAUAUAUCUUUUUUUGCAAAUCCAUGUGCCCGUAGUGUAGAACGUGCCCAACAUUCCCUUCUCAUGCUGAUCUUCCGAAUUUCCAUAUGCUCGUAUCUUUCCACAUAGGGCCAUGCAUGAUGAAUAUUCUCUGCCGAUUUUAUUUCUUUAACCCAAAUACUAGCCCACAAAUUGAUCGAGUAUUGCCAAAAAUUCAAGAUCGUAAUAGAUUUUUCCUAGAUUACGAACCUUGCAAAGAUGAGCUCGCAAUAUCUCCCUCAUAUGCUUGUCAUCACCGAAUAUACGAAAGAUUCACCGAAUAUUGGAAGAAUAAUAUAAAUCUUUUCCAAAAUAUAUCGAAUUGUCAACUCGUAAAAUUGUAGCUUAUCCGCCGCCGAUCAAAUGCAAAAGUGAUAAACAAAUAGAUAAAUGCAACUAAAAUUAUAUGCUAUGCAAUUUUAAUUUUAUUUUUUUAGGGGUUAAAAAUUAAUCUCUAAUUUUCUAUGCAAUAAAUAGAUGACCGAGUCGUCAAAAUUUAGGUGUCAACAGCAGGCUACGCCAUGACAUUGCUUCCUUAAAGAUGACCUUUUAAUUAUUGUUUUUUUGGUCGAAAACCUUUUAAUUGCACCUUUUUUUAUUACUGUUGGCACGAUGAUUUUUUAACUCGACAAGGACUGCCAAUCAACCAUGCAAUGAGGGGACAAUUUCUACGAUGAGAAACGCGCACGCAUUGACUAUGGGAGUCUCCGGAGACAAUUAUACAUUUCUACCAACACUGAGAAUCUAAUCUCCAUAAUUGGCAAUUUGCUUUUGCAUGGGAAAAUUGUCCAAAAAAUUCUAAAUUUAUUACACUUUUACCAAUUUAGGCAUAGAUCUUCUAAUUUGUAAAUUGAGUUCUAAACAUUUUUACUUCUUACCAAUUCAGCUGUAAACCUUUUUACUUUUUGCCAAUUAAACCACCGGCUAAUUUUGAUCAUAAAUUACUAACAUGAAUAGCCGAUGCUGAUGUGGUACUUUUUUUAAUAAUACUUUGAAUAUUUUAUAGUUUUUUUUUUGUGACCUCGCCCGUGGCUAGCAAGAGUUGGCCGGCAACUCUUGUCUGCCCUAGAUCCAAAAACCCAAAAAUAAAGCAAAAAAGUUUUUAAAAAACAAAAAGAAAGAGAAAAAAAAAAUCUAGAAUGGAGUAGUAAAGCUUUUGUCCAACUCUUCAUGUGAGAGCAAGAGUGAGAGCAAGUCAGAGACAGAGAGUGAUGUCUGAAAGUGAGAGAUAGAGAGAGAGACAACCCCGUGUCUUCCUCCAAUGUAGGGAUAUUCCAUUUAGAAUGAAGUAGUAAAGCUUUUGUCCAACUCUUCUUACCUAAUUUUUUUUCUUCUAGAGACAAUAGUCUUUUUUGUUGCUCUAAGUUUGCUAUGACCACAUCUCAAAUUUAGAUUAUUAUACAGUUUAUUGAAGGCAGAGUCCAAAUUCCACGAUUCUUGGAAACUUCAGUAGCUCAUGAAGUUGUCCAAAUAAUAAUUAGAUUCACUUUUUUUGGGACAAAUCUUUUUUCCCCCUCUUUCUUUUGACUUCAAUUGUAACAAAUUACUAUUCUUUUAAAAAAUAGUCAAGGGCUACGGCCACCAAGACCCGGUUAUGUGGAGGCCAAUGAAAUACCCUACAAGUCUUACAAAUUGGCUAAGCCCAAUUCUACGCCCCUGACUUGAUAUAGUUUGCGCGCCAUUGGUGGUAUCAUAUAUGUUGAACAUAAAUAAUGGAAAAAGUUAUCCUUUUAAAGUUGUUAAAAAAUAUAUACAUAUCAUAUAUGACGAGUUUGGGAUCUAAUGUCAAUGGACAGAAUAAUAAUAUCUUAAGACUUUUUAGGACAAUAAUUGAAUUGUACAGCUGUGGAAACUGAAAUAUUUGGCACCAUGGUCUAUCCCGUUCAUUAAUGGGUGCUUGUACAUUAGCAUAUCUAAGUCUCUAUCGAUGUUGACAAGUGUUUCACAAGUCAACUAUACAGCUCUCUUUUUUAGAUAAAAUUACCAAAGCAAGUUCUAAAUCGAUUGUAUUUGUAUCAAUUAAGUCAUAAAUUUUUCAAUUAUACCAAUUCAAUCCUAAACUUUUUGAAAAUUUCCAACAUAAUCCAUCCGGCCCUCGCCUCUAGUCAGCCACAGUUACUGGCGAAGGAAGAAGGAAAAAAGAAAAUGAAAGAAAAGAAAAUUAAAAAUUAAAAAAUGUGGAUCUUUUUAAAUUGCAAAAAUUAUCUACGUGAGCACCAACUGUGCCACAUAGGAUGGCCAGUGGGCACGACUUAUUCAUAUCAACAAUUUCCUAUCAAAAUUAGCCAGUCAAUUUAAUUGGCAAAAUUUGAAAAUAUUUAGGACUCAAUUGAUAUAGUUGAAAAGUUUAUGAUUAAAUUGACACUGGUACUAUAGAUUUAUGAUUUUUUUUUAAAAAUAAAAUUUCCAUCUUUCUUGAGCUGCUCAUAGACUUGUCCACAUACAUACAUACAUACAUACAUACAUACAUACAUACAUACAUACAGAGAGAGAGAGAGAGAGAGAGAGAGAGAGAGAGAGAGAGAGAGAGAGAGAGAGAGAGAGAGAGACGACUGUCUUAGUUUUUGGCUUCUAGAGAAGGCCAAUAAUUUUUAAACUCAAAUAUUUAAAAAAUUAUAAAGAUUAUAUGAGAACUAUUGUGGCAAAUGAAAGGUUUCAAGUGCUUGUAAUUUUUUUUUAAAAGACCAAUUAUGUGCGUAAAUAUUGAAAGAAACUUUUAACUAUUUAAAUAGUCAUCGUCGAAAGAGGCUGAAAUUUUCCAAUUACAGGACGAGUCAUGGAAUCGUAGGGAGGAGGGGUUUUGUACUUUGACUUUGCUUUGGCCAAACAUGGCCUCUUUUAUCUCCGUUCCAUGUUAUAAACGUGGACACCAACUGCAGAAAAAUCAAGGCACGUAAAACAAAAGUUGACUUAGACCAAAUAAUAAUGGUUCCACGAACCACGUCAUGCACAAGACCUAAGAAAAACAAAAUCUUAUAUGCAUGUCUAAUCAAAUUAAUGUCGAGUUGUCAAGGGUUGUUUCAAUACCGUCAAUCAAUGAAGCUAUAUUCAACACACAAGUUUCAGAGCAUUGAAAAUUCUAGGUUAACUUUAAGUAAUGGAUUCUAAGCACGGAAUCUCAUCACUUACCUUGAAAUCUUCCUUGACUACAAGAAACCAUGUAGAUUGGAACAAUUUUCCGUUGUAUGUUUCAAUAGUCUUGAAUUUCGAAAGCUAUUAUAUUUUUAAUGAUUUUCGACCGUCAUCAAUUUGUAACCAUUUUUAUCACCCAUUACUUUAUUACAGUUUUAUACUUCUAAAGGGGUUGGAGUAAAUCUCUUAAUUAGACAAAUAAGAAAAUAGUCAAAUCUCAAUAACCUCUCCUUUCGAGCUUCUAAUUAAAGAUAAGAGAUUUCUCAAGCCCUAAUUAGUCAACUGGACUAUUAGAGAUAUAUUUAAAAUAUUCUAUGAUUCUAUAUAUUAUUAUAUGGUUAUGUAUAUUUCCUUUGAUUGGUCUUGAUUUGUUACUUUAGAUAGUUAUUAUAUAAAGCCUAUAAAUAAGCUCGUGUAUUCUUUAUUUGAUGUUCUACAGAAUAUUACAAGCACGAAUAUUACAUCUUUCGGUCAUUAUGAUUCUCAACUUGGAUGAAAGAACAUCUUAAAAGUAGAACCUCGUCAAUUUACUUGCCUAGCCGCCUGAAACAUUAUUAGUAGACUACACCAUGACGUCGCUUCCCUAAAGGUGAUUCAAUUUUUGACCUUUUAAUUACUGUUUUUUUGGUCGAAAACCUUUUAAUUGCACCUAUUUAUUACUGUUGGCACAGUGAUUUUUGAACUCGACAAGGAUUGCCCAGUCAACCAUGCAACGAGGGGACAAUUUCUACGAUGAGAAACACGCAUGCAUGCAUUGACUAUGGGAGUCUCCGGAGACAAUUAUUCAUUCCUGCCGACACUAAGGACCCAACCUCCAUGAUUUGGCAAUUUGCUUUUGCGUUCGUAAUCUAGAACGCGGAAUUUAUGCUAAAGAGCUUCUUUGAAUUUUUGAUGUCCCUCUUUUCUUUUUGUGAUAGAAAACUUUCCACACGGAUGUUUUAUCGUGUUCAAAAGAAAUGUCAUCUACAUCAUGUUUCCAUGAAAGUCUUUACACAUUGCACUUUGAACGUAUCAGUACAUGCGUUAAUGCAACUGAAAGUCGAUUCAGACACCAAUGAGAGUAAGUGUGGGCUGGGUUGAAGAUCUCCAUUCAACCGGCGAAUGCGUCAAAUGUGGGAAAAUUAUCAUAUUAGGUAGAUAGAAUAUGAUUUUCGGCAGAUAAAUAAUAUGAGUCAAAACGAAUACUAUGACCCAUCUUAAAUUUUGAGACCCAUGUUCUCCCUUAAGUCUAAUCAUGGAAACCCAUGACCCACAUGUAUUUAAAUUCUCUAUUCCUUUGUUUUUUAAUUCGAUUUACAUGUUUCUGAUCUUGAUGUUUUCUAACUUUAUUUUGAUCUUAAAUGCACAUGCCAUCACCUAACGAGAGGAGCACAUAUUGAAAGACAAUGUGAAUAGAUGAGAUCUGUGGCAUCCCAAAAAUUCAAGACAUCCUCUAGAGAAAUUAAAGCCCAUAAUUAGGUAAUGAAAUUACCUAUGGUUUAUGCUUUAGCCAUUAGUUUUCUUUUAAGGCUAAGUGAUAUAUGCUUGUGUUCAUGAAUUUUGGAAAUUGGAACUAUAGGAUAAAUUUAUGAGGAUGAUUUAUUCUUAGCCAUGUGAAAUUAAAAUUUGAAAAUCUAUGAAAGAACAAAUUAAAGAUGAAUAAUUGAAAAGUGGAAUUGUGAAUUUUAAUUAGGUUGGGCCUUAGGCCCAAGAGUGGACCUUUAAUGGGCCAAGUUGGCCGGCCCAUUGAAGCCCACAAGGGGGCUGCCGUCGACCAAGAAAGGGGGGAGGAGUGGCCGGCCCAUUGCUGGCCCAAAUGCCCCAAGCCCAAGCCCAAAAGCCCAUGCAUGAGCUUUGACAAGUGGCAAAAGGGAGAUGGCAUGCAUUGGCCAAUUGAGAGGCAACCUAAUCAUUGCAAAUGAUGAGGAAAUGGGGCAAUAAAAGGGAAGAGGAGAGAGAGAGAGGUGGCCGGUUAGCCAUUCGGCCAAGUGAGAGAGAGAACCGUGCGAGAGAGAGGGAGAGAGUGUGGCCGAGAGAGGAGAAGCCGAGAGGAAGGAGCUCGCCGUCCGCCCGUUGCCACCCGUUGCCACCCGUGCGCCGCCCGUUCGCCGCCAUGUGCUCGUCGCUAGCUUGGUUUAGAGGCAAGUUGGGAGUCCACUUUCUACUCUUGCACCAAUGUCUUGCAUGUAUGGUCGGAGUCUAGGAUGUUUGGAAGCAUGGGAGCGAAGCUAUUGUGGUUUGUUCUUGAGUUGCAUGCUAUUUUCGCUUGAAUCCGCCUGAGCCAGAACUUUGUGAGAGCUUGCAUGCAUGUUUUGAGUUAGAUUUUGACCUUUAUUCCUUCAUGAAAGUUGUAGAAAACAUCUUAAAAUACAACAUACUAAAAUUUGGUACAAAAUUGUGGAGACUUAAGGGGUCAAACUCUCAUCCUACGGAGACAUUAGAUCUGGAACGAUUUCACUGACCUUUCGGUGGAUUUGAGGUUGCAUGUUGAUUUUUACUAAGAAUAUAUUUUCGACUUCUUCAUGGAACUUGUAUAGAACAUCUUAAGCUACAAUAUACUCAAAUUUGAAGUAAAAUGAACAAGUAUAACCUAGUAAAUCGACCUACGCUUGAAGACGGUAAAUCUGGAGACGCGGUACAGGACACCCGAGACUUCAUGGACCCAUAUGAUGACUAUACUCUGGAUAUUUGACUUAUAUCCCUUCAUGAAAGUUGUAGGAGACCUCUUUAUGUAGAACAUAUCCAAACUUCAGAGGAAACGAAGAAGAAUAAGUGGGUAAAAACUCGGUAUUUCGGAGAUGACUACACUGGACGUUUCGGUAUGAGGACCAGAAGCUUCGGACGACUAUAGAAAAAUAUCUAAAACGAAUUUGGCUUAGAAUUAUUCAUGAAAAAUCUAAUUUAGUGUCUUAGCUAGAACCUGGUAAAAUUUCAUAAUUUUUGGAGGUUUUUCGGGUAUUUUAAUCGAAUUAAUCCGAAAAAUCCACAUUCUGUUUUAUCCGAGAAUUGCAUGCUGUAAUUGUCCGAAUGAUAUUUUGUAUGGAACUUUAUUGGCCAUGUGUUUUUCAUGAAAUCAAUGUAUUAUUGUCUUGUCUAUGUUAUGUCUUAAUUUCGUGAUUUUUGAAAAUCAUAUGGAUAUUUAAUUUAAUUAUUUUCGAAAAUGGUACAAGCUGGAAUUUAAAUAAAUUCAAAAGGCAUGAUAAAUGGACUAUGCUAAAUUGUAUGAGUGCCCUAAAUUUUAUGUUUAUGAUUGAUUGCAUAUUGCUGCAUGUAUGAUGAUGACCGAUGAUGCACGUAUAGAUUGAAGCAUGAAAGUGGUUUUGUUUGCCAUUAUAUCGUGUGACAUGCUGAGUUGAGACCUAAAUUGGUAAGCAAGAAUAACAAUAAAUGAGGAAACGGAAUGUGGCGGAUGAUAAUGCCCUGGGAGUAUCAGGAUGCCCGGAAUGGUUGGGUGCCGGAAGCCUCGGAGGUCUUUGCCCGAGGAGAUGCCUUGUGAUGCCAGUUGGGAUGCGAGAUGUCCGGAAUGUGGGGGUGCCGAAUGCCCGAUGGCCUUAAAUGGCUGAAUGCCGGAGGUUUUUCUCGCCAUGCCAGGAUGGGGUGCGAGUGUAAAGUAUGGGAUGAAAUUGAUGAUCCGAGGAAGGGUGAUGUGGUGAUUGAAUUGAAAGUUAAAAGUGGAAAUUGAAUCACGCAUGUAUGAUAUGAUAUGAUGAUGAUCACCCAUGGCAUGAUGAUGUGCAUGUAUGAUAUGAUAUGAUGAUGAUCACCCAUGGCAUGAUGAUAUGCAUGUAUGAUAUGUGAUGAUGAUCACCUGUAGCAUGAUGAUAGGCAUGUAUGAUAUGAUAUGAUGAUGAUCACUUAUGGCAUGAUGACAUGUAUAUAUGAUCAUGAUUGUGAUGAUGCCAUGCAUGGCAUCAAGGUAAGUACGCUUGAAUGCAUGAAUGGCAUGUAUGAUGUUGUGAUUGUAUUGCAUGAUGCAUUAAGUGGUUAUUAGAUUCCUUUACCUACUGAGUGGUUGUACUCACCCUUUUGGGGAUCAACAUUUCAGAUUAGCAGUAUGCCGCUUCCUACUGUCACGCGGGGUGUAUUUUACGGCCUACCAUUCGAUGUUGAGGUCGAGUGCGAGGAGUUUGGCUGUCCCUCUGUUUCUGGAUUGACGUAUAUUCGAGUACGCUGUUUAGUUAUGUACGAUGUAGGCCUGGCUGGGGGCCCUGUUGUCCAGGAGUUCAUAUCCGUCCACAUUCGCCGUAACGGUGUGAUGCGUGGGAUGCUGCCGCCGCCACCGCCUGAUGCACCGGGAUGGGUGUGAGGGCCCGUGCAUGACGAGUAGGAGCUGGAACUUUUUGGGAUAGUUAGCCGACGCUAGUGAUGGGGGAUCUUGCACGUAAGUUGUAAUGGGUCGAGAGUUUCUUUUUGGGGUUUUAGGCCGGGUGUGGCUAAGUCCUGGCUUUUCUUUUGAUGUACCGACCCAAGAAAACCCAUCUUGAAAAUGUGUAAAUAAAGUGUCAUGGCUUGUCUUUUAAUUAUGAUGAUUAGUGGUGUGCAAUUGUAUCAUGGUUGAUGGAGGGUGAGAUGGCGAUGUUUUAUUUUGCUUCCGCUAAUGAGUUGCGCUGGAACCGUUUAAAAAAAAAUUGUCUAUGAAUUACGACGCCUCUUCUAAGAGAUGUAAUAAGGUGUAACGUUGGUGCUUGUGGCGACCUGAGAAGGGUUCGGGGUGCCACAAGAUCCGCCACUUAUUUUUUAAAAAAUCAUUUUUAUGCUUUGUCAAUUUCUUGACAUUAACUCCUUUCCAAUCUCUAAACCUUCCAAUGUCCUAUUAAAAAGUCUAAACCAUUCAAUGCUUUUCCAUAGCGAUAUUGAUCGUUAGUAUUCAUUUGAAAGCCUACCCCUUUCUUGAGUCAUGGAAAAAUUACCUCCAUAGCUUGCCACCUAUUUUAUCUUAAAUUAAAAUUUAAGUUCAUUUUUUUCAUAGUGACACACAAUUAUUAAACUAAUGAUAGUUAUGGAAAAAUUACCUCCAUAGCUUGCCACCUAUUUUAUCUUAAAUUAAAAUUUAAGUUCAUUUUUUUCAUAGUGACACACAAUUAUUAAACUAAUGAUAGUUAUAAAAUUGACAAUAAAAACCUUUCCAAAUAUCAAUAUUUAAAUAAAUUUUCACUAACGGUUACAUCUAUAGUCAUAAAUCAAACCUAUAAAUCAAACCUAAACCUAAGUGAUUUAAGAAAUAUAGCCAAAUGGAAAAAUAAAUCAUCUUACCUUAUAGUGAUGGCCCACUCAUUGAACGCAGUCCAAUUUGCAUUCUCUGACCCAACCAAGUUGCAAAAGCUAACCAACGGUCAAUGUCAACUCGGUAUCGACUUCACUUAGUUCCUAAAAUUCAGUCCCUUGCAUUGCAUAAAACGAACCAUUUUUACUAAAUUUUUAUUACAGAGUUGAGAGAGAGAGAGAGAGAGAGAGAGAAGUAAUGGCAUGACAUUGAACUGUCAGAUUCUAUUUAUUAAUUCGAUAAUAAAGUAAAAAAAGUAACUACUAGAAGUAAUGGUCCACCGAGAUACAAGUACUUGUUGGAUUCCACUUAAAGCACCCCUUCUUUUUUGUUCUUUUUCGGUUAGUUAAUUAGGGCGCGUUUGGUAACAUUUCUAUUCCCGGAAACAAUUUUUUAUCAAAAAUGAUUUUUUUAUUUUUUUUUAUUUCUGUUCCCGGAAACAAUUUCUGAAUAUAAGAACGCGUUUGGUAACUGUACAAAAUUUAUAUUCCUAGGAAAGUAAUGUGUUCGGUAUAAUUGUAUAAUUUGGUUGUUUCUUUUAAUUUUUUUAAUAUUUUUCAUUUUUUUUCUUCUUUCUUUUUUCUUUUUUCUUCUCUCUCAUUCUUCCUCUUUUGUGGCCGGUCGCCGGCAACUAGCUAGGCGAGGUCUGGUGAGCUCGCCAGAGCCUCGUCAAGCCAAGGCAAGGGCUGGUGAGCUCGCCGGAGGCUCGCCUAGCCCCCACAAGGUUAGCCUCGCCAAAUCUAGGCAAGGCUGAGCCUCGUUAGUGGCCUCGCGAGCAUCGCAAGGCUCGACCUCGCCCAGGCAGCGCAAGGCCGAGCCUCGCCGUGCCUUGCCUAGCCAUGGCGAAGCUCGGGUCAACGAGCCUCACCAUGGCUCGGCGUCUCCAGGGGCCGCUAACGUUCCGGCGAGAUCACUAACCCUCAUCUAAUCAGUCGCCGAUGCCGGCCAUGGCCAAGGCUAGCGACAGGCCAAGAGGAAGAAGAAAAAAAAAAAGUAGAUAGAGAAAUAUAAUCUAGAAAUUGUUCUCGGGAAUAAUAAGUUAUUUUUUCUACUUCUUAUUUCUAUUCCAAAUCUAUUUUCGGGAAGGAAACAAAAAUUUUACCAAACAAGUUUUUAUUAUUUUUUCAUUCCCCGGAACAAAAGAACAAAAAUAGUUGUUCCGAGGAACAGAAACGGAUUUUAACAAACAGGCCCUUAGGAUACCAGAUUUGGUUUCCAAUUUUAGUGGAAGUCUACCAGUUUAGAAAUCAGGAUUUACGAAGUUGCAACAGAACUGCUGUUUUGCUUUGCUGGGUUGUAAUUGUAAUAGCGGCAGCGAAUCACACACCUUUGAAGUAGACACUUCAAUUUUCGUUGUGGGAUGUUAAGUGUCAACUCCAUCAAUAUUCACUCGGCCCCCACCUCUCAGAUCUCAGGCAGAGUAGACUAACCCAUUAAGCUUUUGGUUUCGAUUUCAACUUGUUUGAUUCUUGACAUUAAUUUAAGGUCGUUUUGGGCAAUGAGGUAUGAUGAGGUAGUAAUCCAACAUUUGCAAGAAACAGUGACUAGACAUGCAAGUUUCUCCGGAGAAAUUUUGCGGGUAGACAUACAAGUUUCUCUUUCAUCAUUUCUCAAAGAUGGGAAAGAUGAAAUUGGCCGAUCAUCAUCCACACUAAAGACAAAAAAUUGGCAUCUACUAAGAGAAAUUCUUGAGUAGCAACAUAUAACAGGCCGAGCUCAUGAACAAAACACAUCCAGAGCAAGAAGGUGCCACUUCGCACAUCUCGCGAUUCAAACAAAUGAAAAGCUUCCAUAAUAGAUUCCCUCCCUUGCAGUGGCCAACACAUCGUUAUUGUGUGAAGAGGAAAAAGUUGCAACAUUGUCUCUCUUUGAAUAACAAAAUGGAAAGAGAUAGCACGAAUACAAACACCAAACCACAAGCCAUUGUUUUGUUUAUAUUACCUAUACCUUCAGUUCCAAAUGUGAGCGAAAGAGAAACUUCGAAGCAACAUUUAAGAGUUCUGCUGCAAGGAUUACCCAACGAAGCCCUAGUUCUUUCAAGAACUAAUUUACUUAGAACACAACAAACCAUUUCUUACUCUCUCUUGUGCCAGUAAUCAGUAUCCAGAAGUACUGGAUAGAGAUCCAGAUGUAGACAAAGCGGUUCCAGUCCGUGGCCCUUCAAUAGACAUACUCUUGCUGAUAUUCUCACCAACUGUCUGAUGUUCGUCACCUCUAAAAUGCUUCCUCAUGGCCUCAAUUUUCUCCUCAGUCAUGAUAGCGCCCGCAGAGUCCAGCACUGGAACAGCAACCUUGCCUUCAAGCAUGCUAACCACAGAUGACAUUGGCGGCCUGAGUGCUGGAGUCACAUUAGUACACAUCAAAGCUACCUUUAUCAAUGCCAGCGCCUCCUCUUUGUUAAAGUGAGAACCAAGCCUCGGAUCAACUAGUUCUAUCAAAUUCUCUCCCUCCUUCAGAAAGUGUGCCUAGAUACAGAAAUGUAAAGUGAAGGUAUUUCCCUUUCAAGCUUCAGGUAUUGAUCAGUUGCAAAAUAUGCUCUAAAUACUGAAACAGGAAGAAGUAUAUUAUCUCCCUUGAUAAUUACGAGACAAAUGCAGUUGAUAAGCACCUGCUAGUUCUAGGGUAUAAAUGGAUAAAAAGAAUCGAAUGAGUCAAUACAGAUCCAGCAUGAUUUUUUUUACCGAUUUUAAAUAAAAGAUACUAGACUACAACAUCACUUAAUAUGGUUAACCAGUUGCCAAGAAAUCACCUACACCGCUUUAAAAUCGCCAGCUAUUGUCGAGUUUUAUCAGCACAAAUUAUUUGUCAGUGUCAUUACAUGAAACGGCAGACUCGUCUUUCAAUGUUCUUGAUUAUGCAACUCAGGCGACAAUCAGAUUUAACAAGGACUAAUAAUGAUUGUUUGCUCUAACGAUUGCUCACUCAAAGCAAAAUAAAAUCUAACUUAGGGAGUCAAUUAUAUGAAUGUGAAAAAAGUUAUACCUCAAUUGAAAGUAUAUGGAUAUUCUGGUCCAGACAUGGUCUUGAAAACUUUUUUUUUUUUUGGUAAGAGUAAGCAAUAUAUUAAAAGGGGUCAAACUGUACAAACAACACGACUCCAAAAGCUUACACUCAAAAUGAACACGCUCAUUAAGAGUGAAAGGAAGCCGCGGACAAGCAACAAAACGACCAAUAGAAAGCCAACGGCAAACAAGCCUGGCAAAAACACCUAAGCAACCACCGAAAAGUGUAUGUCAGACUACGAUCAGAGGAAGCGAAGAUAAUGGGGUCCACAUCCCACGAGCGUUGCAUCCCACGAGCGAAGAUAAUGGUCUUGAAAACUUUUUAAUUUAACAGUAAUUGCCAAAAUUCAAUAGUAGUCGAAGGACUUGUUUGGCGCUAAUGAAACUACAGGGAGUAUGAAUGUCAAGCAUAAAAACAUAAAGACUAAAACUGAACUUUCGAGAUCUACCCUAAAUUAUGGGGUCAACUUCCCCAAAUUUCAAGGAAUAGAAUUUUCUUCAUUCCAAAAAAAGAAAAAGAAAGAAUCUACAUGAAAAUUCAGAGUAGACCAACAUGAUAAGAAGAAUCGGAUUAAUUUGAAAUAACAAAUUGCACUUAACAACAUGACAAUUCGUUAAGCAAGUUUCAAUAGCUGUUAAUCGUGAAACUCCUUUGCAACCAUUGAAAGUGCAUGUGAGGAUUUAAAUACGGAUAUGAUCAUAAUUGAAAUGAUAGAGUUGAUUACCCAAUCGAGUAGAUUAAAGCAUUCCUCAGUUCUUUGGGAGCUAAUGUUGCUCCGGCCAUUAACAACUUCUAAGGCAACAAUGCCAAAACUAUAGAUGUCGGCUUUGUCAGUGAGAUAACCAUGCAUUGCGUACUCCGGUGCCAUAUAUCCACUGCACAACGAAAAAAGAGCUUGUGUUUGCAACAAGGUAACUGCCUUAAAUAGCACUUACUUAAAAUUCCUAAAAUUCAAAAGAAAGAGUCCUUCCUAAAUGCAACGCUAUGGUCUAAAGAGUAGAGGAAAAAAACAAAUGCAUCCUAAUAUAUUCUAAUAUCAUUUACCGAGAAUAUUUCAGGAAAAAAAAAAUAUCAUUGUUUAUAAACUUUUUUUUGGUUGGAAAUAUAAGGAUCAUUUAUAAGAUGACGUACACGAGCUUAAGGGCAUUUCCCAGCAUUACAAAGAUAUCUAAGAACGUGCAAAAAUGGAGUGAGGGAAUCUCCAUAUAGUACCCAAUAUUACAUUUAUUUGGGAAGGCCUAAAGUUUUUGUAAUGUGAAGCUCGCCCUGUAACAAGUCUACGAAUUUUAGCCACGAUGAUGGAGACAUCAUUUGACUUGUUUUGGAAAUGUCUAUAGUUACGUUUAUAUUUAUUUUUGUUGAAUAAACGUUAGAGUUAGUAGAAUGAACUUACAAUUUUAUCUUUUCCCUAAUUAAUCACAUUCCUUUCAAAAACAAGUUGACUUUUCACACGCAUUAAUGCAAACAUCUAAAAUAUGUGAACAUGCUUAUCUAUGUUUUUCCAUGUGCAUACAAUAGAAACAUGGGCAAAUUUGCUAUAAUACUAAGUUAUAUUCAAAUUAACAAUUACAUAAGUCAAUAUCAGAGUAUCAUUACUUAAUGGUAGAGUAUGACACAAUUUACAUUUUUUUGCUAAUUAAUGUAAAGAGUGGUGGGACAGUCAUAAAGCUUUGUGGUUAAGCCGAAUUUGUUGAGCACCAUGCUUUGGGAUGAUGUGAAUCCACCACAAAGCUCCAUUCAACUCACUUUUCUUAAAUCAGAAUAUAUGUUUCUAUUCCAUGCUUUUAUGUUGUCACUGGCUCCUACUUAGGUUAACAGGAACAAAAAGCAAGAAACUUACUAAGUUCCAGCAAUCUUGGUGCUAAUAUGUGUUUUGUCCUCCUCAUCAAGCUUUGCUAAACCAAAAUCUGAUAUUUUAGGGUUGAGAUCCUUAUCCAGUAAAACAUUAGUAGCCUUAAUGUCUCUAUGCACAAUCUUCAGCCUUGACUCUUCAUGAAGAUAUGCCAAUCCCCUGGCAAUACCCACGCAUAUCUUGUGUCUUGUCCACCAAUCCAACUUUAACUGAAAUUCUUCAGGACCUUCAAUUGUAUCAGAAGACAUCAAAGCUGCUUUACUGCCAUGUCAUUAACUGAAGUCAAUGAAGCACAAUGUGAUAUCAAAUUACCAAAUAAAGCGCGAGCAAGACUGUUAUUUUCCAUGUACUCGUAAACCAGCAAAAGUUGAUUUCCUUCAAUGCAGCAUCCAUAGAGUUCACAAGAUGUGGAUGCUGAAGAGCAGAAAUCAUCCCAAUCUCAGUCAGGAACUCAUUAUUUCCUUGUUGUGAUUUGGAUGAAAGCUGCUUCACUGCUAUAACGGUGCCAUCUGACAGAAAACCCUGCAAUUCAACUUUGGCAUCAGAUCUAUGUUGUGAAAAUUGAGUUACAUUGAAUGCUGCUUUCUACAUAUCUUCUCUCUUGGGAAUUGGGGGAAUUUGGUUAGCCAAUUUUCCAGCAUACCUUGUAUACAGAACCAAAACCACCUUCUCCUAUCUUAUUGGCAGCGUCAAAAUUGUUUGUGGCAGUUUUAAUCUGUCGCAAGGUAAAUAAACCAAUUUGCAACGCUAGACCCUUCAAAUCUGCAACACGUUUUGGAACUUCUAUGAAUUUGGAAAAGUCAACAGUUAAAGUAUGUAAUCCACUAUCUAACAAAGACGUAUCAAUUCCUUCUCAAUAGUCCAGAAAACCUUUUUGUGACGUUUUGGUCUGAGCAAGUUCAGUAUAGAAUAGCUUAGCAUCUUGAAAAUUAUUUUCUAGGAAAGUCUGGCAUCAGUUGGCAGUAUGUAUUUUUGAAAAGUAAAAUGAGAUUGUCCCCAGGGUAUUUAAUAGUGAAGGAAAAUAAAAAUCAUACAGAGAACCCCCUUGGAAACGUAGGGUAUGGUUUGUAUGUUUUAAUUUCUCAUGCACGUGAAGUUCUGGCAGCUAUUUUUUGGUGUCUUGAAACAUAGACUUUGUGUGUAUACACACACACACACAUAUCUGAGAAACAAUCUACCGUCUCUCCCUAUAACUAUCUAUUCCUUCAUUUUUCAGAUUUCUAAAUAAAAAUUUAAUUCGUUAAGCAAACCAAAUGGUUCUAUGACACUUUAGCAGUAUAUUGCCUAAUGAUAAUUUUUGUCUUUUUGCGUCGAAUCAAAUUCCCUAUGGAAUGCACAAAUGUCAUGCAUCAACAGUUUUAUGGGAACUGUAAAUCUAGAUGGAGCAUUAAUGAUGCAUUGUCAUUACACUCCCCCACCAGGAAAGUAAGAAGAAGAAGAAGAAGAAGAAGUGUCAUUUGCCAACAGUUUGACAGGAACACUGUGUGAUUUAGCUGAAAUAUAAAUGAAGCAAUGUGACUAUCCUCCCUCUCCACCAGAAUACAGAAGGGGGAAAAUGUAUUCAGAGUGCAUAACAUUCUCAUAUUUCUUGACAAAUACACAUGGACUAAAUAGUGGAGAUUCCAGGUAAGCAACUACCUUGUGCCAUUUUAUCUUUACGCCCAAGGCAUCCUCUCCACCAAAGGAUAACCAGGAUAAGGAAAACUACGAAAACUAUAGCAGCCAGAAUCCCAGCCACUGUGCCAGCAGAUAUGCUGGCCCUGCUGGCCGGGGGAUCAAAGCCUGCAAUGAAGAAAAAACAAACAAAUAUUUAACCAAAACUGUUCAGUUAAUGGGGUAGACGUAAAUGCAGAAAAAUAUCUGUAGCUUCUCGUUGAACACAGAAAGAAAUUGAUGGAGAACACAAUAAUUGAGAAUCAAGAGGACAUAAAACCGCCCAGAGUACUCCACAGAAACUAUCAGAUAAAUGAGCACCGGAAGAUAUCAUUUAUGGAACAUGUAAUACAAAAUACAAAGGGAAAAAGAAAAAAAAAAUAUACUCUUCAUUCUCAAGGCUGUAUUGUAUGAUACAGGCACAGUGGUCGUAAUCCAUAGCGGAAAAGUGAACAAGGCUAUCAUUUCAUAGUCGAAUGGAAGGAUUGAAGAUACAUGGAGAAAACACGCUCAGAUAGAAAGAACACAAAGCAACCUAUAACCAAUUUUCAACUCUAAGAGAAUAAUAAUAGACCCUGGUCAGCUAUUAUGCGUAAUUGACUUGAUCUAUAGUGACAUAUGCCAAUGGCCUGAAUCCAACAGUAGGCAUUUGUAACCAAGCCAAGUAACUAAAUAGCCUAUUGAUGACUUCUGGUGCAAGAAAAAAUAUGGGUAUUCUUUUCAACAUGAAUAUGAGUAACUUUCUCAACAGAGAAGCACCAAGUGAAACAUGGAAGCAUCCAUCUGCGUACCAGGGUAGACAGAGAUAGCAGAUAUAAGAGGACCAUAAACUCCUCCGUCAGGUAUAGCAGUGGUUCCUUUCCCAGCCCAAUAGAAGCGUAUCUCCAGAGUGCCCUUGGUCACAUUGGCAGUAAAAAUUUUCAUGACCUCCUUUCCAACUCCACCUGCUUCAAUCUCAAUGUUGAAAUCUUUCCACACCAAUUUCCCCUGAAAUAGUAUUUCAUCUGAUUCAAGUUGAGUUUCUCCACACUGAACAAGGUAAAACUUUUAGUCUCCAUAGAAUGUGCAAAUUGUGAAAAAAUCAUGAUUUGCAAGUACAAGAUAUUUGGAUAAACUUCCCAACCAUAACAUAUUGAACGCUUUAUGUGCUUUAUAUAUUAGAACCAGCACUCCAUAAUGCUCCGAGUUUACCUGUAUAUAAAUAUUAAAAGCUCGCCUUCCAAGGCUUUUAUAACUUUUGUUUCCUGUGAACAUUAUCUCUGAAAAAUGAAGGGUUACAUUGUAGGGCCCAUCCAUCAGACAAAAACCGUAAUAAGUUAGAGAGAUGGCAGAACGUCGUGCUUCCAUGUAAAGUUGGGCAUUAUUCAUGGACAGUGUGGAUGUGUUUUUAACUUUAUAGCUAACUGCAGCGACAUUGUAAUCGGCGAAGUAACUAGUGCUACUGUAGGCCCAGUAAUCACUCUUGAAGAAACUUGAAGGUGUAGCCUCCUGUGAGUCAUCUUCGUAUGUGGUGCCCCUUACUUCUGCUUUGCUCCCACCGCAAUUUAUGAAGAGGUUAUACCGAGCUGAAUGGAGUAAAGAAGCAGCCACAGAGAAAAUUCAGUUUCUUCUAUUUGUUAAUAUGGAGUGGACUUUCCAGACACACUAAAUAAGCUAGCAUUCACUCAUUGGAAAAUUACAUAGAAACUCCCAAGUUAUGAGCAACCCAUUAUUUCAUGCAGGUAGCUUUUGAAAUUAUUAGGGUAAAUAUGCAUCAACCAUCAAAGAUUGACACAAUAGCCAAGAGGAGAGUUGACAAGGAGAUAAAUUUGAUGAGAAAUUACACAGAGAGUAAGAUGUAAUAUUAGAAUCUGAUGAUAAUGAUAGGAUAUGUUAGAAUAAUUUAAAUAUAAAAUCACGCAUUCUUCUAACAAUUUAAGUUUUUAAAACAGUUGGCUGUAAUCCUAUAAAAUCUCAUAUAGUAUCAAAGCUGGAUUUCAUGAGUUCAAAUCUUUCGAAGCCUAAUUUGCCUCCCUAAUUAAAUAUGUCCACACUUCAUCUAAUAGCUUAAACUUUUAGAACAAUUAGCUACAGUCCCACAAAAUUUCAUAGGAUAUACAGCACGUCAAUUUACAUUUUAUACAACAAUGACUCUGCAGCAUAUUAACUUACUUUUUGCACAACGUUGACUCUGCAAACAUGAGACAAGUCCACUUGUGGCAGAAUAUGAGGUUCUGAGCAAGUCAGCAAAGAUUUUACUGUUAUAAUCAUCAUCAUUCUUAAUGAAGUUCAAUGCUAAGAACAUAAUCAAUAAAAAUGUGGAUCCUUAGAAAUCCAAGUCUCUCGUUGAAAAGUUAAUCGCAAACAUACGCAUUCUCAACCUCAGAGCUUGCGAACAAGUUGCUGUAGAGAAAAGACAAAAUCAACAUUCAGCAGAGAAAUGGAAAUAUUAUACACAAACAGGAUAUAAGUUACUCAAUAAGUGCACAUUUGGGGGGAGCCCUGGACUGACUGAAGGAAGUAGGACAUACACAGAUCCUUCAUGACAUUCUAAGCCUCCAGCAGUGAAUUUGUUGUAUGAUAAAUCACUACACAGAGAAACAGUCAACCAUUUCCAAAAUCUCAUCAAUUUGAAGAAUAAACUGAAAGUCAUUCCAUCCAAUGAUUUUUUUUUUCAAUAAUUCCAUCAAAUGAUUAGUAUGUACAAAAAUGCAGACAAGUUGCAAAAAAUGGACAGGUAAGGCAAGAUGAAAGGUGAAAACAUCACAAUAUGAUGAAAUUGAUAUUUUAUUCCUACUGAAAAUAUCUUAUCUUAGAAUAUGAAAAGGAGAAAGACUAACUGAAGUAAAUGGAGACUUCAAAACUAUUUAUAGUGUAUAAAAACAUUUUUACUCAGUAACAGUACCAGUCAUGAUGUCUAAGGCAAAGAGGCUUAAAUAGAACUGUGAUUCCACCUACUACUACGUCGUGUUGGGGACUAGAGCUUGAGUGUCAAGGACCCAAGCACUGCUUUUAUGUACUCGGGGUCAGGUAUUAGGGCAUUGGGCUUGGGCACCAGGGCUUCGGGCCCAGCCUCGAUGGACUAGGCCCGGGCGCUGAAGACCUAGUCCUGAACGCUGAGGACCAAGAACCAGGCGUUGGGGUUCCCGUGUCCAAGCAAAGAGUUGCGGGUCCAAGCACCAAUACCAACUCAUAGUUUGGAAAAUGUUUUCCCACUUUUUCAAAAGAGGAAAUCAUUUCCUAAAUUUAAACAUAGAUCUUUCAUUGACUCGGAAAACAUUUUCCAUUAAUUCAUUUUCCUAAACAAACCAAACGCUGGAAAAUUGGGAAAAAGUUUUUCGUGAAACAAACAAAGCCAUGACAGAAUGGCAAUAUGUUGCUGUUAAAAGUAGCGUUUAUCAAAUCUUACAGAGAUGACCACAUGAACAAGAAGAAUUGACUUGUAUAGAGAUGCAUUUGAAGCCAUGCUCUCGUUUGAACUAUGAAUGUUAUGUCUGACAAGUGUACAACAGUCAAGCAAAAAACUCCAGCUAGAUAUUGUAGGGCUGAGAUUCGAGAAUGUAAACCACCAGAAGGAAAGUUUCCAGACAAUCAACCAAUAGAAGCCUCCAUUUUGCAUUAAUGCUCUUAAGAAGUUAAGAUAACAUAUCAAAGCAAAAGUAAAUCAGACGAAAUGGGAAACCACAACCAAGGUAAGAAUUCUUGCUGGAAAAGUGAAAACAAAGAGUGUUAGAAUAUUUAAAUAACAAACCACGCUUUCAUCUAAUAGGUUGAGUUUUUAGAACAGUUGACAUUUCCCGUUAAGUGAUUUAUAUGAAUCAUUAAUUUUUCUUUCAUGGAGUUUCUCCGUUAUUCAUAUGGUUCCGUAUUUUAGAAAACAUAAAAAUUAUUAAAGCACAAUGAACGCGCCAAGUACUAUUUUUACCCAAGGCUUUGCUACUUCGGGCCUUUUAACUGAAAUGCAUCAAUCCGAAAUAGUAGUACCUGCUCUCCAAUCCCAAUGGUUAAUGAUGCAUGUAAGUAUGAUGAUAUUGGGCUACGCAGCUCUUUUAUGUGGAUCAUUAUUAUCAGUAGUAGUUCCACAAAUUCUCACAGAGAGAAAAAGUCCAUAUACUUUUGUGCAAAACUGUAUAUUAUACAGCAGAGACCACAAUCACCAAGAGUUUAAAUGCCACAUCAUUCACAAUUCAGCAAUAUCAAUAGAAAAUAUCAAAACACCAUUGAAGUCAGUAAGGGACCUUCAAGCCAUCUUAAAUGGGUUCUUUAACUGCAACCAAUAGUCAACCAAAAACUAGUAGAAGUUUCACUCCUUAAGGGUAAAAUUAUUUAUUCUGCCUGGAAUAGCCAACGGGAAAAGCUGCUUUCUACUCACAAUAUUUUUAGAUUUGUCAUAUUUGCUAGAUAACCAGGUAGCUCUCCCGUGAGAUUGCAGCUCCUCAGAAUCCUAUAAGAAAAUAACACCGAUAUUGUCACAUUGCUAAGACGAUUUGGCUCUUUUGCAUAAAGUAAACUAUCUGUGAAGGAGCAUCGAUCUCACAGUGUUUCAAUAUCUGUACUGUUAAGUUGUGGAACACAAGACUCGGGUCCAUCGAGGUCACUUAUUCUCCUGCAUAUCACAAUCAAAUAGGAGCUUUAUUUGAUUGAUAACAUUUAAAGAAAGAGAGAUCAGAUCGAAAUGCCAAAAUUCCAUACUGACAAGUCGUUCAAUCGCUCCAAAAGUGCGAUCCCAGAGGGAAUUGGCCCUUGCAAUCCGCUUCCUUGGAUAACCCUGAUGAUACAAUUCAUAGAUGGAAUUGUCUUGGGGGUAUAUCUAUAGAGACCGAUUUAAAAGGGGAAGAAGCAUUAAGCCUUACAGUGUUCUGAGAUUUGUCAAGUUCUGAAUAAAAUCGGGUAUCUUUCCCAUGAACUGAUUAUCACCAAGUUGCCUACAGUGCAUUAAACAACAUGAUUUAUAUGAAGGAGAAAGAAUAGAAAUGGCUAAAUUUAGCUGAGUUUGUGGAUACUGGAAACUAACAGGUCAUCCAAUUCCCUUAAGUUAACAAAUGGUUGAGGCAGCUCCCCCGUGAAAUUAUUUGACGUAAGCCACCUGAAACAAGAAAAACCCAUGACAACACGUUGGUUAAUAGAACCUGAAUGCUGUAUCUCUCAACAGAUCACUCCAAUGGAUAAAAUUCCCUCGCCAGAUACAAAAUCAUCAGCGAAUAAAAACUCGAUGCCUAACACAGAAAUUUGCAUCAAGAGACUCACAAUUGUUGUGACCCGGACAAGUUCCCGAGCUCUGGAGGAAGAGGUCCAGAAAGCCAAUUGCUUUCGACGAUUCUGAGCGGAAUAUGAAAGUUAAAAUCUUGAAACACCAAUCAAAUUUAAAACAGCGAAGAGGCCAAAGGCGAGCGUCGGGAUGAGUGGUCACUCACAAAUACCGAAGUGUGGAUAUGUUCCCCAACUCCUUCGGGAUUGGACCAGUCAAUCGGUUUCCGAAUACAGAACUGCACCCACAUCAUCGCGUUUCCCCCAAUCAAACAAUAGAACAUACACUCGUGAGAGAGAGAGAGAGAGAGAGAGAGAGAGAGCAUACAUGUGAACCACGUUCGUAGAGCCCCAUUCUUUAGGAAUUGUGCCGUUCAGGUAGUUGCGGGAGACAAUACUGUUUAUAGAGAGAGAGGAUGAAGAAGAAGAAGAUCGAAAAUGGAGAAAGGGGAAAUGGAGAAAGAGAGUGCUUACAAGUUCUUGAGAAAAGGCAAUCUGAACAAUCGAGGCGGAAGGGUGCCGGCAAGAGAUUGCUCCCGAAGAACUCUGUUUUCGCAACGACACCAAGGCUUUAUUCUAGCUUUGCUUGAAAACUAGGCAUCAAAAUGAUGUUACAAAAUGGCUUUAUUACAUCUAAUUGAUAUGUAUACAUACAUCUCAAUUGAUUCUAAAUUAAAAAAAUCUUCAAAAAUUGCCUAAAAAAAGAAGGUUUGUUUAAAGUAAAUGAAUAUAUAGCUAAUGUGAAAAGCAUGCAUCACUCAAAGUACAGCCCUACCAUGCAUUAAUAUAAAUAACAUAUGUAAUAAGGAGAGAAUAGCAAUAAAAUUUUGACACUACCCUUACGAUUAAAGGUAGAGGGAGUAUAAUCACCGACCGUGGUGGCUCCGCUGGGUAGGCUUCAAACCUUUGAAAGAAGGUCAGGAGUUUGAAGCACAAAAAAAAAAGGUAGAGGGAGUAUAUAACUCUCGUCACUUUGAUAUUUAACCAUGAUCUUUGGGUUUGACAUUCCCAUUAAUCACUAAAAAUAUAAUUUAUAUAAUUAAAUGCCAAGCAUAUAAUAUGCAAUUUUAUUGAUUUAACUUAUAAAAAUUUGUAUAAUCAUACCGUGAAUAAUUAAUAUUAUGCUCAUAAUUACUUCAUGAGUAAUUUUAAUGUAAUAAGUGAUUACAUAUUGUUGCUACAUUUCGACCAAAAAAUCAGCUAAUGUUUUUUUUUUAUGAAAUACUAAUAUGGUGCAAAGGGAUUCAAUUCGGUAGCCUGUCAAUUCUAUAAAGACAAAAGAUUGGUGUGCAACUACGUGAUUGAUAUUAAAGUCUAGCAAGGAAUCUACGAUGGUAUAAUUCAUGAAAUUGAGGGAGAAAGAGACAUGCUGGUGACGUGAGAAAUGGUGUUGUUGUGGGCGUCGGUGGAAUUGCCACAGGUGAUGGCGUUGAUAGUUGUAUAAAUGUCUUUGUCGUCACCCCAUCCACCCUCCACACCGCAUGGAUCUGCAUUGAAAUCUCAAUCCGAUUUCCCUAACAUCUUUGCUAUUUCUUUCAAUGCAUCCACUGAAAGAGGAAAGAGUUGAUGAGUCAAAAGGAACAACUCGUGUGUGCCUGAGGUUGAAUAUAUGUAUGAAAAACAAGCACCAAAAACAAAACAAAAAAAAAAAAACAAAAAAACUUGGUGUACGUUGGAGCCCAAAAGGUAAAAGAACAAUACGAUGAAAGCGAUGAAAGCAAUGAAAGAUCGAUGGGUUUAUUUUUUUUUCACCUUCGUCUUGGGGCAAAAGAGUGGCGACAACAGCUAAGUUAGUGAUGCUGAAAAGGACGAGAAUAUAGAAGAGAUAUCGAGCCGAGAAGAGAAUUGUCGUCAUUUUAGUCUCAAGCUUAACGCAGAGAGAGAGAGAGAGAGAGAGAGAGAGAGAGAUCUCCCGUUCUUUAAUCAGAGUCUGUGAAAACAAAACUUGGCUAAGCGAGGGAGCAAGAGAGAGAUAAUUGUUAAGUGAGCGAUCUAACUUCAUGCAUUUAUGUAUGAAAAAAGGGAGAGUGGAUAAAGACAUUUUGCUAUUAUAUAUUUGACGACUUUAAGUCUUCUUCAAACGUACAAAUAUUCAUCCAGAAUUGAGUUUUGGUUCAACUUUUCUUCAUAAUAACUUUCUUGGAAAGAGAGAGAGAGAGAGAGAUGUGAUUGUUAAUUGAGUGGUCUUCACGAAAAAUAGAGAGAGAGAGAGAGAUGUGAUUGUUAGAGUGGUCUUCACGGAAAACAGCGAAUGGACAAAGACUGAGAGAGAGAGAUGUGAUUGUUAGAGUGGUCUUCACGGAAAACAGAGAAUGGACAAAGACUCUUUGCUUUUGUAUGUCUAGGAUGUGAAAGUGAUGUGUGAGAGUGAGACAGAGAGACAACCCCAAGUCUUUCUUGAUUGUAGCAUAUCUAUCUAGAAUAGAGCUGUCAAGCUUUUGUCCAUCUCUUCUUGCAUAAUAACCUUUUUCAUAUUAUGGGUUUAGCCAAUCCCUCCUUUCAUAUUGUCCUUCCAACGACAGUAGUCUUUUUCAUUGCUCUAAUUUUGGCAGUCGACAAAAUUUUGAUUGUCGACUUAAAAUUAAGUUAUAUAAAAAAAUUAUGGAUUAAUUUUUAGCCUCUAAAUCAAAAAGAAAAAAAAUUCCAUUAAAUUACACAGCAAAGCGCAGGUCAACGCCAAAGGACGAAGGAGGAGAAGGGACCGCCAAGGUAGCCUAAGGACUGGCCAGCACGCGAGAGAUUGGAGGGUGAAGGGUCUCCGCUGAUUGGACUUUUCCGCAGGUCGAGAGCCUAUAAAAAGAGGCCUUUGGACGCUGACCGGGGAGUUCGAAGAGGUUCAAGAUAGAAGGGAAAAAAAAAACAAAGAGAGAGAAAAGAGAAGAAAAAAGGUCCGCCGUGAGAAAUCUAGCGAGUGUCCUCUGGCGACAGACACACUCGAAACCCGGCCGACAACUUACCGAUGUUAGCCUUCUUCCCGAAUUAAAGCCACGGUAGGUCUUGGUUUGAAUCUGGUUUGUUCUUCUUCAGGUGCGUCGCGUCGAGUUCCUGAGGAUUCUGGCUAGGGGGUGCGCGAGGCGACCAGACAUUGUCCGAUCUAUCAAGUUCACCCUCAUUCGCCGCCCCUAAGUUAGUUAGUACCACCAAUGGCCCCUUUUUUUCCCUUGUCAUUUUGAUUUUGUGGCCUGAUUCGGGUUGGCCGGACCGGGCUACCGUUGUCAGUAAGUCCAUGAGCGUUCCCUGGUCGCUUUAGUUUUGAGGAAUCUGGGCUUGUUUUAAUGUGGAGAGUUUGAGUGUGAUUCAGCAUUGAUAAUGGUGGGCUUAGUUCAGCUUGUUGAGUUUGGGUUUAAUUUGGUUGAGUGGGGUUAGAAUUUGUCCUAGGCUUGGCCGAAUUGCGCUUCAAUUGUUGAGCCCAUCCCUUUCUUUAGGCUUUUAUUUAGAGCCUGACUCAAAGGCCCACGAUAGUCCACAUCCUGACCGGGCUCUAAGGCCCUACCCGGAUACGCAUCUUCGGAAUAAAAAAUUAUUAUUAUUUAAAAUAAUUUUAAAUUAAAAAAUUAAAAAAUUUUAUUUUUUUAUUUAUAUAUUUUAAGUUAGGAUAAAGCUUAAUAAUUAGUUUUUGAGUAGUUGUCUCUUAAAAUAUGUGAAAAUCCUUGAUAAAUAGAUUGUGUUUUAUUAGAUUGUUAUUUGCAUAUUUCGAUAGUGCACUUUUCAUAAUCUAUUUCCUUAGCCUAGUUAAGAAUACAUUUCUUGGACUCAUGAAUGCUACAUGAAUACUUUAUUUGGUGAUUGAAUAAGAAUAAGUACCAGAAGGGCAUUAGUUGGUUAAUUAGUGUAAUUAAGUUUCCGACUUUAGAUUAUCUAGUUCAAAGUAAGUAAUCCUCCCAGUACUUUACUUGGAAUCUAAUCGAUCCACCUUAAUUGAUUAAUGUCGUGAUUUGUAUGUUAAAAACUCAAAACAUAAGUUGCGAAUUAGUAUAAGCUUGAGAGAUUGAGCUAGAUUUGAACUUAACAAUCCAUUAGCCAAAUUCUUAGCGGUCCAUCCGAGGAUAGGUCGCAACAAUUUUGCUAUGACCAUAUCUCAGAUUUAGGUUAUUAUACAAUUUGUCGAUGGCGGAGUCCAAAUUCCAUUAUUCUUAGAAACUUCAUUAGUUCAUUCAAGGUUAUGGCUGUGGAGACCCAAUAAUGUGGAGGCCAAUGAAAUACCCUUCAAGCCCUACAAAUCGGCCAAUGAAAUACCCUUCAAGCCCUACAAAUCGGUUAAGUUCAAAUCUUCAGACCUAGACCCAAUAUUAUCUGCACACUAUUGGUGGUAUCAUAUACGUUAAAUAUGAAUAAUGGAAAAAAAAAAAUUAACCUAUUAAAGUGGUUACAAAACAAAAAUAUCAUAUAUGUCAAGUUGGAAUUCUAAUUUAGAUAGACAGAAUAAUAAUAUCUUAGGAUUUUUUAGGACUACAAUUGAAUUGUACGAUCGUGAAAACUAAAAUAUUUGUCAGCAUAGUCUAUCCCAUUCAUUAAUAGGUGCUUGUAAAUUAGCAUAUCUAAGUCUCUGUUGAUGUUGACAAGUGUUUCACCCAUUCAACAUGGAAUUAUUCGAAAUAGAUUUGAUCGAAUUUGGAUUCGGAGCGUGAGGGUUUUGUACUUUGGCUUGCUUUGGCCUAACAUGGCCUCUUUUAUCUCCGUUUCAUGUUAUAAAUCUAGACACCAAUUGCAAAAAAAUCGCGGCACAUAAAACAAAAGUUUAGACUCAGACCAAAUACUAAUGGUUCCAUGGGUGAGGUUGUGCACGAGACUUAGGCAAAACAUCAUCUUCUAUGCAUGUUUAAUCAGGUUAAUGUCGAGUCAUGGAGGGUUAUUUUAAUAUUGUCAACCAACACAAUUAUAUUGGACCCACAAGUUUAGCAGAGCUUUGAAAAUUCCGAGUUAACUUUAAAUGAUGAAUUCUAAGCAUGUAAUUUUGUCAUUUACUGUCAACCCCCGAACUUCGAGCGUUCGAACAUCCCCCAAUGGUCAAUUAAAAUGCAACUUCUCAGAACACGUUGCCAACUUGCCCAUCCGGAAACAGCCUUAGGCUGAAGUUUGAGAGCUGUGUUGGGAUAUACAAAGGAAGAAAACCCUUCCGUUACUCUUCAGCUUAUACACCCAAUCACACUAACCAUCACCACCGUGCCACCGCCAAUCGCCCCUUUGCCACCUGAAUAGUCGAGAUUCUUUUUGUUCAAUAUGGAACUUUCAGAAGUUUGUUUAAUGAAACUUGGAUGUCCCUUUGAAAUUAGUUGGUGAGAUUGAAUACAUGAGAAUUCGCUGGUUGGGUUUUGCGAUGAUGAUUGCUGCUCUUCUAGUCCAAUCAUACCCCGCACGUGUUAAGAGUAAAUAAAUAUAAAUUACACCUUCAACUAACAAUUUAAGCUUUUAAAACAGUUGAUACUUGUUUUACAAAUUUUCUCGUUGUAUCAAAGCUAGAGGUCCUCAGUUCGAAUUUUUCUAGGCCUUGUUUGCUUACCUAAUUAAAUUUCCACACUUAGAUAUUAGGCAAAAAAAUCAGACUAAGACUAAGUGUCACCUCAAGACCUUUAGGAAGAUGUACAAGAGGAGCUGCGGAACAAAAUCGAAAGGUCAAAAAGGACAUUAAUUGUCCUUAAUAAACAAAUAACUUCCUGAUGUACAAGAGGAGUUGUGGAGCAAAAUUGAAAGGGCGAAAAGGACAUUAGCUGUCCUUAAUAAACAAAUUACUUCCUGAUAGGUUAGUUGUCCUUAAUAAACAUAUAACUUCCUAAAGUACAAGAGGAGUUACGGUACAAAAUGGAAAGGUCGAAAAGGAGUUAGUUGUCCUUAAUAAACAAAUAACUUCAUGGUCUAAUAUGCGGUUAUAAAAUUGUCAUAUUAUCUAAUAGGACUAUGCUUAGAGGACGGUACCAUCACUUUCCAUGAAGUGACGGAGCCCUCCUCACCACACAUCCUUAAGUGUAAGAUUUUGGGGAUCGGAAUAUCAAAUUGACAAAUAUGUUGUCAAAAAUGUCAUUGCUGUAGAAUUGCCCUAUCGUAAAAUCGACCAUACAAAUUUUGAGCUUGUAUGAUGUCAACUAAUAUUUUAUGAAAUUUUCAAUUCAUCAAAUUGAUGAAAUCCCUCUGAUCACUCAAUUCCAAACUUAGCAUUAAAUGAUAACAAAUUAAAGACAAAUGAAAAACAGAGGCAAAGCAGAAGAGAGGAACUGGACGUAGAUAAAUAGUGGUGUUGGCAAUGGUAGCUGUAGGCGCCAUGCAUAUGGAGGACGGCGAAAUGGUGGUGGGGCUGGGUUCAAAUGGAGGGAGGGCAAGGCUAUUGGGUGGCGAUGGAUGUUGCGAUGAGGAAGGAGAGGUGGCGAUAGCGGAGACGAUGCUACAACCAACUCUCGCCGAAGCCAACGCCUUUGUGUCAGAGUUAUCCCUCACCCUCGCUAUUGAAGCUUGCAAUCGCUCCGUAUUCGUCGUCCAAUCUCCUUCUCUGGUACAGACUGCAUUAUGGAAAUUCAUUAAGUGCCUUCAGUGGAAGAGAAACUUUUCUUUGAUCAGAGCAAUAAUCUGAGAAAAUGUAUGGAGGAAUACAUAGCAUGGAGGAGACAAUAGCACGUGGGAUAUAUGUGGCUUUACAACAAGGCCAUUUUUGGCAAUUGAUUUUGUCAAUUUGAUAUUCCGAUUCCCAAAAUCUUAUAAUGUAUAGUCAGGAGAGCUCCGUUACUAUGUAGGAAUUGACAAUACUAAUCUCUAAGCAUUUCUUUGUCUAAAAAUACCUAAGUAGAUAUGUUUUUGUGUUGAUCGCUUCUUGUUGAUAAUUUUUUCAAUCAACUUCCCAAAUCUUCUUUUGCGGAUAAUUUUCAAGUUGUGUUGUCAAUGACUUCAUUGGCAAUUUAUUGAUCCCUUCAAAUUGUGGACUGUUUUGUUUUAUUUAUGAUUUCUAUUUUCAACAAACCCCACUCUUAUCUGUUAGAAUAAUAAAAAAAAAUGAUUGUUGAAGAUUUGAGUAAGUUGGUUAUUGAACUCUAGAUUUGGUGCGAGAAGAAGAAGAAGAAGAUUGCACACGGUUUUCAUGUCAGCCUAAUAAGAAAGUCAAAAGAAAAGGGACAACAUAAAUGAAGAGAAGGAGGAGUCGCAAGAAAAAUUGGCCAGUAAAAAUUGUGGGCUUCGUUUGUCCUAUUUCAUUCAUUGCAUGGAUCAAAUAAAGAGGAAAGAAGGCUCCAUGAAGGCCCAUUAAUGCGUGCACAUGUAUGCGUGCCAUGAAAAAUGGAGUGGGCCGUUGCUAUUGCAAAGAUUUGUCUUGCAGGCACCGUUGCUAUUAUUUAAUGUUUGUGUGAUUUCCUUUUAGCUUUGUUGACUUUUGUAGUUUCACUUUAAUGUUAACAGAAGGAGCGUUGAAGAUCUCGUGUGCCAUGUUUAUCUUCAUCUCUAUUGUAAUUUAGUGUUAUGCUAUUAUGUAAGAUGUGUAAGGGGUGUGUUGUAAAAGAGUAGCCACCACAAAGCAUUCUAAGAAUAACUUCUCCCUUUGGUCUUCACUUGUGCCUUAUUCCGAAAUUUUCAAAGUUGCCAUUAAUUUUUUCCUUUUUUAUUCCAACAUCAUUGACUAGUCUAUCUUGUCGAUAAUAAUAAAAAUUCGAUCAUCUUUUGAUGUCAACAAUAAUGAAAAUAUAUGUGUCGAUACAUCUUAACGGGAACUAAAUUAAUAAAACACAUAAAUUAUAUUAUGUUAGUUUGAUUUAUGUCAAUGUCAGUAGGGUAAGUAAUCUUUUGCUCAGUUGUGAUUAAUGAAGAACAGUGAUGGAAUUUUGUGAUCAAAUGCGUCGCUAUCUGCCCCCACCUCCUCAUUUAUUAUUAGAUUAGAUACACACAUUUUACUCAACUUUCUUGAGACGAAAGAGACGGAUGCUAAAACAUUACGUGAAGAGAGAGAGAGAGAGAGAGAGAGAGAGAGAGAGAGAGGAUACAGAGAUCCAAGACUAAAAAUCAGCUGCCACAGUUCCCGUAAAUAAACAUGCAGGGGUUACGAGCAAUCGCCAUACCCACGUCGGAGACUGCAGAGAACGAGACCGAGCUGAGACAAACCGUUUUCUUUGUUCUUUCUCAGUGAAAAGCCACCAGUGUACGUGUUUGCAUGAUCGAGUACCGAGUGUGUGCAGGCAAAUGUUCGUCAAACCAGCGAAAUAAAACAAAAUGAUCAACAAAUCGAUCAUAAUAAAGUAAAUAUGUGAAAAUAUGUCUUCUUCUUCUCCUCCUCUUUCUGAAGUAUGGCGCCUCAGAUGGAUUAGGUCUCUCCAGGCAUGUGCAGUUAAAUUGAUCAUGUUGGACAAGUCUAAGGAGUAAGUUCUUGCAGCCUCUUGAUUGCGCUUGGGUCGCUCCGUGGGCCGAAGGUUAAAAAUAGCUAGGUUAUCGAUACUUCUUUUACUUUUCUUAUCAUUACAUCUUCAAAUGGAAAUCAAACUUGGUAUACACAAACAACCCCGUCAAGAUCCAAGAGAUUCAAACGUACUUAAGAAGCCCUGCAUCAAAAUGACAAAAACCCUUGAAAAGGAAAGGCCAUGGAGUGGGAGAGAGGGAUAAAACCAGCGUUCAAUUGAAACACCCAACGGCCAACUCAUCUCAAUGUGUCACCAUCCGGCACCACAUAAGCAUGUCAUAUCUCAGGCCCCCUCCCAUUCCUAUAUAAUUGGUAUCCAUCCUCACAGGCCUUUCCCACUUGCACUACAGAUCCAUUAUAAUCCACACUGACCAGCACUCGCAGUUUUUUUUUUCUUUUUGGUAAAGGUAAGAAAUCUGACCAGCACUCGCAGUUGUACUUGGCUGGGAGCUAGAAAACGAGACCACCGAGAGAGAGAGAGAGAGAGAGAGAGAGAGAGAGAGAGGGAGAGAGAUGAAAAUGAUGGAGGCGAGGAAGGAUGUGAUAAAUAAUGACUUUGAAGAGAAAGAGAGCAACUGCAUCAACGGGCAAUCGUCCGCGUCCUACCUGGUGUGGAACGACUUGACGGUGUCGGUCCCCGCUGGUUCCAAGAGGAAACUGCUAAACCAGCUCAGCGGGUACGCUCAGAUGGGUCGGAUCUUGGCCGUCAUGGGUCCUUCCGGCUCCGGAAAAUCCACUUUCCUCGACUCAUUAGCAGGUUUCUCCGCUUCUCUCUGCCAACCUCCUCAUUUCGGAACAUUUUCUGGCAACAAUAUAUCCAUUUACUUGGCCUUGUUGUAUUGCAUUUUUAUUUGAGUUAUUAAAAAGUCCACCGCCGGUGAAAUCCGAAUUCCACCUUCGAAGCUCUACGUACGAAACUCCUAGUGAUACCGAUACUGUUACCGAAAGAUCAAGACAACAAGCAUUGCCCAUAUAUGGAAAAUAUAGCAACUUAAUAUAGUCACCAAAAUCAUUAAUAGCAUCGAAAUAAUUGCAAGUGGCUACGAUGAUUACCCUUUCCAUAGCCAGAUCUAGUAGUGUAGAAACGAAAGUGCAGCAAACUGUUUAUUCUCAUAUGAAUUGGGUCUCCCAUGUAUAUUGAUGCUAUUCUCUUUCGAUAUCUAUUAUGUAUAGUUGAACUCACUUUAUUUAAAGAUUAGAAAUAGAAUUACAUAAAAAAAAUAAAAAAAAGAUACGGUUUAUAGAAGUAAAAUAGUGAUGAUAUAAUUAUUUUUGUAACUAAUAAAUUCACUCGAUAUAAAUUCUAAUAGCAUAAUAAAAUUCUUAUAAAAAAAAAUUAAAAGAUGAAUAGUAUUUAAGUGUAACUAGUUCAUAGUUAUAUCAUUUCAUCUGGCUUGAUAUCAAAAUCCUUUGACAUUGAGGCGCAAACAUACUCUACAACGAUUUUGUCUCUCAUUUAUAUUGAUGUUAUUCUUUUUCUUUGUUGAAUUAUGAUAUAUAAUUGAAAUCAUGUCAUUAGAAGAAGAAAAUAAAAUUAGCUCACGAAAAAAAAUUAAGAAGAUACAACUCUUAAAUUUCCGGUAACUAAUAUCAAUAUCACUUGGGAGUUUCCAUAUAUGGUGCACUGAAAGUGGGAUUUGGAUUCCACUAGCAGAGGACAUAGAAUAACUCUGACUUGUUCACCAUGGUUUUAAAAAAGAAAAGAAACUCUUGAUUUGAUCAGCAAGACCACAUUAAUGAUAUCAUGCUAUGAUAACAUAGCGUAUUAUUGUUACACCCAUGUAAGCUUGAGGGUUUUGGCGACAAAAAAAAAGGUUUUUGAGUAUUGAUUUAAUAGUGGUCAUAAUUUACAAUUUUAUUUAGUUGUAUGCCCUUUGUAAGGGACAUGUUUUGUUAAUUUGUAAGAUGUUUGUGAUUUAUGUUAAUGUUCAAAUUAUUGAAAAACCUACAACCAAGUCAAAGAGAAAUGCAACCAUUGGCCACUCUUCCCACAUGGGAAUGGGGAGGUGGGGAGUUCAUAUCCCCACCUUCUCAGGUGGGUUGAGGUGAUGACAAUUUAGCUUCGAGUUUGGGUUUUAACUCUCACUUCCUACAAAGAUGCAGGGCAAAAGUCUAAGAGUGAGAGUUAGAGUAGAAGUAAAGUAAUAUAGACAAAAAAAAAAAAAAAAAUCAAAGACUAGGCACAUGUAUGAAGCAUCAACUACUUUAUUUACUAUUUGAGUCGUAUGUCCGUGAAAGGAGUGCCAAUUCAUCAAAUCGAGAGAUUCUUGAAGGUUAAGACAAGCAAGAUGGCUGUAAUGAUGAAUAAGAAAGUUGGGACUUUUUUUCAUGAUCUAAUCCUCUUAAAAAUCACCACUCCCUAAAAAAUCUCCAACUUUAUAUUUACAUCCUAAUUUUGCCUCGAACUUAAAAAAUUUCUAACUUUCACUUUAGUUUCAAUUCAACUUCACAUCCCAAAAUCACCACUAGUUUUUUUCUCAUGUCAUCAAUAUUUGAGGUUCUUGUCAUUCUGUAUGAAGGUGAGGGUGUGUAAGAAGACGUGAGUUCCGAUUUUAAACCUCUAACUAGCUUUAGUAUUGAAAAUUUCAAAGAAAAUAGUUACUUGUUUUGAACGUGGGAGCAAAUUUGGGACUACGGUGAAAUUUUGUGUGUGUGUGUGUGUGUUUUUUUUUUUUUUUUUUUUUUUUUUUUUUUUUUUUAAUAAAAGAAGUUUGGGCCAUGAUAAUUGGGGGUUUUCUAGAGAAUUAACCUCAUUUUUUUUCGUCAUGUUCUUAUUAUGGCCCAAUUUUUUUAUUUCAUAAGAAAACCACAAAUCAAUGGUACCCCAAUCCAGUAGUUUUUAUCCAAUGACGUUGUCCAAGAUUCGACCACCAUUCCAUGUGUACUUGGCAGAAUCUUAAUGAGGGUCAGAUGUGGGUGCCAAAUGAAAUUGGUAUUUCAUUAUGGGACUGAAAAAAUUUGGACUAAAAUUAGGCCACAAUUUGAAGUUAAUGUCUUUUUAUGAGAUAAAAUAUAUGGAUUAGGGCUUUGAUCCAAAGCCAUUAUUUCUCAAUAUUUUUCUACAAGAGAAGAAAUUGAGUCAACAUUGAGAUUCAAGGUAAAGUUGAUGCACUUCAACAUUGAGAUUCAAGGUAAAGUUGAUGCACUUUAAAAGGAGUUGCGCUUUUUACGGAUCAUGGCCCAGAGACUUUCCUGAAUCCGGGGUUGACCCGUCCACUUUAUCCCUGGGCUUGACAAGACAACUUCAAUUUAAAGGGAUUAUUUGGUUGCUUGUAGUUGAUAUGGGACAAGAAUAGUGUAGAUAGAGAGAAUUAUGGCUUACGCAUUCCAUAUUUUAGGUGCAUAAUUACAUUUACUACAUAAGUACGUAUACACCAAGAAAUACAUGUUUCAACCAGUUAAUAGCCACUUUAGUUAACUACUUACUAUGUUUUGCUUUUUAGCAGGUCGGAUUUCUUCUGACGUCAAAAAAGAGGGAAUUAUUUCCCUAAGUGGGAGGAAGAAGGGGUUCCUAAACCACAAUGAUCUGGUAAGCAUAUCAAAGUCCUUAGGCAUAAAGUUAGCUUUUGCUAUAUAUUAUUUGUCGGGGGCAGAUUUAAUAUAACAAAGUAAAAAAGAUUAAGAGACGAGUAUCUUGACUCUUGCGGAAGAUAAUUCUCUUUUUUUUUUUUCAGGAUUACUAUCAUUAAAAAUUUCGAAGUGGUAUUCCAUGACAUAUCUAUCCCAAAACAGUUUUUGUUUCCCACAAAACCCCAACUAUUCAUUUGAUUAACUAAAAGGAAACUUUAGUGCAGUAAUUCUUAGAUCAUCAUUGGAAAAACAAGAUUGCUUCCAUCAGCUCAAUCCUGGCAAUAGUUUCAGUUUGGCAUACUACUCUGACCAGUGACCUCUAAAAUGGUGCAUCACUAGGCCACUCUUCUGUCAAUUUUGUUUCAUGAAGCAUUCCUUUAGCCUUCAAAAGAUUAAAUCAUAUUUUCAACUUCCUCUAAUUCAAUCUAGUGGUUUAUGUGUAUCACUGGACGAUAUUCUUAUAAUAAAAAUUUGGCCAAAAAAAAAAGUCAAAAAAUUUGGCUGGUUGGGCCAUGUUUCUCCUUUCUAAAAUUUGAGCUUAUAAAUUGACAAAUAAAUUUAUAUCUAACGAUUGACAUUUCAAUCGGGGUCCCAUGCUUGCAUUUAGAUGUGAGAAUAAUUUUAGGAUUGAAUUGGGAAUUAGAGAACUGGAUCGAUCACUGAUUCGGUUCUAGGUUCCAAUGCACCCUAGUCCGGUUCCAUUUUUAGGAAUCGAUGGUUCCCGUGGGAACUGGGAAUUGAGAAUCAAACUGAUAACUGAGAAUCGAGAAAACCCUAAAGAGAGGCUUUUACUUUUUGCUAAUAAGAACUUAGAUGUGCUUAUAGAGGGGUUAUAUUCAUUUUUCUUGCAAUCAAUAACAAUCAAUGUGCAUGAGGUCGUCAGUAGUUGAAAUAAGGGUUACUCCUAGGAAGAGUUAUAAUUCUCUACUAUAGUCACUUAUAAAGUUCUAAUAAAGGAAUUAGACCGAGACUUAACAUAAAAGGUUUUCAAAUAUUAGCAGCUGGAUAAAGCGGCAAUAAUGUCAAAUAUUGCACUAAUUUUCCAAGACCAUUAGAUCUAUUCUAGUUUCAUUUCCUGAAAACAAACAUAUAACAAUUGUGUCUUAUUAUAAUUCAUAUCAUUCUAUGUUGUUCAUAGACUGAAUAAAUUACCCUACAUAGCAUUAUCUAGUGGGAAUAUGCAAUGGCGAGUAUCAUACUAUCACAAAAUUUCACAUGUUAUUCAACAUAUUCAAGGUACUUUUGUCGUGCCCAUUAAAACAAAAUUGGAAUCCAUGGACCUUUUGCUCUAUAAGACCAUAAAUAUGGUGAUUAGUUUGGUCAUGAUCUUCACUGGAUAUUGGCCAAAGCUUAUGUUAACACAUGUUAACAUGUACUUCGAUAAUGUAGAAUUUAAUUUCUCGCUUGGUUUAAUUAUAACACCUUCUACUUAUAUUCUAUUAUUGAUGUGUAUGUGUGAAAUUGACGUAUAUAACAUGUCAAUGGAGGUGGAAGGAUGUGAGGCAAUGAUUUUCAUUACGUGUGAGGGAUGUGGAUGAUUGAUGACUAAAAUUCAAUAACUUAGGUUUCAUGUUAUGUGUUUUGAACUUUUUAUUGUUUAUUUUAUUUUAACGUUCAUCUUUUAUAGAUAAUUUCUAUUGACAAAUGAAAAACGGUCAUUUUUGCUUUUGCAUUCACUAUCAUUUUGCUUCACUAAAACUGCCAAAAGAAAAGAAAAGAAAAGAAAAGAAAAGAAACAAAAAGGAACAUGUUAGANNNNNNNNNNNNNNNNNNNNNNNNNNNNNNNNNNNNNNNNNNNNNNNNNNNNNNNNNNNNNNNNNNNNNNNNNNNNNNNNNNNNNNNNNNNNNNNNNNNNNNNNNNNNNNNNNNNNNNNNNNNNNNNNNNNNNNNNNNNNNNNNNNNNNNNNNNNUCAUUUUGGCAUUUUUUCAGUCCUAUGUGACCCAAGAAAAUCUUUUCUUGGGUACUCUCACUGUCAAAGAGACAAUAGCUUACACAGCUCAUCUGAGGCUUUCUUCCGAAAUGACGAAAGCCGAGAUCGACGAGUUGGUAGAAGCAAACAUAAAGGAGAUGGGACUUGGAGACUGCGCAGAAAACAAGAUUGGUAACUGGCACUUGAGGGGCAUAAGCAGUGGAGAAAAGAAAAGACUCAGCAUCAGUCUUGAAAUGGUCACAGACCCGCUGAUCUUGCUCCUUGAUGAGCCUACCACAGGCUUAGACAGUGCCUCGGCUUUUUCCGUGGCAAGAGCUCUAAGAAAUAUUGCAGAUGAAGAAAGAAUAGUUAUUUGCUCAAUCCACCAGCCCAGCAGUGAAGUUUUCGAUCUUUUUGAUGAUUUACUCCUUCUGUCGAGUGGAGAAACUGUGUUUCUAGGAGAAGCCAAAAUGGCCAUUGAGGUAAUAAAGAGUCAACACUUCAUUCUUACUCAGACAUUUUGGCUGUGCAGAAGCAAGAUAAUGUAAUUUUAAGUCCUGGUGCAGUUCUUUGCAGAUGCUGGAUUUGCUUGUCCGAGGAGGAGAAAUCCCGCUGAUCACUUUCUACGGUGCAUUAGCUUGGACUUCGAUUCUGUAACUGCUACUAUUGCUUUCUAAUAGAAACUAUGUUGAGUUUUAAAUCGAGCACUUCUAUACUCUGCAUCAGUUCUUGUGAUAUGUAAAGUGACUUCCGAAUAUAAUUAUCAAGGCUUGCUAUUUUAUCUUGCAGCAACUCCAGCAUCAUCUGGUUUUUCAUGAACAUGAAACAGCAGAGAUUAAAGCCACACUCAUCCAAAGUUACAAUCCUCAAGUAUUCAUGCAAGUUAGGAAAAAAAUNNNNNNNNNNNNNNNNNNNNNNNNNNNNNNNNNNNNNNNNNNNNNNNNNNNNNNNNNNNNNNNNNNNNNNNNNNNNNNNNNNNNNNNNNNNNNNNNNNNNGAAAUUGCAGCUACUGUAAGCACUCCAACUCAGAAGAAAUAAAAAUCAAGAUAAUGCUUGUGCAGUCAUUUUUCCUGUCUUUCCUGCUUACCAUAGUUAAUGAACAAUGUCUCCAACUGUGAUUUUUGAAACUAAUGGAGUUACAUCUAUAUUGAAGUAGCAAUUUCCAUAACUGAUGUUGUCAAAAUUGAAUCUCCUGUUGAAUGCUGAAGGAUUAUCAGGUCUGCGAGUUGAAUAAGAAUACUAAUUCCAGCAAGUGGAAGCAGCUCAGGGUUUUGACUCAUCGGUCCUUCAUCAACAUGUAUAGGGACAUUGGAUACUCCUGGUUGAGGAUCAUGCUCUACAUUUUAUCAUCAAUAAGUGCUGGAACUCUAUAUUUUGACAUCGGAUACGACAAUGGGGCAAUUAUCAACAGAGGAAAGUUUGUUUCAUUCCUCUUCGGCCUCAUGGUAUGUUUGUCUUGUGGUGGUGUCCCUUUCUUCAAUGAAGAACUGAAGGUAUAGCAAAGGAUCAAGGCUGAUCGAUUUUCAGCUAUUAUAUAUCACCAGUAUCUUCUUACUUGAGGUGAUAUUAGAAUGAUUUGUUGUUAGGACUAGAACUAAGUUUCCUCUGCAGGACAGACAAGCUCCACCACGAUAGGUGUGAAGUUGCAUGUUGAAGCCUAAGACACUGUAAAUAACACAAAUCUAACUAAAGAACUUUUAGUUGAUGGCCUACUCCAACUCAUAGUCACAGAGGAAUGUGAGUAUUGCACAAUCAAUUGGAGAGAUUAAAGCUAAAUCAACUAACUUUUUUCAAGGGAUGCUUAAGAUUAUUCAUAUGGGAUCAAUCUCAUCAUCAAAGCAAGAAUAUACAUUAAUUACAUAAAAAAGGAGAAAUCUCGACAGCGUAUGACAUCCUUUUCUUGUGUAUCUCAGGUUUUUUAUGCCGAGAGACUCAAUGGACAUUAUGGCGAGACCCUGUUUGUGCCUGCGAAUUUCCUUUCUUCGCUCCCUUUCUCGGUGGCGAAUUCUCUGCUUUCAGGAACAACGAUAUUCUACAUGGUGAAGCUUCAUCCAGGACUCUCUCACUAUGGUUAUUUCUGCAUUAACUUCUUCUGCUGCACCACCAUUAUUGAGAGUUGCAUGAUGGUUGUGAACUCAUUUGUCCCCAACGCCUCGAUGGCUGUAGUAAUUGGAAUUAGUGUCAACGUAAGCAAAUUUUCUCUCUUAAACUUCCCUUAAAUUACGUUGUCAUUCAUAGCUAAUUUUUGUGGAUUCAGGUUCUAAUGAUGAUGGCAUCACAGAUCUUUAGACUUCUUGCUGAUCUUCCCAAGUUCUUUUGGCGGUACCCCAUGUCCUACAUCAGUUUUGCCAAGUGGGCAGUUGAGGUAGUUAGUAUAUAGUGAUUAGCUAUUUUUUUCCUAAAUCAAGCUUGAAAAUUUAUCAACAUAGUUAUGCAUAGAGCCAUGACAUGGAAGACAUUUAUCUUCAGUUUCAAUAAUAUCGUCUGCCUAGUAAAACAAAACCAGGAGCAUGCGCUACUACUUGCAUUGCAUAUUUAAACUCAUUGAAGUUAAAAUUCUCAUCUUCCGCCUAAGGUACAUUUAUGAGAAGGAAAUCUCAAACAACAUAAAUUAAGUAAGAUGCCUUUUAUUUUGAUGUGAAGAAAUGGGUUGAAUGGUCAGACAAUCCCGCCACUCCCUUCUUCCUUUUCGGAUCGUUGACCUGCUCUUCCAUAUGCUAGAGGUUAGGUUAACCGAUGUAAUAAUGUAAUACUAUGAAAAUUCUGUUAUCAAUCUCUUUCAUAGAUUGAUCAAAACACCACCAGGCUUCACCACAUGUUUCACUCCGUCUCUUUACUCAAGCUAGAGCUUCAGAUAAUCAAGGCUUCUCAGAAGUAGUUCUGCGACUAGCCAUGGCAGUCAACAAUACAAGCAUAUGAUUUGGAUCAGUGACUUCGAGUUCUCCCAAAUAUCUCAUGAAUUACAAGUCACUCAUACAAAUCAUUCACACGCCUUGCAGGGUCAAUACAAGAAUGUCAUGACCGGUCUUGAGUUUGAUUCAGCAGAGCCAGGAGAACCACAACUGAAAGGCGAGAUGAUCCUCAAAACAACUUUCGGCAUAUCACUGGAUCAUUCCAAGUGGUGGGAUGUAGCUGUGCUUCUGUUUCAACUGUUUGUUUACAAAGUACUGCUCUUGUUAGUGCUUAGGUACAAGAAGAGAAUAGCGCCCCAGUUAUGGUUGUCGUCACAAGAGUUACUCAGGGUGUCUUGACAGAUGAUUUCGGUGCCAAAUAGCAGCUAGCAUCCCUUAUGUUUCCAGAACAUACUUACUUUAUCGGCAACUAAUGCACCAUGGUUAUGUAAACGAUGCAUAUAUCUCUAGUUGUCGCAAGUUCUAAAUGCAAUUCAACUUUUUCACUUCAAUGUUAUGACUAAUUUGAUAUUGGUAUACGUAAUGUGACAAAAUUUAGACCUAAUGCUCGGCCUGAGGUCCACCCCUUCCUCUUUGUAAUUAAUGUAGAUUAUAAACCUCUUACAAAGCACAAAAAUUGGACAUACGGCAUUGGACAGACGGCCCGUUUAGUGCCUCUCUCUCUCUCUCUCUCUCUCUCUCUCUCUCUCUCUCCUACAAGCUACUGCGAGAUUCGAUCUAGUGGAUAAUAAAGUACAUUGAUUACAAGCAAAACAUAUGUCACGCAAUGAGUUACAACUUAUAUUGAAAAUAAAGAUUAAGCAAUUCAAGGGUUGUACAAGAGUCAGAUAUAGCUUGCACUCAUUUCCAAAAGCGAAAGGGCCAAAUAUGUAAAAGCCAAGAAAGUGUACUUGUCCUCGAAUGCCCAACUUUUGAGGCGCCCAGGAUAAACAAAAUCAUCGUGACUUUAAGAUGCUUUGCAAGAAAAACCGGUAUCCUCAUCCUUCCUACUUAUUUCUUCUGUUUUUUCCGCACAGCAUUAUUGCCAUUGCGUGCUCUGGAAGCUUUAUGAUUUCUCAUUGAGGUUUCCAUGCUCAUGCUACCUUUUAGUUCCAUCUUUCUCUUUUCCCCGCUUUUAAGUUUGUGAAAGGUCCUCUUCCUUUUCUUUACAGAUUCGUUGGAUUGAAUCUUAGAAAAUUUCCCAGAAGCCAAAUCACCAUUCUUUUUAGAACCUUCUAAUCUGCCAUCAGCAGUAAGAGAAGUUUCAUAUUCUCCUGAGUGGGGGGAGCCAUCUUUGUUCUUCAAUCUCCUUUUCUAUCCUCGUUCCCCGACAUCUUUCCGAUUUGCGGAAGCUUCCUUGUUCUCUAUCCUGCCUUCAUUUGAGGUUUUGUUUCACUGAUUCUAAAAGGUCAAACAUGCGAUCAUUUUACAAAACAAUAUUACGACCUCCAGAAAUCAUGCACUGCUAAAUAAUAUUUCUGUAGGAUACACAUCCAAGCGUUGUUGAAUUCAUUACCUCCAUAACUGUCUUAAGAAAACCCUUGUACUUUUCUGGGGUAACAAGCUGAACAGCAGCAAAACCACACUUCCUAGUCAUUAUCUCAAGAAUGACCGUGACCUGCAAAAAAGAGGCCCUUGGAAGGAUGUGUGCAUGGAAUUAUCACAAAAAAACUCAGCAAACUCCCAGUAAAUUUCACAUGCCUUUGAUCUGAAGUGAUGCCUGGAGACAGAUGACCAUGAAAUAACACCAUCAACAAUGUCUGAAAGUAAACUCUGAAGGUCUUCAUUCCGUAAGCAAGACACUACUACUUUCACAAAACCUAGAACAGCCUGCAAAAUGUGUACGAAGUAACUCUCAAGCCAUGCCAAUUGGGGCAAGAAUCUACUUUGGUAAUGGUAUACUCACUUUUAUCACUUCCACCGCUUUGCUUUGUAGCAGAGAAAGAACAGAAGGAAUAAGAUCAGGAAUUGAUAGACAGAUAUCUGUAUCCUUGUAAACUAGUACGGACAAUGCAGAAACAGCUCCACUUGUAAUUUGAGGUGAUGAACCAGAAAGAUAGCCCACUAUCUGAAAGCACGUUAUUUAGAAUAAAAAAACUAUUACUUGAAUAAAAUUACAAUCCCGAGUAUUGCAAUUGUCCAGUAAUAAAUCACUGUUAAGAACUACAAGCAGAAAGGAAAAUUGCAGAUUAGGUUAGACAAUUUCUACAUAAGUAUGCUCUCCCGAUCAUCUGACAGAAAGUCCUGUAAGCAAAUAAAAUUCCCCGAUGUUCACAAGACACUUAAAGUGUUCAUCUGUGCAGUGCAUAUAAAACUUCUUUGGGCAACCAUUUACACGAGGAACCCAAGCUUUAAUAAUAACACAUGAGAAAGGGACUCCACUACCCCUUGAUUAACCAAUUUGGCUUCUUAAAAUUUCUCAACUUUUCAUCGGAUGAAACAAAUGCAAAAUUUCGAUUGAAUAGCCUUAGGGGCCAACAAGGCAUCCACAAGAUACAGACCACAUGAUUUUAAAUUUUGCCACUUGUAUUUCGGUUCUUCGUUUUUCUACUGGUUAGAGGGCAUUAAUCAUCUUCUCCUCUGGCUGCAACUGCAAAGCCUAAUCCCUUGGCAGAAGCAGCUAGACAUGAAUAAAUGAAGGAAUAUGCCGUGACUCAACCAUACUGCAGCCAUGAAAUUAGCUUUAUUCUUUUAGAAGAGAAAUAUGUUUUAAGGCCUCUGAAUCAAUUCGUAGCCAUACCAGGCUUACAAUCUUCAAAUACAAUGCACAUACUUAUAAAGAUUUUAACCAAUACCAGGAAGCAGUAUACACAAGACCAUGAGGACUUCAGUCCACUGUUUCCCAAUUUUGCAGGAACAACAACAUGGCCAAAGAAGAGGAAUUUAAAUAAACUACAUUCUCCUUCAACUUUUCCCCCAUCUAUGGAUGUUACGUGAGGCAGAGCAGAAACCCAAUUAUUUACAACACGAAAGCCCCUCCAGAUGACAAUUUACAUAGGAUCAACCAUUGUAAAAUACGUACUUCAGACAAGAUAGAAGGAACUGCUUCAACCUCUUCCAUUGUUGUUACUUUCAACUCCCUAUGCCUCAUGUACCCAUUCUUUUAAAGUUCUAUUUUUGUUUUCCUUGCAUGUUCCUGAUGUUCUAGAAUGUAUGUAGUAUCAAACAUGUCUUAAAAUAUAAGCAGUAAUUUCCACCAAAGCUACACAAAUAUGUCCCAUAAUGAAGAAUACCGUACCAUGUUAAUCAGUUUCUGACAAGGUGCAACUGAACUAACAGGCGAAAUGCUUCUCAAGCUGGAACAUAUGUUGAUGAGAACAUCAUAAGCUUCCUUCCUAGAUUCCUCCUUAGCCUGCAAAUUUCAUGUCACAACAGUGAUUAGUGCUGAAAGUAGAUCAUCACCCCCACACUGUAAAGGAGGUUCUUACAUCCUUUAAGACAAGUAUAAUCUCAUUGAGGAUGAAAAAAGCUUUUGAAUCUUCUUUCUCCUCCUCCUCCUCCUCCUCCUCCUGCUGCUCCUCCACAGAGUUUAUCUGCAUGAAGAAUCAACUUGACAUGUCAAAUAGAACAGCAUAUGACAUCAACAAUAGACGUGCUUAUAUUACUUAAUUUUGAGCUACAAUUGCAAAUGCACCAUAACCAAAAACUUAAGAAUCCGUUUGCAAGAAGUACAUAUAUGAUUCCUUCCAUGUUGAGACACAGCCCAAAAGAAAAAAGAAGUUUUUGGCCUUAAAAGCGGAAAAGCCAUUCAUGGCAUUCAAUAUUAUUUUAACGAAUUAAAGGGAAGAUGGGUGAAUGAUGAUAGUAGGAUCAGGUUAUUAGAAAUUUAAAAAAUUGUGAGAUUGGCGAAAACUGAUCUGUUAGGUUCUUUAAGCAAAAUACCACUUAUAUAAUCAUUUUUAAUUUUUUUAAUUUCCACAAAGUUCAAUAAAAAACAAAAGGGUGAUGAAAUACUCCAUGCUUAGCUCUGUACAAGAACCUGUUAGCCAUCCAUACAUUAGGAGUUUGGAAAAGUGAAAAGUUUAAGAGUCUUCAUAUUCACAAAUACAGGCGUUACACCUGCUGUGAGGAUGAAAUUCGAAUUUCCUCUAGGAAGGGAAAGGCCUGCUCUUAGAUCAAGUCUUAAUGUCAAAUUUCCAAAGGCAAACUUCAACUGAAGGAGAUCCAUUAAACAUUUUAAGAAAUUCCUUAGAGAUGGAGGGAAUUGCCCAAGUAGGAGACCAUGCGAAUAUAUUGUGGGGCCAGAACAAAAAAUGGAAUAGUAUUUAAUUUAAGGAUUGUGAUAUAGCUGCUCACCUGCAGCAUACAAUCUAGGCAACAGAAAUAGAACAAAAGCCAAACUCAAAGAACUGCUAAAAUAACUGUUCUAGCACAUCAAGAAUAUAAAACCAUGAAACACGAGGAGAAAUUUAUUAUGAAGAACAAAUGCAAUUUCUUCUUGAAUAAAUGUUGUAUACUUUGCUUUUCGGUGGGACUAAUCUUGAGCUGUUUUCACAACACAGGAUUAAGACAUUUCUUAAAGGCUCAUUGCACUCUUAUUCCAAGACAACCAGCCCAGGACACAGCUCAUAUUCAGUUUAUGAAAAGAACAAGAAAUGGCUUCUAUUUACGUCAAAACGUGAUAUAUACACCAAAAAUGAAGGACAUAAAAUUCUGCACUUUUUUCACAAGAAUAGUAGACACCAAACAUACAAAAGAAAACAAGUACUGCAUUGCCACAAGAAACAUUCUGACCUUUAAUGCAUGAACUAUCAGAACAUGGAAACAGGCAAAGCGGCUUCUCAGAGUUGCAAUAUCAGAUGGAGUCCUUAGGCCAAUUAGUAAAUCAAUCAACUGCGAAUAUUGAGAUGAACAAAACCAGGGAUGCACCUGCAUAAUAGAAAUGACAGAAAAACAAUCACUUCCAGUAAGAAUAUGUCUUGAAUGGAGAUACCACACAAACAUACCUCCAAAAUUUUGCUCAAAGCAUUAUAGGCUUCAGCAUGGCCAUGGUCAUUGCUUUCCUUGUGGAAGAAAAUUCAUGAAUGAUUUAGGCUAUAGAAAUCACUAAACUCAUCCAUUAAGUCAAGAAAACAAAGCUACUAUUCUUAAAGUCAAUGCACACCUGAAAAGUGUCCUACUAUUUUUUUUUUUUUUUUUCUGAGGGUUGUGAGGACCUUGCAUAGAACAUGACAGGAGUGGAUUUAUUAUUGGAUGCAUCCUCAUGAUGUUACUGUACUUGCAUAGAACAUGACAGAUGACAAAAUGUCAUCAAGAAGAGGAAACAGCAGUGCCCAAUUUCCAUAACAUGGUAGCUCAAAAUUUUGCUAGCAGAAUAUAGAAUCUAUGCAUACGGACGCAACCUAGUAAUCUCUGCAAUUGCUAACAGUAGAAAAAAGUUCUGGAUGCUCACAAAUAGAAUUGGUCUGUCGAUAAUCAAACAUCUGUUACAAUAAAUUGUCAAAUGUGACCUAAAGGACCCCUCCUUUAUCAAGUGUUUCAUCAGCAGUCAAGUGUAUAUGCGUAUGUGAACAUAUAUGAAUCUGUCAUUUUAAUCAUUAAUAUAGCUUGCUAACAAUUCUAUCCACAAGCAUUCUAUCUCCAUUGCCUUUUAGCAUUUACAUCAAUGGCAUGCUCAUUUCCUAGUUCUUUGUCCGUUGAUGCAUCCAUUUCAUCUCUUCCCCUCUCGAACUCAUCUCUCUUAUUUAGAAUGCCAAAUCUUUUGAGAAAUGACAAAAAUAUCUCUGGUUGCAGAAGAAUCCGUGAUAGAAGCUAAGCAACCAAUAGGAUCCUGAGAAAUUAAAACUGAGCAUGAUAAUCUAACUCAUAUAAUGUAUGUCAAUUACUAACCAAUGGGAAAAGUAAAAGGUAAUCCGUGAGCAUUGACUGAAUAUAUAUCUCAGAGUUAAAGUUCUUUAAGACGGCUACUCAAUACAGCUUCCUUUUGCUAAUUCAAUGCAAUCCACAGGACUCAAUCCUCUCUUUCAAAAAAUUCAUUCGCAAAAUUAUUGAACUCUUUAUAGCGCCCAGAAGUUUGAUCCAAUUAACAAAGCAUCCACAAAGUUCUAUAACUCACAUGCAUGACGAUCCCUUCCACAAUGACCAACCUAAUCAAUCUGACGGAAUCUAGUACUUCAAAGUAUUUUGGUGUUCUAUGGUGAGUUCAGGGAGGGUAGACACUUGGUACACAACAUUGAUGCCACUUCACUUCUCAUAGCUUUAAUUCUUUUUAACUUUUCCUUUGAGGUUUUCUAAUAACAAGUACGCAAUCCAUUGUUUCAAUGCCAACCCAACCUCACAUAACUUUGACCUUUUUUUUUCCUUUUUUUUUUUUUUGGUCCAUUUCUAAAGAAUAAUUUGUUGUCAGUAAGAAUAUAAUAAAAAAACCAUAAAAAUUCUAGCUUAUGCAUGGCUAUCAUGCUUCUAACAUAUUUUUUUUUUGGUAAAUGGUAAUAAUAUAUUGAGCUUUAAACCAACAAUAUACACAAGAUCCGGCGCCACAAAACUUAUCUAACAUAUGUUUUUUUUUUUUUGUGAAAGUAAGUGAUAUAUUAGGAAAAAGUCAAACUGUACAACCCAUCGGCUUCAAAAACUUACACUCAAGAUGGACAUGCCCAUUAUGAGUGGAAGGAAGCUGAGGAAAAAACCAAGGGGCAGCCGAGAACGGCCAAAAAACUUAUCUAACAUAUGUUUCUACCACACAAAAGCAAUACCAUUAUUUUCCUUCACCAUUUUACAUUAAAAUAUAAAAUUACAACCAACAAAUAUAGAAAAAUAACUAAUCAAGUAAAAUAAUAUUAUCUAAUCCAAAUUUUAAUGAUAUGAACUUGUUUUUGUGCAUGUUAACACAAAUUUCAACUUGCUUAUAAUAUUUUACAAAUUUAAAAGAAAAGGACAUGAAAAAGUUCAAGUUGAAUCUUAAAUUGACAGUCAAAAUUAUAUUUUCUCAAAUCAGUUCAACUAUAGCUUCCUGAAGUGACAGGACCACAUGUCCUAUAGAAUCACCCUAAUUUAUCAUGCCAAAAAAAGUUGCAUUAGCCUCUUUAUACCAACCAAACUUACUUUCAAUAGUCAUGGAAUGUUGCAUUAUUUCAAAGCUACUCGGCCGAUUCUCCACCUAAUGCUUUUCUCCAUAUAUAUAAUUUUUCAUCUGAAGAUUCGAUAUUGUCAAUGACAUGAGAAAAGGAAAGACGAUCAUGCCAAGUAGAGGAUUCCAAGUAAGUUGUAUAAUUUUAGGAUCACUGCAUCUUGAAUUCACACUUCAUUCUAGGAGUCAAAGGUAUAUAACUAUUCCGACAGUGAAGGUUUUUUUUUUUUUUUUUUGGUGAACGGUAAUUGUAUUAAGCUUAGCCAAAAUGUACAAGCAAAUGGCAUCAGAGCUUACACUCAAAACAAACAUGGCAUAAUGAGUGGAAGGGUGCCGAAAUAAAGGAAAAGCCAACAAGGCAAAAGCUAGAAGGUGCAGUCAGCACAACGACAGCCACAUCCUAAAGAAUGACCAAAACAAAAGAAGGUUACCAGCUAGCAAAACAAUGGCAACCCAAGUCCAAAACCCAACACAAAAACAAUAGAGCCCAGCACGGCAACCAAGAACAAGGCAGGACGCAGCCAGGAGAAGAGAAGAAUCCCAUGCGGCAGACACUCCGCAGUAGGACUCCUAAGGAACCACCGAGGAUGAAUGAAAGAUGCAAGGGUCAAUCCCCCAGCUACAUUGAAGUCUUCUGUUUCAUGGAUUGUCCUCCACAUUUGUAAAAGUCAAGGCCUUAUCCUUGACCACCUUAAUGAGGUGAUUCUUCACUGCCUGGACCGUGAAGGUAAGGUUCCUGGAAAGGAUCUCAUUCCUAUAAUUCCAACAGUGAAGGUUUUUCUCUUAAUUUUCUGAUUUUUCAAAGGGUGCUGUUGUCUGGUGGGGCACACUUGGGAACUAUUCUCUCAUGCAAAGCAGGGAUGGAACAAUACUUUUCCCAUAGGGCAGGGAAUGGGAACAAAAUUCCUGGCCUGCUCCUCCCAAUGGCAGCCACUAGUGCGUGCAAUUCAAAAAGUGCCUUGAAUGAUGCAAUUGGAAGUAUUAAUUGUACUUAAGGAAAAUUUACACGUCAAAAGGGCUGGAGGGAGGCCUAAAAACACAACAGAAACUUCUAGCUAGAAUCCCAAAAUGUUUUAAGCUUCCAUAGGAUAUCAAAUAGCACAUAAUGACCUAAUAUAUGUCCAUGUAGCCAACCCCAUCUACGUGAACUGACUCCACAAUACUUUCUGCAGCACUUAUAAGAAUGAUGCGCCCACACUAGGAAGGAGAUUAGGCAGGUCUGAAUCUGACCAACCCAACAAUCAAAUUUAGCAUGUCAACUGCCUCAUACUAAACAGAAACCUUCGAAUUCCUCUCUACUUCUUCCAGCAAUUAACAUUGACAGAAAGAGCUCCUACUAGUUAUACUACUUUCAAUCUGGACAGGACUGAGGAGGAAGAUGGAGCUUGGAUUAUCAUAGAGUAUUAGUAUCCUAUUAUUAUCUUAUAGUGCACUGAGUCCUAUUAGCAUCUUUGAGAUGAGGCAUAUGCCUAAAAAAUUGGAGAAAAAGUUCAGACAACCAAAGUAAGUGGAAAAUUAUGAAUAUGAAAGGGGAGAGGAGAAAACAAUUGUGCAAUAACUAGUAAGAAAUUUAGUAUAGAGCCAAAAAAGACUUUAGUGAUUGAGGGAGAACCUUCAAGUAUGACCUUGUCGCAGGAAUGGAAUCGACAAAUAAGUCCAAUAAAAGUUGAAGCAACUCAGUAGAGCAUGAACUUAAAAGCCUUGAUAUUUCUGCUUGCAGUUUUCUUCGAGUAAAUCGGUAGAGUUUGCAAUUCUAAUCCGGAUGCUUGCACAUUACAGGUGUCUAAAUCUUUAACUACUCUAGAGCUGAGUACACUUGUAUUCUGAUUCACAAGGAUCUGCAGAAUUAGAACAGUACUAUCAGGAGAUAUGAAAAUGGUAUAACAACCUCUUCCCAGCUAAAGAACAAGUGUGAGCCAAAUGUCACCAAUGUGGCAAGAAGAUCACCUUUAAAGCAAGAGCCACACUUUCAUGCAUAAAAGAAUAUUUUUAAAGAAAAUCAGUCAAUAAUACUGCCAAACAUCUAAACUGUUUGUCUGUAUCACUUGAACCCCGGCAAAAGGCUGGUAACAGUUUCCAAAGGUCAUGAGCAUGACCCAGCAGCUCCUUACCAAGCACUGAUUUCUUAACUGGAGAAAAGAUAAACAGAAGCACAAUCACAUCCCCGAUGUCACUAAAAUGUUAAUGAUGAACUGAACAAAACUCAAAUCAAGUAAUGCUGAUUAAGGACUCCACUACAUACAUGAACAAUCGGCAUUCAACCAAAGCUCACACUAAAAAAUAUGCAUCAAGGAAGGAAAAGUUAAUGUCACAGAGGCAGAUGAAAGAAUAAAAUUGCAUAAACAACAAUAUUUUGCUCCCCAGACCUGUCCCUCCUAUCAAAUAUCUACAGAACGCAAAAAAACAUACCUUGAGAUGAACAAUUGCGAUAAGAAAAUAUUUAUAUGCAUAAUUCAAUGGGUAUCAUAAGCCAAGUAAGGAGAGGUCAACGCUUUGGGAUGGUAUCUAUCAAAUGGGAUCAACAUAUAUAAUAAUAAAAAAAAAAUCAAGAAGUUGACAGUUCUGUUAUAACGUUUCAGGCAAGCUUUCAGCACAGCUUACAAGCAGGUUGAAUUACCCAGCUUGAUAAGUCUAUGGAGACUCUUAUUGAAGACUAAAGCUCCUUCUAGCAUAGCUUGUGAACAUGCAAAAAUGAUCUCUCGUGAUGAUGAUCUCUUGCGAGGAGUUUAUGAUGGACAAAAAAGUUUUUGUAUUGAGUUUUGGUUAAACGCACGAAACUUUGUGCACUUAUUCCUUAUAAAAUGUGUCUCCUGUCAAAGAACAUUUAGUGGUGCCUUUGCAAAAAGCAGGACUUUUACCCUGCUUAAACUGAUUUGAAUCUGAAUACGGAUUUAAAGAUGGAGAUUCUAGGUUGCUUUUAAUUGAUAACUCAUAAGUUAUGCACAACCAGUGGUGAAUCUGUGCCAAACAGCCAAGGAUCUCCACACUUAUUAUGACGUCAAAUAUGAUAUCUGAAAAAUGAAAAUCACGGAAACAAAAGUCAUGUAGAAUGAUGACAUACCUCCAGAACUAGCACGCUUGAAAGAUUUUGCGAGGGGCACAAUAUAAUCCAUGUAAUACUCAAGUGAUGAACCAACCACAUAAUCUCUUAGAAUGGGCACCAACCAAACAUUACUAGAACUAAAAUUGUCAGGAUGCAGUGAAAUAGGCACAACAGAAAGCAUCUUUUCUGGGCCCAUAGCAAUUACAGCAGAACCAAUACAUCUCUGAAGCUGUGAAUCACAGUAAAUUAAACAAUGAUGAGUUACCAUUCAAACAAUCUUCAAACUACACAAGUAUUACUUUUAUAAAGCUAGACAGUCAAUUAUUUGUUUCAUCAGAUAAUGGCAAAGUACUAUGCUCAAAGCUCUGUUAACUUGUCAUCUACCCAAUUUAGUAAAAGAAACUUUUGUUAAUCCUUAUAUGUAAGUAAAAAAAAAAAAAACCUGCUGUUAACGCUCCAAUCAACAAUUCAAUCUAGCUCUAACAAAAUUCAUGACGACAAGCCGAUUUGGAGUUUGCUAUGAACCCCAUCUUCUUCUUUGCACACUUCAACAGGAUAAACAUAUGAAGCAAAGAUGACUUGAAAAAUCAAAUUUUGGAGAGCAAGAUCAAGUAAUAGCCUUUACAUCAUUCUCUUGAAAAUCAAUUUCGAGAUCAAGACAAAUCAAUUCCCUUUAAAUCAUUCUCUUUUUCCUUUAUACAUAAAAUUAAAUCAAUAACAAAGGGGGUGCAAACCCAAGUACCAAAGGAGAUCAAGAACCAAAAAAAAAGCUCAAUUCAUCGAUAAUGACAAUAAAUGCAUCUACAUCGACAUGCAUUAUUUCAAGUCGCAUUUCCACUUCCAUAAGAACAUUGACAAAAAACAAGGACAAAAAAAAGUCUUUUAAUUGAGAAAUCUGCUCAAAAUAACGACAGGAAUAGUAAUUCAAGAAAUGAUUAGAGCAUGAACCCUACUUAUUAAAAUCAGCAAAAACAAAAUCAAGAGAAGAUUAAGAUAUUUGAAUUGUCCCUUAUUCCAUUCUUUUCCAAACUCACCAUUUAAGGCAAAGAGUAGGAGCAUUUUGGGCUGAUUUGAAAUGUAGAGGAGUAUGGGAAAACAUGACAUGAUUGUAGAACCAAGAUCGCAAAAUUAGCUAAGAAACUACCAAAACAAAGCAGUCAAAGCACCUCCUGCCCCAAGAAAGUUAAGAAGCAUACCUGCUAGAGACUCCCAAACUACAGGAAGGUUCUUAAUCCACAAACUUGAUCCUCCAGUGUGGAAUUUAUUCAGAGCAACUCUUAACAAUUUUGCAGCAGUCAUGACAGUGUCCACCGAGUUCUCUUUUGAAGAAACAUAAGAAGCAAGAGAAGUGAUGACAUUUUCUAUCUCUUGAACAGUAUCUCCCACUGCUAGAGUUUCCAAUAAUGCCUCGAUGAUUUUAAGAAUCAGUGUUGUAAGCGCUGAGAACCCGAGACUGUCUAAUUCUGAAAGAAUCUGAAUGCUUACUUUGGCAGACAGAUACGGACAAACAGAUACCAGCACAUUAAGCAUAUGUAAGAAUCCUAUAUUCUCGGAUUUCAACAGUUUAUCAUCUGUAGAUCCAUCCUCAGGACUCGUAGUCCUUGACCAAUCUGCUGAAGAAAUGCAACUUUCAAAAGAAGACAGUACCAGCUUGCUUGCUUUCCUAACAACACUAGAGGACUUAAAGCAUUUAAAAACCUUUUCAAGACAUUCUUGCGCACAUCGCCGAACCUGAGAAAACAACAAAACAUAUCUUCAAUUGCUACUCAGUUCUUACGAUAUGCAAGAGAAUAGGAACGCAUUUCCACCUUUCAAAGCCCAAUUGCAAUCAACAAGGCCAUAAGGGGAAGAACACUGACCUAAAAAAGGUGAAAAUUACAUGUUGCAAAGUCUAACAAAAAAAAAAAAAAAAUUCCCAAAGAGCUUACAAGAGCAGAACUGGAUACGGCAAUGCAUGGUUUGCGACAAUAUACCUUAGGACGCUUGGCCAGGGAGAACUUUAAAAGCGUCUUUUACCCGAAUUUCACCGAAUCCCAAUCCUCCAAGUCGCAAAACCCAAGCAAAACCCCCAAACACUUCACCGCGGACCUCACGCGGGACACGGCCAGCUUCUCCUCCUCCCUCGGCAGCACCUCCGCCAACACCUCCGCCGCCUCCCUCGCCCUCGCGGGCGCGAUCCCCUGCGGCGGCACCGCGGGCAGGACGAUCACGAGGAACGACAUGAGCGCCGCGACCUCCGUGGAGUCCAGGGCCUGCAACGAGGACGUGGUCUCGACGGCGGACAUGGCGGCGCCGAAGUAAGAGGCGGGCGUGAGGGGGAGGGACUCGGCGUCGAGGAUGGCGCGCAUGGCGGCGACGGUGGCGAGGAGGUGGCGGUGCUGAGGGGCGGAGGAUUUGGCGUAGCGGUCCAUGAGCUGUUGGCAGACGUCGGCGCCGUCUCGCAGCGGUUCGUCGGCGCUAUCUGUUGAUCCUGUGGAAGCAACGAGGGUCGCUCUUCCUGUUUCCGUUGUCUGUGCUUUCUGUGGCUUCAUGGCGGCGGCGGGGGCGGCGGCUUCGAGCGCCGCCGUGCGGUGGCUUCUCCUGGCUGUGGAAUGUUUCGGGGUAAGAAAUUCGCCUUUGAUGCUUAAUCCAUGUUUUUUUAUAUUUUUACGAUAACUAAAACUCGGGGGGUCGUUAUUUUCUUCGCAUUUGAUCUAUAUUGCUUAGCAAAGAACAUUUUUUGGUUACAUUGAUUAGGUUUGCCUCGUCCGUAGUUCCUAUCAUGUAACUCAACUUUCAAGAAAAUACAAAAGGUUAAUCUCACAAAAAAUUUCAAAAUAUGCACAUUGUAACUCAAAUACUCCAAAUCUUUUUUUAUCACAAAAGAUCUUAAAUUUAAUUUUUUAUAACAUAUAUAUCCUAACCUUUUCUUAUGUCAUAAAAAACCUCGAAAUUAUAUUAAUGUAACAAAUGUAUAAUAAAUUGAACUGAAAUAGAAAACAUAUAUAUACAUGUUACACAUGUAAAAAUUUGGAUUUUUUCAUGAUACAAAAAAAAUUGAGAAAUUUGUAUUGCUAUGGACAAAUUUAGGGUUUUUGGUGACAUAAAAAAAAGUUAAAAGAUAUUUAUAUCACAAUAAAUGUAAUUUGUGGGCAAAUCAAAUUUAUGGAGCAAAAGUGGUACUUCUGAUCUUUUACUUUCAAUCAUUAUUAUUUUCUUGUUUUAUAAUUAAAAGGUGUUAAGAUUUCAACGGGAAGUUUUCCGUUUUCAAUUUCAUCUUAGGUAUGCUAAAGUAUUAUCAAAGGACUCUAGUGAUAUAAAAACAAACAAGUAAAAUGAACAUACGAAAAAAGGUUAUUAUUGUGAUAAGAAAUGAAAUCACAAGAUUCUUUUUGGAGGAAACAAAGCAUCACUUUUUAAUAGGAGUAUAUACGGGAACCGCACUGAAUCGGCUAGUUUUGAUUAUUCUCAAUUACAAAUUUUUGGAAUAGGAAUAAUCAGACAAAUUCUUAAUUUCAUAUGGGAAUCAAAUUGCUCGGACGAUAUAUAUAUUUUUUGGAAUUUCCCUCUUCUUUUAAAGAGUAAAGAAAAGGAAAUUGCCAAAAUCCUAAACUGAACCGGUCUAACCUAGGAAUUAAUCUAGUUUCCAAUUCUAAAGUGAAAUCGACCAAACUCGGGAAUCAAUCACCUUUCCUUUUUAAUGAUAUGCAAGAAAGGAUUAAAAAGGAUAGGAAACUUUAUAUUCUAUCGCAAAGUUGAUUAAAGUAGCCAAGAGAGAGGAAGAAAGGAAGGAAAAAUAGAGAGAAGAAGAGGAAGAAACAAAUCCUAAAAGCCAACAAGGGGUGCUUCAUUUCCAUGUUACCGAAACCGUAUGCCUAUUGCAAUAUAUUUACAUUGAAUAUAAAUUAUACAUUACCAUGAUGCCCUUAUAUACGUAAAAAGAAAUAAAACCUAUAAAAUAAAACCAACACCACUAAAGUAAUGUAACAGUCCCCUUUUUUUUUGGGUAAAAAGUAACGACUUCAUUGCAAUAACUAAACUAAGUUUGGAGAUAUUACAUUAAACGCAUCAGCACAUAGUAGAUCAAAUAGAGCAGGUGGGGGAUUUUCUAACCAAUUUAAUGGUAGAGAAUCGGUUCUACACGCUUUCACCAGCCAGUCCACGGGUUGGUUUGUGUCCCUGUUGCAAUGGGCCAAGGAGAUGGCCCGAUAUGCUUUCAUUUUUAUCUUGGCCCGGUCCACGACGGUCUUCGCAUCCCAACUGAAGUCUUCCGAAGUGUUGCAGCUGUUCACGAGUGGGAGGCAGUCAGACUGUACGUGGAGUUGAAGUUGAGUUCGGUCUGAGAAGAAAAUUAGGGUUUCGAGGAGGGCGAUUGCUUCCGCCUGUUCUGCCGAGGAUGCGGCCACUAAUUUCGCGAAGCCGUCGACCACCCGUCCCCUGAAGUCGUGACAGAUGCAGGCGAUUGCUCCUCUGUUUUCGCUUUCUCCCCUGUUUGCCCUAGUUUGUGAUUCGUAGUCGCUGCUUGGGAGGAAUGAAGCAUCUAUGUUGAUUUUCAACGAAUCUGGUAUUGGGGGCUGCCAUCUUUGAGGUAGGGUCUCUCUAUGUUGCUCCCCUUUCGUUUUUUUUGUUCCAAGUGGUGUAAUUCUCGUGCAAAGCCGCGGCCUUUAAGAGUGUUUGCUGUGGGUGCAGAGGGCGAUGGCCAAAUAUAAAAUGGUUUCGGUCUUUCCAGAUGCUCCAGAGGGUAACUACGAUGAGGUCAAACCUUUUUGCACUGGUUGGAUUGGUUUUUGCUAUGUACAACCAUUCGUCAAAUCUGGUUAGCUCUAUUCUUGACACUCUGAUUUGCAGGGGGCAACUUUCCAAAUCCGGGCCGUCCAGGAGCAUAGCAACACUCCCCUUAAACUAGAGCAUAUAGGUCACUCAUACCCAAUUUGGAACAACCAUUGACAAAGACAGGACAAAACAACACUUUAAUAAACAUAUCAACCAAUUAAUCUCUAGAGUCAAUAUAAAGAGUAGUGACCAACUUCUGCUUCACAAAGUGACGGUCAACUUCUAUAUACAUAGUUCGCUCAUGAAAAACAGGAUUCCCAACAAUAUAAAUAGUUGCCUAAUUAUCACACAUCAUAUCAUAAGUUGAUUAAUAAAAAGGAUUUCAACCACAAUAAUUUAGUCACAAUAUGUGCCAUAGUACAAUAUUAGGCCUCCACACUAGACUUAGGAAUAGUUGUCUAUUUGUUGCUUCGUAAUCAAAUUACCACCAAGAAAAGUGCAAUACCUAGUCAUGGAUCAGUGAUCACAUGCUAACCUAGCCCAAUCGGCAUUAGAAUAGCCAAUUAAAGUGAAAGAACCAUUAGGUGUGUAAAUCAGCCCCUUAUUAGGAGAGCCUUUAAAGUACCAGAGAUGCGAUAAACAGCAUCCCGACGAGCCUUCUUUGGUAACUUCUUUAAUUGACUCACCACACCAAUAACAAAGGAAAUAUCUAAAUGUGUAACAAUGAGAUAAAUUAACUAAUUAGCUUGAAUAUUUAGUCUGCGUGAAAUGCUAUGCAAGGAGAUGCCAAAAUGCCUAACUAAAAUGACAUGUAACAUGCAACGUAUAUUGCGAACUAUAUGUCACGACAUGAUCUAAUGACAAUGUAACUAUCCUAAUAUGUCACGCACUCAAAUGAUCCUAAGCAUGCUAUGACUAGAUGACGAAAUGACCUAAUUCUAAGUUACACACGCAUGAUAUUUUGUAUUUCUUCUUUUCCUUUUUUUAUAGAAUUCGAAAUUAAAAUUGCUUAAUAAUUGAACAUGCAAUUAAUGAAAAGAAAAUCUAACAUCUUUUUGGUGUUUUUAUUUCAAAAAUUCGGAAUAAAUAAAAUGCCUAAUCUAAAUAUGCAAAUUAUCCUAAAACAAGCAAUAUUCUAACAUAAACCUAAUCUAACUCAAAUAUAUAUAUAUAUAUAUAUAUAUAUUUUUUUUUUUCUUUUACGGAAAUAAAAUCAAUUCAAACAAUACGACGGCAAAUCAGGCAAGAUAUGAUUGAUAUCCACCAAAUAAAUUGAUAAACUCAUGAGAUCGGAUUGGCCAAUUUUAACAAAAUCUCGAGCAUAAGAUUGGAUUGGCGAUUUUUCCGUGCACUAAUAUUUCGGACGUGAAAUCAGACUAUCAAUCGUGUGCACGUUGUGAAAUUAGGAAGAUUUCUCAAUAUAUAAGGCUACUCGAGAUUACGGAUAUGAUAGCAUAUCGGGAAUUUCAAUUAUGUGCAUCGACGAAUAUUUCAAAUAAGAAAAAGGAAUUUUUGGAAAUCAAAAUAGAUAAGAUUUUCACCUAAUUUGAAUAUUGGCUUUCAAAUUCCGAUCCUCAAAUGGCUACUCGCGACGCAAUGUGGUGGUGCGCUCACAGGAUGGCUACUCGUCAAGGGGCUUUGCGUGCGGCUCCUUGAUGAUUGCUCGAUUCAAUGAUAUGUGCGUAAACCUCGAAAAGCAAUUUGCAAAACAAUAACUUUUGUUGUUGUAGCAAUAGCAAGGCUUACCCGGGAGACCUAGAGAACCACAAUGGGGAGAUGCUCCAAAUUUCAAUAAAAUAAGCGUGCGAAAUCCUCCCUCCUUUCAACGUAUACGUCCUCCUUUAUUGAAAGAACGUGUGCCCUUCUCUUGCCCAGAUUUUAGCGACUCGGAUGCUUGCUGAAUUUUGACCGAGCUCAAUCACCUCGCUGGAAUUCGUUGGCAACGCGAGUAUUGGUGCAAAUCGUCUGGGCGCGACGAAACAAACCCGAGGAUCGGGCUGAUUGGGAUGGGUGACAUGAGCAGUGGCUACUGGCGUUGGGGUAGCAACGAGGUCGUGGCCAGGAAACAACCAGCUCUGUUCACGGAUGCGGAGCAGCAGCGAUGGCGGCGUUCGGGUAAUAGUCGGAACAGCAACUACGAGGGGCGGAGUUGCAGUGACGUCAUCGAUGAAGGGGCUGCGGUGGCAUCGUCAAGCAGUCGAGUAAUAACUCAACAGGGUGGCAGCUCAUUGACAAUGUAUCGCAGACGAUGAAAGCACCGCGGCAGAAGUGUUGGCAUGGGUCUUGGCCAAGAAGAUUCGCGCUCUUUCCUCUCUCACGUCUCUCGCUCUCUCUUGUAUCAUUUAUAGUGAAACGGUGUAAACCAUCGAGGAAAGAAAGCAUAUUUUGUUUCCUUCUGUGCAUGCUUUGAAAUAUAUUCUAUUUCCUUUCCUCUUCCUCAUUGACCAAAUGCCUUCUUUUUUGCAGGGAUAUCUUUUUUUGCAAAUCCAUGUGCCCGUAGUGUAGAACGUGCCCAACAUUCCCUUCUCAUGCUGAUCUUCUGAAUUUCCAUAUGCUCGUAUCUUUCUACAUAGGGCCAUUCAUGAUGAAUAUUCUCUGCCGAUUUUAUUUCUUUAAGUUUUAACCCAAAUAUCAGUUCACAAAUUGAUCAAGUAUUGCCAAAAAUUCAAUAUUGCAAUAGACUUUUCCUAGAUUCCGAACCUUGCAAAGAUGAGCUCGCAAUAUCUCCUUCCUAUGCUUGUCCUUACCGAAUAUACGAAAGAUUCACCGAAUAUUGGAAGAAUAAUAUAAAUCUUUUCCAAAAAAUAUCGAAUUGCCAACUCGUAAAAUUGUAGCUCAUCCGCAGCCGAUCAAAUGCAAAAGUGAUAAACAAAUAGAUAAAUGUAACUAAAAUUAUAUGCCAUGCAAUUUUAAUUCUAUUUUUUAGCGGUUAAAAAUUAAUCCAUAAUUUUCUAUGCAAUAAAUGGAUGACCGGGUCGCCAAAAUUUAGGUGUCAAUAGUAGACUACGCCAUGACGUUGCUUCCUUAAAGAUGACCUUUUAAUUACUGUAUUUUUGGUCGAAAACCUUUUAAUUGCACCUUUUUUUUACUGUUGGCAUGGUGAUUUUUGAACUCGACAAGGACUGCCCAAUCAACCAUGCAACAAGGGGACAAUUUCUACGACGAGAAACGCGCAUGCAUGCAUUGACUAUGGGAGUCUCCGGAGACAAUCAUACAUUCUUGCCAACACUCAGAAUCCGAUCUCCACGAUUGGCAAUUUGCUUUUGCAUGGGAAAAUUGUACAAAAAAUUCUAAAUUUAUUACACUUUUAUCAAUUUAGUCCUAGAUCUUUUAAUUUGUAAAUUGAGUUCUAAACAUUUUUACUUUUUACCAAUUCAGCUAUAAACCUUUUCACUUUUUGCCAAUUAAACCAUCCGGCCAAUUUUGACGGGAAAUUACUAACAUGAAUAGCUGAUGCUGACGUGGUACUUUUUUAAUAAUAUUUUGAAUAUUUUAUGGUUUUUUUUUUUGCGACCUCACCCGUGGCUAGCAAGAGUUGGCCAGCAACUCUUGUCUGCCCUGGAUCCACAAACCCAAAAAUAAAGCAAAAGAAUUACAAAAAAAAAGAAGAGAAAAAAUCAUCUAGAAUGGAGUAGUGUCCAACUUUUCAUGUGAGAGCAAGAGUGAGAGCAAGUCAGAGACAAAGAGUGAUGUCUGAAAGUGAGAGAGAGAGAGAGAGAACCUCAUGUCUUCCUCCAAUGUAGGGAUAUUCCAUUUAGAAUGAAGUAGUAAAGCUUUUGUCCAACUCUUCUUACCUAAUCUUUUUCUUCUAGUGACAAUAGUCUUUUCUGUUGCUCUAAGUUUGCUAUGACCAUGUCUCAGAUUUAGAUUAUUAUACAGUUUAUUAAAGGCGGAGUCCAAAUUCCACGAUUCUUAGAAACUUCAGCAGCUCAUGAAGUUGUCCAAAAAAUAAUUAGAUUCACUUUUUUUGGGACAAAUCUUUUUUCCCCUCUUUCUUUUGACUUCAAUUGUAACAAAUUACUAUUCUUCUAAAAAAUAGUCAAGGGCUACGGCCACCAAGACCCGGUUAUGUGGAGGCCAAUGAAAUACCUUGCAAGUCCUACAAAUUGGUUAAGUCCAAUUCUCCGAGCAAGUCAGAGACAAGUUUGCGCGCCAUUGGUGGUAUCAUAUAUGUUGAACAUAAAUAAUGGAAAGAGUUAUCCUAUUAAAGUUGUUAAAAUAUAUAUAUAUAUAUAUAUAUAUAUAUAUAUAUAUAUAUAUAUGUACAUAUCAUAUAUGUCGAGUUUGGGAUCUAAUGUCAAUGGACUGAAUAUUAUCUUAAGACUUUUCAGGACAAUAACUGAAUUGUAUAGCUGUGGAAACUGAAAUAUUUGGCACCAUGGUCUAUCCCGUUCAUUAAUGGGUGCUUGUACAUUAGCAUAUCUAAGUCUCUAUCGAUGUUGACAGGUGUUUCACCAAGUCAACUAUACAACGCUCUUUUUUAGAUAAAAUUACCAAAGCAAGUUCUAAAUCGAUUGUAUAUGUAUCAAUUAAGUCGUAAUUUUUUCAAUUAUACCAAUUCAAUCCUAAAUUUUUUUACAAUUGCUGACAUAAUCCAUCCGGCCCUCACCUCUAGUCGGCCACGGUUACUAGCGGAGGAAGAAGGAAAAAGAAAAUGAAAGAAAAGAAAAUUAAAAAUUAAAAAAUGUGGAUUUUUUUAAAUUGCAAAAAUUAUCUACAUGAGCGCCAACUAUGCCACGUAAGAUGGCCAGUGGGCACGACCAAUAUUCAUAUCAACAAUUUCCUAUCAAAAUUAGCCAGUGAAUUUAAUUGAAAAUAUUUAGGACUCAAUUAAUAUAGUUGAAAAUUUUAUGAUUAAAUUGACACUAGUGCUAUAGAUUUAUGAUUUUUUAAAAAAAUAAAUUUUCCAUCUUUCUUGAGCUGCUCGUAGACUUGUCCACACACACACACACACACACACACACACAUAGACACAUACACACGAUUGUCUUUGUUUUUGGCUUCUAGAGAAGUCCAAUAAUUUUUAAACUCAAAUAUUUAAAAAAAAUAUAAAAAGAUUAUAUGAGAACUAUUGUGGCAAAUGAAAGGUUUCAAGUGCUUGUAAUUUUUUUAAAAAGUCUAAUUAUGUGCGUAAAUAUUGAAAGAAACUUUUAACUAUUUAAAUAGUCAUCGUCGAAAGAGGCUGAAAUUUUCCAAUUACAGGACGAGUCAUGGAAUCGUAGCAAGGAGGGGUUCUGUACUUUGACUUUGCUUUGGCCUAACAUGGCCUUUUUUCUCUCCGUUCCAUGUUAUAAACGUGGACACCAACCACAGAAAAAUCAAGGCACGUAAAACAAAACUUGACUUAGACCAAAUAAUAAUAGUUCCACGGACCACCUCAUGCACAAUACCUAAGCAAAACAUAAUCUUCUAUGCAUGUCUAAUCAAAUUAAUGUCGAGUUGUUAAGGGUUGUUUUAAUACUGUCAAUCAAUGCCGUUAUAUUCAACACGCAAGUUUCAGAGCUUUGAAAAUUCCAGGUUAACUUUAAGUAAUGGAUUCUAAGCAUGGAAUCUCGUCACUUACCUUGAAAUCUUCCUUGACUACAAGAAACCAUGUAAAUUGGAACAAUUUUCUGUUGUAUAUUUCAAUAGUCUUGAAAUUUCAAAAGCUAUUAUUUUUUUAACGAUUUUCAACUGUCAUCAAUUUGUAACCAUUUUUAUCUGCCAUUACUUUAUUACAGUUUUAUACUUCUAAUGGGGUUGGAGUAAAUCUCUUAAUUAGACAAAUAAGAAAAUAGUCAAAUCUCAAUCACCUCUCCUUUCGAGCUUCUAAUUAAAGAUAAAAGAUUUCUCAAGUCCUAAUUAGUCAACUGGACUAUUAGAGAUAUAUUUAAAAUAUUCUAUGAUUCUAUAUAUUAUUAUACGAUUCUAUAUAUUUCCUUUUAUUGGUCCUGAUUUGUUACCCUAUAAGUUAUUAUAUAAAGCCUAUAAAUAAGCUUGUGUAUUAUUUAUUUGAUGUUCUACAGAAUAUUACAUCUUUCAGUCAUUAUGAUUCUUAACUUGGAUGAAAAAAAAUCAACUCCUCAAAAGUAGAACCUCGUCAGUUUACUUGCCUAGCCGCCUGAAACGUUAUUAGUAGACUACACUAUGACGUCGCUUCCCUAAAGGUGAUUCAAUUAUUGACCUUUUAACUAAUGUUUUUUUUUUUUUUGGUUGAAAAUCUUUUAAUUGCACCUUUUUAUUAUUGUUGGCACGGUGAUUUUUUAACUCAACAAGGACUACAGUCAACCAUGCAACGAGGGGACAAUUUCUACGAUGAGAAACAUGCAUGCAUGCAUUGACUAUGGGAGUCUCUGGAGACAAUUAUUCAUUCCUACUGACACUAAGGACCCGACCUCCAUGAUUUGGCAAUUUGCUUUUGCAUUCAUAAUCUACAACACGGAAUUUAUGCUAAAGAGCUUAUUUGAAUUAUCAAUGUCCCUCUUUUCUUUGUGAUAGAAAACUUUCCAUGCGGAUGUUUUAUCGUGUUCAAAAGAAAUGUCAAUCUUUCAUAUCUACAUCAUGUUGCCAUGAAAGUCUUUACACAUUGCACUGCAAACGUAUCAGUACAUGCGUCAAUGCAGUUGAGAGUCGAUUCGGACACCAAUGAGAGUAAGUGCAGGCUAGGUUGAAGAUCUCCAUCAACCGGUGAAUGCAUCAAAUGCGGGAAAUGAUAACUCUAUAAAAAUAGAGUUAUUUUAUCUAUUUUAGGCAACAAUUAAUGCAAUAUCUAUGAGAAGAUAUUUGGAUUUCCUUCUGAUUAUUAGAAUUUUCCUUAUUUAUGCAGAAUAAUGAGAUAUGGAGAAAAUAAGAAAAAUAAUGCAAAUAUCAAGAAUUCAAAUAAAUAAAUAAAUAAAUAAAGCAAUUGAAGAUAAAUAUCAAAUCAGGAAAUUCUUGAUUUUAUUCCCUAAUGUUAUCUGCAAGCGUUGAGAGAUAGAUAGCUGGGAUUAUAUCUUUUGAAGAGGAGAACAUUAAGAGCCAAAGAGAAAGUAGCGAGUUAUAUAUCUUUUGUUUUUGAUCUUUCUGAGAAUUUUUCAAGUAUUUUGAAGAGAAAACAAAAGUGAUGACAUAAUUCUUGUUCUUUAAUUCAAGAUGCUGGGUUUGAUUUAUAUUUUUAUUUAUUCUUCUACUAUGUUCUAAUUUUCUUUUGUUAGGACUACGAUGUAGCCUAACCAUGAUGAUGUGAAAUUCAUGAUUUUUAUGUUUUACAAUUGAUUUCAUUUAUAUGAGUUAUAUAUUAUUGUGUUUAAUGUUUUUGAGUGACUAGCCAUCACUUGAAUGAUUUGAUGUGCAUGUUUGAGACUGAGAAGUGAAAAUAUACAAUUGCUCGUUAUAAUAUAUAACCAUAAAUUAAACAUGGAUAGAGAUAUACCGCGUUAUUUGUGUAGCUUUCGAUGAUAAGGUGAUCCAAAAGACACAUUGUAAGCCGAGAAUAUUCAUAGUUUUUAAUGCACUUAUGUUUAUUUUAAUUCACAUAGAGAUAUAGUAGAUUAAUAAUCUGAGUAGGUUUACUAUUGUUCUUGUAUCCAAAACAAUCUUAAAUUUAUAUCUAGUGGUUAUGGUGAAAUCGGAUGCUCUAACAUAUUUAUCUGAUCGAUUUAUUGCAUUUAGUCUACAAAUUUUGUUUUAAAUUUAUUAUUAAUUAUAUUUUGAUCUGUUAGAUAAAGUUUAGAAUUAGUCUAUUUUAGUAUUUAAUUGGUUUGUUAAUCAUCGAUCUCCAUGGGACGAUACUUUUUCUCAUCAUUAUAUUACUUGUUCGACACGUGCACUUACAUUUAGAAUUUUACGAACAAGUUUUUGGCACCGUUGCCGGGGAUCGUUUGUUUAAUACUAAUUAAUAUUGAUACCGGAUAAUUCUAAGUUUAAUCUAGUUUUUGUUUUGUUUUAUUAUUCAGGGUGUACAUCAGUUUAUGACACAUAGCCAACAGAGGAAACUUGUUGAGCUUGAUCCAAAAAUCGGGCGUACAUUCAAAAGGCGACUGAGAGAACAGAGAAAUCACGCUAAGAAGAUGGCAGACAGUGAGAAUGAAAAUCCACGUAAACUGUUAAGAGAUUAUGCCGCGCCAAUAGUUCAAGGUACCACAUCAAGUAUCAAAAGACCUGUAAUUCAAGCAAACAACUUUGAGAUCAAGCCGUUACGCAUUCAGAUGUUUCAACAAUCAGUGCAAUUUAGCGGGCUACCAAGCGAUGAUCCAAACACUCACAUCGAUGCUUUUCUUGAAAUCCGUGACACCAUUAAAUAUAAUGGAGUUACAAAUGAUGCUAUUAGAUUGAGAUUAUUUCCAUUCUCUCUUAGAGACAAAGCUAAGAGUUGGCUUUCUUCUCUUCCUGGAGGAUCAAUCACUACAUGGAAUGAUAUGGCUCAGAAAUUUCUUGGUAAGUUCUUUCCACCUGCAAAGUCUGUGAAGAUGCGUAACGAUAUUACUACUUUUAUGUAGAUGGAUAAUGAAUCAUUAUAUGAAGCAUGGGAAAGAUUCAAAGAAUUUCUUAGGGGAUGCCCACAUCACGGACUACCCAUAUUAAAGCAGGUAUAAACUUUUUAUAAUGGCUCUAGUACAAAUCUUCGUUCUAUGAUUGAUGCAGCUGCAGGAGGAACUCUAAAUAAUAAAACACCAGAAGAAGCCUACAAUUUAUUAGGGGAGAUGACAUCCAAUAGUUACCAGUGACCUACUGAGAGACUACCAAUACGAAAAGUUAGCAGAGUUCACGAAGUUGAUGCUUUUGCUACAAUUGUUGCACAAUUUGAAACACUCAACAAAAAGCUUGAUAAUAUGAGUGUUUCAGUCAUGAAAAUUCAGAAUUUGACAUGUGAUUUUUCUGGUGGAGGACAUGUUAGCAUAGAAUGUCAGGUAAAAUACUUUUAAAUAAUCUAAUGAAAAUUCUAACUUUGUUGGGAAUUUUAACAGGUCAUAGAAUAAUCCCUACUCCAAGUUCCAACACGUACAAUCCGGGAUGACACAAUCAUCCAAAUUUUUCAUGGAAUAAUCAGAAUGUGACGAGACCAUCGGGAUUCAAACAAUCAAAAAGAGACAAAGUCAAAUUUGGAAGAUAUAGUCACCAAACUUGCUUAUACGACUCAUGACUUCAUCAAAAGCACGGAUGUGAUAUUUCAAAAUCAAGAGGCGUCAAUCAGAAAUCUGGAAAUGCAAGCGGUCAGUUAGCAAGCAUAAUGUCAAGGAGACAACAAAGUUCUUUGCCGAGCAACACAGAGAAAAAUCCAAUUGAAAACAUAAAGGUUAUUACCCUGAGAAGUGGUAAACAAGUGGGAGAAGAAGAGAUUUGCAGAGACAAUGAAGAGGUGAUCAAUCAACAAUCAAAGGAGACAAGCAAGAGUAAACUUUUUCCAGAUAAUCCCAAGCCAUAUGUGCCGCCAAUUCCAUUCCCUCAGCGACUCCAACAGCACAAAAUAGAUAAGCAAUUUUCUAAACUUCUUAAUGUAUUUAAAAAAUUGCACAUUAACAUUCCUUUUGUAAAUGCCCUAGCGCAAAUGCCUAUGCAAAAUUUUUGAAGGAGAUUUUGGCAGACAAAAAAAAACUGGAGGGUUAUGAAACUGUGAAGUUAAAUGAGGAGUGUUCCUACAAAACAAAUUGCCUCCGAAAUUAAAAGAUCCAGGGAGUUUUACUAUUCCUUGCACUAUUGGGGAUUUGUACUUUGAAAAAGCAUUAUAUGAUUUAGGUGCAAGUAUUAAUUUGAUGUCUUAUUCAGUUUUUAAGAAAUUAGGGUUGGGUGAGGUAAAAGUAACCACAGUGUCACUUCAACUAGCUAAUCGAUCAAUAAAAUAUUCGAAAGGUAUUGUGGAAGAUGUUUUGGUAAAAGUUAACAAAUUUAUUUUUCCUAUAGAUUUCAUAGUUCUUGACAUGGAGGAAGAUUUUGAGGUACCACUCAUCUUAGGUCGACAUUUUCUAGCAACAGGAAGAGCUCUUAUUAAUGUACAACAAGGGAAGUUGAUUCUUAGAGUUCAAGAUGAUCUUGUUUCAUUUAAUGUUUUUAAAGCAAUGAAAUAUCCAUCUGAUGAUAAUUCUUGUUUUAGAGUUGAGAUAAUUGACAAGUUGGUGAAUAAAUUUUUUCAGGAAAAUAUUUUUAAAGAUUCACUUAAAGCAUGUCUGAUUCGACCAAGGGACAAAGAUAUUCAGAAUGAGGAGAUAAAGGAGUACGCAAAUUUCAUGGAGGCAAUUCCACCAUAUUCAAGGCAAAAGGCAAUUAAACUUUAGAAGUUGGGACAACACAUAACAAAGUCUAAACCAUCAACUGAAGAGCCUACAAUUCUUGAACUCAAACCCUUACAAUCUCAUUUGAAAUAUGCUUAUUUAGAUAGAGUUUCUUCUUUACUGGUAAUUAUAUAUUCUUCUUUAACAGAUUUGAUGGAGAAGAAAUUGCUCAGAGUAUUAAGAGAGCAUAAAGGUGCAAUUAGAUGGAAAAUAGUUGAUAUCAAGAGAGUUAAUCAUUCUAUUUGCAUGCACAAAAUUUUGAUGGAUGAGCAAUAUAAACCCACUAUCCAACCUCAAAGGCGUUUGAACCCGAAGAUGCAAGAAGUAGUGAAAGCUGAGGUAAUUAAGCUACUUAAUGCAGGUAUCAUCUAUCCUAUCUCUAAUAGUUCUUGGGUAAGUCCUGUACAAGUUGUGCCAAAAAAAGGUGGUAUGACUGUUCAGAAAAACGACAAGAAUGAACUGAUUCCAACUAGAACAGUUACUGGGUGAGUGUGUGUAUGGAUUAUAGAAAAUUGAAUGAUGCCACUGGAAAAGAUCACUUUCCUUUACCAUUUAUUGAUCACAUGUUAGAAAGACUUGCAGGGCAUAAGUUUUAUUGCUUUCUUGAUGAAUAUUCGGGGUAUAAUCAGAUUCCUAUUGCACUAGAAAAUCAAGAGAAAACUACUUUCACUUGUCCCUAUAGUACUUUUGCUUUUAGAAGAAUGCCGUUUGGUCUUUGUAAUGCACCAGCUACUUUUCAGAGAUGCAUGAUGGCUAUUUUUUCUAAUAUGGUUGAAAAAUAUAUUGAUAUUUUCAUGGAUGAUUUUUCCGUUUUUGACUUAUCAUUUGAUUCUUAUUUAAAUAAUUUGGCUUUGGUCUUACAAAGAUGUGAAGAGACUAACCUUGUUUUGAAUUGGGAGAAGUAUUACUUUAUGGUGCAGAAAGGAAUAGUGCUUGGGCAUAAAAUUUCUCAAAACGGAAUAGAAGUUGAUCGAGCCAAAGUGGAAGUCAUUGCGAAAUUGCUUCUGCCAACAUCUGUGAAACUUGUCAAAGGAUUUUUGGGGCAUGCAAGAUUUUAUAGACGGUUUAUAAAAGAUUUUUCAAAAAUUGCUAAACAUUUUUUCUAAUCUUUUGGAAAAAGAUACUCCUUUUAAUUUUUCUGUUGAAUGUAUGCAAGCUUUUAACACUUUAAAGAAGUUAAUUUCAGCACCAAUUAUGGCAGCACCAAAUUGGGAUUUACCCUUUGAACUGAUGUGUGAUGCUAGCGAUUCUGCAGUAGGAGCUGUUUUGGGACAAAGGAAGAAUAAAAUUUUUCAAACCAUAUACUAUGUCAAUCGAACUUUGUCAGGUACAUAGUUGAAUUAUUCAACAACAGAAAAGGAACUUCUGGUGGUAGUUUUUGCUUUUGAUAAAUUUCGUUCUUAUUUAAUUGGCUCAGUUAUAGUUUAUUAUGACUACUCUACUCUUAAGUAUUUGCUUGAAAAGAAAAAAUCAAAACCUAGAUUGAUCAGGUGGAUUCUAUUGCUGCAAGAAUUUGAUUUGAAAAUCAAAGAUAAGAAGGGGACUGAAAAUUUAAUUGCAGACCACUUAUCAAGAAUUCCAAAUUCAAAGGAAGAGAUAAGACCAAUUUUGGAAGAAUUCUCCGAUGAUAAAAAAUUUUCCAUCAAGUCCACAAAAAUUCUUUGGUAUGCUGACUUUGUAAAUUAUUUAGUACGUAAUGUUCUUCCUCCUAAAUUAUCAUAUCAAUAUAAGAAAAAUUCUUUUCUGAUGUUAAAAAUUAUUUUUGGGAAGAACUUUUCUUGUUUAAAGUAUGUGCAGACCAAAUCAUAAGGAGAUGUGUUCCAAAUGAAAAGAAGGCAAACAUUCUACAUCAUUGUCAUAAUGGAGAGGUAGGUGGCCAUUUUGGUGCAACCAAAAUUGCAGCUAAGAUUUUACAAUCUAAAUUUUAUUGGCCUGCACUUUUUAAAUAUGCAUACUCCUAUGUAGUUUCAUGUGAUAGGUGUCAGAGAACUGAAAAUAUUUCAAGAAAAAAUGAGAUGUCUUUAAACAACAUUAUUGUGUGUGAAUUAUUUGAUGUUUGGAGUAUUGAUUUCAUGGGACCCUUUACACCUUCUUAUGGAAAUUUAUACAUUUUAGUGGCUGUGGAGUAUGUGUCUAAGUGGGUAGAAACUGUAACAUUGCCAACUAAUAAUGCUAAGGUUGUGUUUAAAUUUUUGAAGAAAAAUAUUUUUACCCGAUUCGGCAUUCUAAGACAAUCAUAAGUGAUAGGGGGACACAUUUUUACAACAAACAGUUUGAAGCACUUUUAAGUAAGUAUGGAGUCACACAUAAGGUUGCAACCCCUUAUCAUCCUCAGAGUAGUGGUCAAGUAGAGAUUUCAAAUAGGGAAAUCAAGAGAAUUUUAGAAAAAACGAUGAAUGCUUCUAAGAAAGAUUGGUUAAUAAAACUUGAUGAUGCACUUUUGGCCAAUAGGAUAGCGUUCAAAACUCCAAUUGGAAUGUCUUCUUUUAGACUAGUGUUUGGGAAGGCUUGUCACUUACUAGUGGAAUUAGAGCAUAAAGAAUAUUGGGCAUUGAAAUUUUUGAAUUUUGAUAUGUAGUCUGCAGGUGAAGAAAGAUUAUUGCAACCUAAUGAAUUGGAGGAAUAAUCGAGAGUUUAAUUAUCAAGACAAAAGAUUAACUUUUCUUUAUUUUAUCCAGGUUAAUUUUUUAGGGGGCACAUUUCAAGAGUUUAAUCAUCAAGGUCAUCUAUGAACUUCUCCUACAAUCAGGAGAGUUUUCUUCAUCCUAUUUUUAUAUUUUGCAUUGAGGACACUGCUUCAUUCAACUUUAGGGGGGGAGACAAAUUUUUUUGAUAAUUUUUUUUAUCAUGAUUGCAUUCCUAGUUGUGAAUUUUUGCGAUUCUUAGGGAAAUUUAAAUUUUAUUUAAACUUGCAAUUGGUGUGUGAGUUAAUCUUAAUUCUAAUUAUGUUGAUCCACUUAAUGAGCACUAAAAGUCCUUAAUUUUUUAAUUGUGUGUAAAUUUAGAGAACAUUCAUGUGAAGUAUGUGAUUUUCUUGGAUUUUACCAAAAUCUUAGAAUUUGUUUGACUUUCUCUUGAGGCGAAAUCCUAAGCUAAAUCUAAUUGAGAAAAUGAUUUAGGCAAUUUUUGGAUCGAUUGAGCCUUUUAAGCUAACCUUAUUUAUUUAUCCCUAGUCACCCCGUUGAGCCUUAAUUAUUACCCAAUUUUUCAUUGGCACCCAUAUAUGUUUAGCUUAGCCGUUACCAAAUUAUAUCAUUGUCCCAUGCCCUAUGAACAUGUUGAUUUUCUUUUGGGAUUAAAAAAAAAACAAACUGUUUGAGCUUAAUAGAAAUUUAGGAGGAAUGAUGGAGUAUGAAAAAAAAAACAAAAAAAAAAUGAUUGCUAUGGUUGUUUGGGAUGUAUUAUUAAAAAAAAAAAUUGCUAUUAUGGUUCCCUAUCCAACUUUCAGUUGAGUGAGCCUUUUGGAUGUUCAAUGAGUUGGAAAUUUUCAUGUUAUAUUAGGAGGGAUUUUGGGAGAAACUCCACCAUAAAAAAAAAAAGAAUGAUGAUAUAUGGUGGCAGAAAAAUUAUUUUGAAUGAGUGAAAUUGGACAGUGACAUUGGCUCUAAUUAGAUCCUAGAAAUCAACAUAUUGAUGGGUGAUUUGAGCUUAAAAUUACCGUUAUCUCACCUUUAGCCCAGCCUUACAUUACAAAUCAAGAAAAGUCCUGUUGAUUUUUUGUUGAAGAAUUAGCCUACAUUAGUGGAGAGAGGAAUGAAAAAGCAAACUUAUGAGAUUUGGUCAUAAUUAUUGAGAAUUUUUUAGAGGUUGCAUGUCAAUGUUAAUUUGAAAAAAAUGAGGACUCUCACACACACACUUGGAUCACAUAGUUAGAAUUUGUCUUAACUUAUAAAUCAAUUUCCAUGUUUGGAUGAAAUUUAUGUUUUUCUUUGAAUUGUGAAUUUGAGCAAUUAUGGAAAGAUGUCAUGGAGGAGGUUGUUAGCUUGAGUAUGUGUUAUGUCUUAAUUUUGCUUGAGGGCGAGUAAAAUGUUAAGUUUGGGGGUUUGAUAAACCUAGUUAUUUUAUCUAUUUUAGGCAAUAAUUAAUGCAAUAUCUAUGAGAAAAUAUUUGGAUUUCCUUAUGAUUAUUCGAAUUUUCCUUAUUUAUGCAGAAUAAUGAGAUAUGGAGAAGAUAAGGAAAAGAAUGGCAAAUAUUAGGAAUUCCAAUUAAAAAAAACAGUGGAAGAUGAAUAUCAAAUCAGAAAAUUCUUGAUUUUGUUCCCUAAUAUUAUCUGCAAGUAUUGGAAGAUAGAUAUCUAGGAUUAUAUCUUUUGAAGAGGAGAAUAUUAAGAGCCAAAGAGAAAGCAACGGGGUUUUUGUUAAAUUGUUUUUGAUCAUUCUGAGAGUUUUUCAAGUAUUUUGAAGAGAAGACAAAAGUGAUGAUAGAAUUCUUGUUCUUUAAUUCAAAAUGCUCGGUUUGAUUUAUAUUCUUAUUUAUUCUUCUACUAUGUUCUAAUUUUCUUUUGUUAGGGCUAUGAUGUAGCCUAACCAUGAUGAUGUGAAUUUCAUGAUUUUUAUGUUUUACAAUUGAUUUCAUUCAUGUGAGUUAUAUAUUAUUGUGAUUAAUGCUUUUGAGUGACUUGAAUGAUCUGAUGUACACGUUUGAGACUGAGAAGUGAUAAUAUGCAAUUGUUCAUUGUAAUAUAUAACCAUGGAUUAAACGUGAAUAGAAAUAUACCGCGUUAUUUGUGUAGCUUUCGGUGAUAAGGUGAUCCAAAAGACUCAUUGUAAGCCGGGAAUAUUCAUAAUUUUUUAUGCACUUAUAUUUAUUUUAAUUCACAUAGAGAUAUAUUAGAUUAAUAAUCUAAGUAUGUUUGCUAAUAAUAAAUUGAUUAGGAAAUUCUGCUAUCACAUGUUUGAUAUCGUUCUUGUAUCCAAAACAAUUUGAAAUUCAUAUCUAGUGGUUGUGGUGAAAUUGGAUGCUCUAACAUAUUUAUCUGAUCAAUUUACUGCAUUUAGUCUACAAAUUUCGUUUUUAAUUUAUUCUUAAUUAUAUUUUGAUCUGUUAGAUAAAAUUUAGAAUUAGUCUAUUUUAGUAUUUAGUUGGUUUAUUAAUGAUCGAUCUCUAUGGGACGAUAUUUUUUCUGAUCAUUAUAUUACUUGUUCGACAUGUGCACUUACGUUUAGAAUUUUACAAACAAAAAAAUUAUCAUAUUAGGUAGAUAGAAUAUGAUUUUUGGCAUAUAAAUAAUAUGAGUCGAAACAUACACUAUGACCCAUCUUAAAUUUUGAGACCCAUGUUCUCCCUUUAGUCUAAUCACUGAAACCCAUGACCCACACGUAUUUAAAUUCUCUAUCCCUUUGUUUUCCAAUUCAAUUUACAUGUUUCUGAUCUUGAUAUUUUCUAACUUUAUUUUGAUCUUAAAUGCACAUGCCAUUUUCUAAUGAGAGGAACACAGAUUAAAAGACGAUGUGAAUAGAUGAGAUCCGCCACUUAUUUUGAAAAAAAAAAAACUAUUUUUAUGUUUUGUCAAUUUCCUGACAUUACACAUUUCCAAUCUCUAAACCUUCCAAUGUCCUAUAAAAAAAGUCUAAACCAUUCAAUGCUUUUCCAUAGCGAUAUUGGUUGUUAGUAUUCAUUUGAAAGCCUACCCCUUUCUUGAGUCAAGGAAAAAUUACCUCUAUUGCUUGCCACCUAUUUUAUCUUAAACUAAAGUUUAAGUUCAUUUUUUUCAUAGUGACACAAUUAUUAAACUGACGAUAGUUAUAAAAUUGACAAAAUUUUUUUUCCAAAUAUCACUAUUUAAAUAAAUUUUCACUAACAAUUACAUCUAUAGUCAUAAAUCAAACCUAAACCUAAGUCAUUUAAGAAAUAUAGAUAGAUGGAAAAAUAAAUCAUCUUACCUUAUAGUAAUGGCCCACUCAUUGAACGCGAUCUGACUUGCAUUCUCUGACCCACCGAAGUUGCAAAAGCUAACCAACAGUCAAUGUCAACUCAGUAUCGACUUCACUUACUUCCCAAAAUUCAGUCCUUGCGUUGCAUAAAAACAAACCAUUUUUAUGGCAGAGUAGAGAGAGAGAGAGAGAGAGAGAGAGAGAGAGAGAGAGAGAGAGAAGGAAUGGCGUGACAUUGAACUAUCAGAUUCUAUUUAUUAAUUUGAUGAGAAAGUAAAAAAGUAACUAACAGAAGUAAUGGUCCACCGAGAUACAGGUAUUUGUCGGAUUCUACUUAAAGCACCCCUUAUUUUUUGUUCUUUUUCGGUUUGUUAUUUAGGAUACAAGAUUUGGUUUCCAGUUUCGGUGGAGGUCUGCCGGUUUAGAAAUCAGGAUUUACGAAGUUGCAACAGAUCUGUUGUUUUGCUUUGCUGGGUUGUAGUUGCAAUAGCAGCAGCAAAUCACCCACCUUUGAUGUGGACACUUCAAUUUUCGUUGUGGGAUGUUAAGUGUCAACUUCGUCCAUAUUCACUCAGCCCCCACCUCUCAUAUCUCAGGCGGAGAAGACUAACCCAUUAAGCUUUCGGUUUCAGUUUCAAAUUGUUUGAUUCUUUUGACAUUAACCUGGUCGUUACCAUUGACUCAUAAUAUAGAACCAUUGAUGGAAUGGAAGUAGUCUGCUGAUGAGGUAGUAAUCCAACAUUUGUAAGAAACAGUGACUGGACAUGCAAGUUUCUCCAGAUAAAUUUUGCGGGUAGACAUACAAGUUUCUCUUUCAUCAUUUCUCAAAGAUGGGAAAGAUCAAAUUGGCCGACCAUCAUCCACACUAAAGACAAAAAAAUGGCAUCUGCUAAGUGAAAUUCUUGAGUAGCAACAUAUAACAAGUCAAGCUCGUGAACAAACACAUCCAGAGCAAGAAGGUGCCACUCCACACAUCUCGCCAUUCAAACAAAUGAAAAGCUUCCGUAAUAGAUUCCCUCCCUUGCAGUGGCCACCAUCCACAUCAUUAUUGUGUGAAAAGGAAAAAGUUGCAACAUUUACAAAGGGGAAAGAGACAGCACGAAUACAAACACCAAACCACAAGCCAUUGUCUUUAGGCUUUCCCCACUAAUUAAUUCACAAUACCCAAUUACCGCACUGCAUAACACUCGUUGUUUUGUUUAUAUUACCUAUACCUUCAGUUCCACAUGUGAGCGAAAGAGAAACUUCGAAGCAACAUUUAAGAAUUCUGCUGCAAGGAUUACCCAAUGAAGCCCUAGUUCUUUCAAGAACUAAUUUACUUAGAACACAACAAACCAUUUCUUACUCUCUCUUGUGCCAGUAAUCAGUAUCCAGAAGUACUGGCUAGAGAUCAUUACCAGAUGCAGACGAAGCGGUUCCAGUCAAUGGCCCUUCAAUAGACAUACUCUUGGUGAUAUUCUCACCAACUGUCUGAUGUUCGUCACCUCUAAAAUGCUUCCUCAUGGCCUCAAUUUUCUCCUUAGUCAUGAUAGCGCCCGCAGAGUCCAGCACUGGAACAGCAACCUUGCCUUCAAGCAUGCUAACCACAGAUGACAUUGGCGGCCUUAGUGCUGGAGUCACAUAAGUACACAUCAGAGCUAUCUUUAUCAAUGCCAACACUUCCUCUUUGUCAAAGUGAGAACCAAGCCUCGGAUCAACUAGUUCUAUCAAAUUUCCUCUUUCCUUCAGAAAGUGUGCCUAGAUACAGAAAUGUAAAGUGAAGAUAUUUCCCUUUCAAGCUUCAGGUAUUGAUCAGUUGCAAAAUAUGCUCUAAAUACUGAAACAGGAAGAAGUAUAUUAUCUCCCUUGAUAAUUACGUGGCAAAUGCAGUUGAUAAGCACCUGCUAGAUUUAGGGUAUAAAUGGAUAAAAAGAAUCGAAUGAGUCAAUACAGAUCAAACAUGAUUUUUUUUACCGAUUUUAAAGAAAAGGUAGUAGACUCCAAAAUCACUUACUAAUGGUUAACCGGUUGCCAAGAAAUCACCUACACCGCUUUAAAAUCACUAGCUAUUGUCGAGUUUUAUCAGCACGAAUUAUUUGUCAGUGUCAUUACAUGAAACGGUAGACUCGUCUUUCAGAGUUCUUGAUUAUGCAACUCAGGCGACAAUCAGAUUUAACAAGGACUAAUAAUAUGAUUGUUUGCUCUAAUGAUUGCUCACUCAAAGCAAAACAAAAUCUAACUUAGGGAGUCAAUUAUAUGAAUGUGAAAAAAGUUAUACCUCAAUCGAAAGUAUAUGGAUAUUCUGGUUAAGACAUGGUCUUGAAAACUUUUUAAUUUAACAGUAAUUGCCAAAAUAAAAUAGUAGUCGAAGGACUUGUUUGGUGCCAAUGAAACUACAGGGAGUAUGAAUGUCAAGCAUAAAAACAUAAAGACUAAAACUGAACUUUCGAGAUCCACCCUAAAUUAUGGGGUCAACUUCCCCAAAUAUCAAGGAAUAGAAUUUCUUCGUUCAAAAAAAAAAAAUACAUGAAAAUUCAGAGUAGACCAACAUGAUAAGAAGAGUCGGAUUAAUUUGAAAUAAAAAAUUGCACUUAACAGCAUGACAAUUCGAUAAGCAAAUUUCAAUAGCUGUUAACUGUGAAACUCCUUUGCAACCAUUGAAAGUGCAUGUGAGGAUUUAAAUACAAAUAUGAUCAUAAUUGAAAUGAUAGAGUUGAUUACCCAAUCGAGUAGAAUAAAGCAUUCCUCAGUUUUUUGGGAGCUAGUGUUGCUCCGGCCACUAACAACUUCUAAGGCAACAAUGCCAAAACUAUAGAUGCCGGCUUUGUCAGUGAGGUAACCAUGCAUUGCGUACUCCGGUGCCAUAUAUCCACUGCACAACAAGAAAAGAGCUUGUGUUUGCAACAAGGUAACUGCCUUAAAUAGCACAUACUUAAUAUUCCUAAAAUUCAAAAGAAAGAGUCAUUCCUAAAUGUGACGCUAUGGUCUAAAGAGUAGAGGAAAAAAACAAAUGCAUCCUAAUAUAUUCUAAUAUCAUUUACCGAGAAUAUUUCAGGAAAAAAAAAGGACCAUUGUUGUUCUUUGUAAUUUUUCUUUUGGUUUGAAAUAUAAGUAUCAUUUAUAAGAUGACCUACAUGAGCUUAAGGGCAUUUCCCAGCAUUACACAGAUAUCUAAGAACGUGCAAAAAUGGAGUGAGGGAAUCUCCAUAUAGUACCCAAUAUUAAAUUUAUUUGGGAAGGGCUAAAGUUUUUGUAAAGUGAAGCUCGCCUUGUAACAAGUUUACGAAUUUUAGCCACGAUAAUGGGGACAUCAUUUGACUUGUUUUGGAAAUGUCUAUAGUUACGUUUAUAGUUCUUUUUGUUGAAUUAACGUUAGAGUUAGUAGAAUGAACUUACAAUUUUAUCUUUCCCCUAAUUAAUCACGUUCCUUUCACAAACAAGUUGACUUUUCACACGCAUUAAUGCAAACUUCUAAAACAUGUGAACAUGCUUAUCUAUGUUUCUCCAUGUGCAUACAAUAGAAACAUGGGCGAAUUUGCUAUAAUACUAAGUUAUAUUCAAAUUAACAAUUACAUAAGUCAAUACCAGAGUAUCAUUACUUAAUGGUAGAGUAUGACACAAUUUACAUUUUUUUCCUAAUUAAUGUGAAGAGUGCUGGGACAGUCAUAAAGCUUUGUGGUUAAGCCGAAUUUGUUGAGCAACAUGCUUUGGGAUGAUGUGAAUCCACCACAAAGCUUCAUUCAACUCACUUUUCUUAAAUCAGAAUAUAUGUUUCUAUUCCAUGCUUUUAUGUUGUCACUGGCUCCUACUUAGGUUAACAGGAACAAAAAGCAAGAAACUUACUAAGUUCUAGCAAUCUUGGUGCUAAUAUGUGUUUUGUCCUCCUCAUCAAGCUUUGCUAAACCAAAAUCUGAUAUUUUAGGGUUGAGAUCCUUAUCCAGUAAAACAUUAGUAGCCUUAAUGUCUCUAUGCACAAUCUUCAGCCUUGACUCUUCAUGAAGAUAUGACAAUCCCCUGGCAAUACCCACGCAUAUCUUGUGUCUUGUCCACCAAUCCAACUUUAACUGAAAUUCUUCAGGACCUUCAAUUGUAUCAAAAGACAUCAAAGCUGCUUUACUGCCAUGUCAUUAACUGAAGUCAAUGAAGCACAAUGUGAUAUCAAAUUACCAAAUAAAGCGCGAGCAAGACUGUUAUUUUCCAAGUACUCAUAAACCAGCAAAAGUUGAUUUCCUUCAAUGCAGCAUCCAUAGAGUUUCACAAGAUGUGGAUGCUGAAGAGCAGAAAUCAUCCCAAUCUCAGUCAGGAACUCAUUAUUUCCUUGUUGUGAUUUGGAUGAAAGCUGCUUCACUGCUAUAGUGGUGCCAUCUGACAGAAAACCCUGCAAUUCAACUUUAGCAUCAGAUCUAUGUUGUGAAAAUUGAGUUACAUUGAAUGCUGCUUUCUACAUAUCUUCUCUCUUGGGAAUAAGGGGAAUUUGGUUAGCCAAUUUUCCAGCAUACCUUGUAGACAGAACCAAAACCACCUUCUCCUAUCUUAUUGGCAGGGUCAAAAUUGUUUGUGGCAGCUUUAAUCUGUCGCAAGGUAAAUAAACCAAUUUGCAACGCUAGAUACUUCAAAUCUGCAACACGUUUUGGAACUUCUAUGAAUUUGGAAAAGUCAACAGUUAAAGUAUGUAAUCCACUAUCUAAAAAGACGUAUCAAUUCCUUCUCAAUAUUCCAGAAAACCUUUUUGUGACGUUUUGGUCUGAGCAAGUUCAGUACAGAAUAGCUUAGCAUCUUGAAAAUUAUUUUCUAGGAAAGUCUGGCAUCAGUUGGCAGUAUGUAUUUAUGAAAAGUAAAAUGAGAUUGUCCCGAGGGUAUUUAAUAGUGAAGGAAAAUAAAAAUCAUACAGAGAACCCCCUUGGAAACGUAGGGUAUGGUUUGUAUGUUUUAAUUUCUCAUGCACGUGAAGUUCUGGCAGAUAUUUUUGGUGUCUUGAAACAUAGACUUUGUGUGUAUACACACACACACAUCUGAGAAACAAUCUACCGUCUCUCCCUAUAACUAUCUAUUCCUUUAUUUUUCGGAUUUCUAAAUAAAAAUAUUAGUUCAUUAAGCAAACCAAAUGGUUCUACGACACUUUAGCUGUAUAUCGCCUAAUAAUAAUCUUUGGCUUUUUGCGUCGAAUCAAAUUCCCUAUGGAAUGCACAAUGUCAAGAAGGAGGAGGAGGAGGAGGAGGAAGUAUCAUGUGAAGAAGAAGAAGAAGAAGAAGAAGAAGAAGAAGAAGAAGAAGAAGAAGAAGAAGUAUCAUGUGAAGAAGGAGAAGAAGAAAAAGGAGGAGGAGAAGAAGGAGGAGAAGGAGGAAGAGGAGAAGGAGAAGGAGAAGGAGAAGCAGAAGAAGAAGAAGAAGAAGAAGAAGAAGAAGAAGAAGUAUCAUGUGCCAACAGUUUGAAGAAGAAGAGGAGGAGGAGGAGGAUGAGGAGAAGAAGAAGUAUCAUGUGAAGAAGAAGGAGGAGGAGGAGGAGGAGGAGGAGGAGGAGAAGAAGAAGAAGAAGAAGAAGUAUCAUGUGCCAACAGUUUGAAGAAGAAGAGGAGGAGGAGGAGGAGGAGGAGGAAGAGGAGGAGGAGGAUGUGCCAACAGUUUGACAGGACAACUGUGCGAUUUAGAGGAAAUAUAAAUGAAGAAUAGUCCAGGUAAGCAACUACCUUGUGCCAUUUUAUCUUUACAUCCGAGGCAUCCUCUCCACCAAAGGAUAACCAGGAUAAGGAAAACUACAAAAACUAUAGCAGCCAGAAUCCCAGCCACUGUGCCAGCAGAUAUGCUGGCCGGGGGAUCAAAGUCUGCAAUGAAGAAAGAACAAACAAAUAUUUAACCAAAACUGUUCAGUUAAAUGGGGUAGACGUAAAUGCAGAAAAAUAUCUGUAGCUUCUCAUUGAACACAGAGAAAUUGAUGGACAACACAAUAAUCGAGAAUCAAGAGGGCAUAAAACCGCCCAGAGUACUCCACAGAAACUAUCAGAUAAAUGAGCACCAGAAGAUAUCAACUAUGGAACAUGUAAUACAAAAUACAAAGGGAAAAAAAAAUCUACUCUUCAUUCUCAAGGCUGUACUGUAUGAUACAGGCACCAUGGUCGUAAUCCAUAGCGGAAAAGUGAACAAGGCUAUCAUUUCAUAGUCGAAUGGAAGGAUUGAAGAUACAUAGAGAAAACACGCUCAGAUGGAAAGAACACAAAGCAACCUAUAACCAAUUUUCGACUCUAAGAGAAUAAUAAUAGACCCCAGUCAGCUAUUAUGCGUAAUUGACUUGAUCUAUAGUGACAUAUGCCAAUGGCCUGAAUCCAACAGUAGGCAUUUGCAACCAAGCCAAGUAACUGAAUAGCCUAUUGAUGACUUCUGGUGCAAGAACAAAUAUGGGUAUUCUUUUCAACAUGAAUAUGAGUAACUUUCUCAACAGAGAAGCACCAAGUGAAACAUGGAAGCAUCCAUCCGCGUACCAGAGUAGACAGAGAUAGCAGAUAUAAGAGGACCAUAGACUCCAUCCUCAGGUAUACCAGUGCUUCCUUUCCCAGCCCAAUAGAAGCGUAUCUCCAGAGUGCCCUUGGUCACAUCGGCAGUAAAAUUUCUCAUGACCUCCUUUCCAACUCCACCUGCUUCAAUCUCAAUGUUGAAAUCUUUCCACACCAAUUUCCCCUGAAAUAAUAUUUCAUCUAAUUCAAGUUGAGUGUCUCCACACUGAACAAGGUAAAAAUUUUAGUCUCCAUAAAAUGUACAAAUUGUGAGAAAAUCACGAUUUGCAAGUACAAGAUACUUGGAUAAACUUCCCAACCAUAACAUAUUGAACGCUUUAUGUGCUUUAUAUAUUAGAAUCAGCACUCCAUAAUGCUCCGAGUUUACCUGUAUAUAAAUAUUAAAAUCUCUCUUUCCAAGGCUUUGAUAACUUUUGUCGCCUGUGAACAUUAUCUCCGCAAAAUGAAGAAUUACAUUGUAGGGCCCAUCCAUCAGACAAAAACCGUAAUAAGUUAGAGAGAUAGCAGAACGUCGUGCUUUUUUGUAAAGUUGGGCAUCAUUCAUGGACAGUGUGGAUGUGUUUUUAACUACAUAGCUAAAUGCAGUGCUACAGUAAUCGGUGAAGUAACCAGUGCUACUGUAGGCCCAGUAAUCACUCCUGAAGAAACUUGAAGGUGUAGCCUCCUCUGAGUCAGCUUCGUAUGUGGUGCCCUUUACUUUUGCUUUGCUCCCACCGCAAUUUAUGAAGAGGUUAUACUGAGCUGGAUGGAGAAAAGAAGCAGCCACAGAGAAAAUUCAGUUUCUUCUAUUUGUUAAUAUGGAGUGGACUUUCCAGACACUAAAUAAGCUAGCAUUCACUCAUUGGAAAAUUACAUAGAAACUCCCAAGUUAUGAGCAACCCAUUAUUUCAUGCAGGUAGCUUUUGAAAUUAUUAGGGUAAUUAUGCAUCAGCCAUCAAAGAUCGACACAAUAGCCAAGAGGAGAGUUGACAAGGAGACAAAUUUGAUGAGAAAUUACACAGAGAGUAACAUGCAAUAUUAGAAUCUGAUGAUAAUGAUAGGAUAUGUCAGAAUAAUUUAAAUAUAAAAUCAUGUAGUCAUCUAACAGUUUAAGCUUUUAAAACAGUUGGCUGUUAUCUUAUAAAAUUUCAUAUGGUAUCAGAGAUGGAUUUCAUGAGUUCAAAUCUUUCGAAGCCUCGUUUGCCUCCCUAAUUAAAUAUGUCCACACUUCAUCUAAUAGUCUAAACAUUUAGAACAGUUAGCUGUGGUCCCACAAAAUUUCAUAAGAUAUAUAGCACGUCAAUUUACUUUUUAUACAACAAUGACUCUGCAGCAUAUUAACUUACUUUUUGCACAACGUUGACUCUGCAAACAUGAGACAAGUCCACUUGUGGCAGAACAUGAGGUUCUGAGCAAGUCAGCAAAGAUUUUACUGUUAUAAUCAUCAUCAUUCUUAAUGAAGUUCGAUGCUAAGCACAUAAACAAUAAAAAUGCGGGUCCUUGGAAAUCCAAGUCUCUCGUUGAAAAGUUAAUCGCAAACAUACGCAUUCUCAACCUCGGAGCUUGCGAACAAGUUGCUGUAGAGAAAAGACAAAAUCAACAUUCAGCAGAGAAAUGGAAAUAUUAUACACAAUCAGUAUAUAAGUUACACAAUAAGUGCACAUUUGGGGGGAGCCCUGGACUGACUGAAGGAAGUAGGACAUACACAUAUCCUUCUUGACAUUCUGAGCCUCGAGCAGUGAAGUUGUUGUAUGACAAAUCACUACACAGAGAAACAGUCAACCAUUUCCAAAAUCUCAUCAAUUUGAAGAAUACACUGAAAGUCAUUCCAUCAAAUGAUUUUUUUUUUUAAUAAUUCCAUUAAAUGAUUAGUAUGUACAUAAAUGCAGAUAAGUUGCAAAAUGUGUACAGGUAAGGCAAGAUAAAAGGCGAAAACAUCACAAGAUGAUGAAAUUGAUAUUUUAUUCCUACUGAAAAUAUUUUAUCUUAGAAUAUGAAAAGGAGAAAGACUAAGUGAAGUAAACGGAGACUUUAAAACUAUUUAUAGUGUAUAAAAACAUUUUUACUCAGUAACAGUACCACAGUCAUGAUGUCUAAGGCAAAGAGGCUUUAAUAGAACUGUGAUUCCACCUACUAGUACGUCGCAUCUUGUAAUAAGAAAUUAUCCAGACCACAUUUAUCUGUUUAAACUACCUCACAAGAGCUUCAGCCCAAGCAACUAAUCAUAUACUUCAGGUGAUACGUUAGACAAACUUUCAAAGAGGAUUAAUAGGAGGUAAAAAUUUUCUAAACAUAACUUUAAUCAUUCCAAUAAGUCUGAAAAUGAUCUACAGCUGGGAAUGGCUUUUUGUAUAAGUCUGAAAAUUCACUUUAUAUUCAUGCAUAUCAUACAGUUCAGCCUCUUUUGUUACAUACAUCCAUCCAAUUAACAGAUCCCAACGAGGAGAAAGGUACUUAUAAUGUUUCCAUUUAUCUCCAAAGGCUACUAACCAUAAACAUGCAAUAUGUGAAUGCAUAAUUGCUUGGUACAGAGCAAGAUUAGCCAGAUAAAGCUAGAAGCAAAUUCAUGAUUAAACAAGAUAUUUUCUUCAGGCAGUGAAGCUUACACAUUUUUUCCUUUCUCCAGGAUCCAAUCAGGGACUGCUCCAGUCAACUGGUUUCCAGUUAGAUACCUAAACAAGAUUAUUUGAAUGAGUCAGCUCCUCAUGUACUUUAUACACUCUAACUGAAAAUUAUUUAAGACUUAUACCUCAAAAACGCAUUAUUUAGCAGAUUAUUAGCAUUUGUUUAUUAGCAGUGUAGAAAAAAAUCAGUUUAAGUCAUGAUAACAAUAUAGAGCUUUCAGCUGGAGAUGAAAGAUUAAGGAAAUCAAUGACAGAGGAAAACCCUGAUCCCUGCGAAACUUGGAGCGCCUGGAGAAAGAUUACCAUAACAGUAGUUCACAAAGCUGGACUAGUGAAGGGUACCUCCAAAUUAGCUUAUCAACUAUUUCCUCGUGAUAAUGUUUUUGUCCUUCUAAGACAUAAAAUAAAUAAUUAAGGAAGAUGUGCCAUUGUCAAGCUUCAAUCGUUGGGCAGAAAGAUGAAAACCAAUGUUAAACAGUCCAAGAAGCUUAGGACUAUAGUUUCUAAUAAUUCUCAAAACUAGGGUUAAGAUACCAAGGUCCUCCACAGACCUUCCAAAUAGCACUUAAGAGCUGCACUCACCAAACUUCUAGAGCCAUUGUUGUGGAAAGAACCAAGUAGAGAGCCUAAGGACUUUUGCUAUAUUUAAUCUCCUAUACAUCAUAAAAUAGGCACACAAGAUGUGCAUUGAGUACAGAAACAUACAACUGUCAAAUGCUAAAGUACCACUGAUCCAUUUAACUCUUCCAGCGUAAACAAGUAACUUUUUGAAACUUGUGAAUCAGGCAAAGAAAUGAUCAAAAGGGCUGCUCCUUAAGCGACAGAAUAUCAACAAUCUACGCCUGCUCCAUGACUAAAGUCCCACCAAAAUAAUUACUUGACAAUAAUCAUAAAUUCUUAACUCAAUUCAUUACAAAAUUUGGAUGGUGAAGUAAUAAGCAUUCACGACCUGAGGACUUUGAGAGUUAAAAAAUGAAUAUGUUAUCAUGGUCUAAGUUCUAUUGAUAGCUCAACUACUUUAUGGUAAAAGUUGCCUGUAGCUUGACCACUAGAAAACUUGAGACUUUAGAUUCUUCUACAAAAUACGAAAAGAAGCCUAAGUUCAGCAUCGAAGUACUUACAUAUAUUCUACGUUUUCCAGGCUGCUGUAGGAUAUAGGGAUUUUGCCACUCAGUUUGUUGAAGCUGAGGUCUCUGCAAAGCAAGUUUAUGUGAAUAUAUAUUGAGAAGGUACUUUUAACUGACCCCCUCAGGACACUCUUUGAGCAUACUUCAGACGAUUGUACAAACACAGACUACAUCAAUGAACAUACAAAGUCCAGUUCAGAUUUUUAGACAUACAGGUCAACUGUCUAGUGCCUAAGCUUUCUACUAGACAUUCAUCUCCAGAGGCAUUCAUUGCCUAAAUCCAAGUUUCAAGUUGGUCACGUGCUAUAAGUAUACAAAACUGCUGUAAAUCAAAUUUACAAAAUGGAAAUUUCAAUUUAUAUAACUAGAAAAGCUAUUUGGGCACUAAAUUGAGUGCAUCCCAAGGAAUGCACCAUAUUAUAGUUCAGAUUGGGAGAUUUCACUCAUCUAAUAGGACCGAAACUAAAGCUAAUCAUAAUUUGUUGAAAACAUCUCCUUCACAAUAUAUUAUUUAUGAAUAAUGGGAUGCCGACUCAAUACUAGGGUGCUUAGAAAAGGAAAUAUCAGCUUCAGUGAAUAAAAAAAUAAAGAACAAAAUGAGGAUUUCAAAAAAUAGGUUAGGGAAUAGAGUAUGCGAUAAGCUGCAGCAGAACCACAGAAAUUUGGUCAUUCAAGAAUGUCAGAAAAACAAAAAAUUAAAGCUCCAUAUGUUUCGUGAAAAAUGUAACGUUUUUAGAAAAAGAAUUCCAUGAAGUUAUUUUUUUAGGAAAAUGAAAAUAUUCCAGUGCUUGACUGAAAUCCUGAAAAUACCCGGAAAAUAUUUUCCAUUGUUUAGUAUGGAAAAUUUAAUUUGAUUUUCUAGGAAAAAAUUGCCAAAAAAUUCGAAUUUUUUAAGUUAGUUUUUUAAUCCUUUUCUUUUAACUUCUUCCUCGGCUGGUUGUCAGCUAUGGCGACCGGCCAUGGGAUAAAAAAAUAUUUUUAUAAGAACAAACAUUUCAUUAACUAAGGAUCCGAACUUGAGCACCAAGGACCUGCACACGGCCUUCGCGGACUCAACCUAACUGCUGGGGACUAGAGCUUGAGUGUCAAGGACCCAAGCACCGCUUUUAUGUACUCGGGGUCACGUAUUAGGGCAUUGGGCCUGAGCACCAGGGCUUCGGGCCCAACCUCGAUGGACUAGGCCCGGGCACUAAAGACCUAGUCCUGAACACUGAGGACCAAGAACCAGGUGUUGGGGUUCCCGUGUCCAAGCAAAGAGUUGCGGGUCCAACCACCGAUACCAACUCAUAGUUUGGAAAAUGUUUUCUGACUUUUCAAAAGAGGAAAUCAUUUCCUAAAUUUAAACAUAGAUCUUUCAUUGACUCAGAAAAUAUUUUCUAUUAACUCAUUUUCCUAAACAAACCAAGCGCUAGAAAAUCAGGAAAAUGUUUUUCGCAAAACAAACAAAGCCAUGAUAGAAUGGCUAAAUGUUGCUGUUAAAAGUAGCGUUUAUUAAAUCUUACAGAGAUGACCACAUGAACAAGAAGAAUUGACUUGUAUAAAGAUGAAUUUGAAGCCAUGCUCUCGUUUGAACUAUGAAUGUUAUGUCUGACAAGUGUACAACAGUCAAGCAAAAAACUCCAGCUAGAUAUUGUAGGGCUGAGAUUCGAGAAUGUAAACCACCGGAAGGAAAGUUUCUAGACAAUCAACCACUAGAAGCCUCCAUUUUGCAUUAAUGCUCUUAAGAAGUUAAGAUAACAUAUCAAAGCAAAAGUAAAUUAGACGAAAUGGGAAACCACAACCAAGGUAAGAAUUCUUGCUGGAAAAGUGAAAACAAGCAGAGUGUUAGAAUAUUUAAAUAACAAACCACGCUUUCAUCUAAUAGCUUGAGUUUUUAGAACAGUUGACAAUAGUUUCACAAAUUCUCACAGAGAGAAAAAGUCCAUAUACUUUUGUGCGAAACUGUAUAUUCUACAGCAGAGACCACAAUCACCAAGAUUUUAAAUGCCACAUCAUUCACAAUUCAGCAUUAUCAAUAGAAAAUAUCAAAACACCAUUGAAGUCAGUAAGGGACCUUCAAGCCAUCUUAAAUGGGUUCUUUAACUGCAACCAAUAGUCAACCAAAAACUAGUAGAAAUUUCACUCCUUAAGGGUAAAAUUAUUUAUUCUGCUUGGAAUAGCCAAAGGGAAAAGGCGCUUUCUACUCACAAUAUUUUUAGAUUUGUCAUAUUUGCUAGAUAACCAGGUAGCUCUCCCAUGAGAUUGCAGCUCCUCAGAAUCCUAUAUGAAAAUAACACCGAUAUUGUCAAAUUGCUAAGACGAUUUGGCUCUUUUGCAUAAAGUAAACUAUCUGUGAAGGAGCAUCGAUCUCACAGUGUUUCAAUUUUUUUACUGUUGAGUUGUGGAACACGAGACUCGGGUCCAUCGAGGUCACUUAUUCUCCUGCAUAUCAAAAUCAAAUAGGAGCUUUAUUUGAUUGAUAACAUCUUAAAGAAAGAGAGAUCAGAUCGAAAUGCCAAAAUUCCAUACUGACAAGUCAUUCAAUCGCUCCAAACGUGCGAUCCCAGAGGGAAUCGGCCCUUGCAAUCCACUUCCUUGAAUAGACCUGAUGAUACGAUUCAUAGAUGGAAUUGUCUUGGGGGUAUAUCUAUAGAGACCGACUUAAAAGGGGAAGAAGCAUCAAGCCUUACAGUUUUUGGAGAUUUGUCAAGUUCUGAAUAAAAUCGGGUAUCUUUCCCAUGAACUGAUUAUCACCAAGUUGCCUACAGUCCAUUAAACAACAUGAUUCAUAUGAAGGAGAAAGAAUAGAAUGGCUAAAUAUUAGCUGAGUUUGUGGAUACUGGAAACUAACAGGUAACGCAAUUCCCUUAAGUUAACAAAUGUUUGAGGCAGCUCCCCCGUGAAAUUAUUUGACGUAAGCCACCUGAAACAAGAAAAACCCAUGACAACACAUUGGUUAAUAGAACCUGAAUGCUGUAUCUCUCAACCCAUGAAAAAUUAUGGAUUAAUUUUUAGCCUUUAAAUUAAAAAGAAAAAAAUUCCAUUAAAUUACACAAUAGAGCACAAGUCAACGCCAGAGCAUGGAGGAGGAGAAGGGACCACUAGGGUAGCCUAAGGACUCGCCAGUGUGCGAGAGACUAGAGGGUGAAGGGUCUCCCCUGAUUGUAGGGGUGUCAAGAACCGAACCGAACCGAAAACCGAACUAAACCGAACCGAAAAAAUCGGUUUUUUCGGUUCAGUUCGGUUUUCAGUUCGGUUCCCGUUAAAAACCGAAAUAUCUUUUAUCGGUUCAGUUUUUAUCGGUUAACCGAACCGAACCGAACCGAAAACCGAACUAAACCGAACCGAAAAAAUCGGUUUUUUCGGUUCGGUUCGGUUUUCAUUCGGUUCCCGUUAAAAACCGAAAUAUCUUUUAUCGGUUCGGUUUUUAUCGGUUAACCGAACCAAACCGAACCAUAAACCGAUAAAAUCUCUUUUAUCGGUUCGGUUUAUUCUCUCCCGUCCCGUCGGUCCCGACUCUAGGUUUUAUUCUGUCUCAACUUUGGCCCUCUCCUCUCGUCUCGUGUCUCCUCUUGGUCGGCUUGGAGGUGCAACGGCGAUGGCGGCAGGGACGACGACUGCAACGGCGACGGCGGUAGGGACGGCGAUAGCCAUAUAAAAGCCCCUCGCCACCUCCCUGUCCGAGUCGUCCACCUCCAAUUCCUACUCCAGUCGCCGCCGCUUCCUCGCCCUCUUCCUCUCCUUCUCUCUCUCGAGCCAUCGAAGGUACCUCCUCUCUUUUGAGUUCACCUCUUCUCAUCCAUCGCUUCCUGCGAUCGUGGGUCGUCGUCCUCGAGGUUCCAGUUUUUGCUCUCGCAUCUCUAGCUCGAUGUGCCCGGCUUUGUUUGGUAGUUUUCGGUUUGCCUGUUUCGGUUUUGCUGAUGCUUGGACUUCGAAAGAUGUGAUUUUUUUUUUUUUGUGCGGAUUGACGUCCUUGUGGUUUGCAAAUGGUGUCGGAUCUCCGGUCAGUGGUGUUGGUGUCUCUGAUCUUGUAGUUGAAGGGACAAAAUUACACCGGGUCGGAUCUUAUUUUCGUAGGGAAGCAUGGCGUUGGCUGGAAUUGAGCUUGUUGAUGGACUAAAGGGUCCUUUCUUUUUCACGCUUUGAAGGAGAUCAGAUGGUCGGAGAGGAAAGAUGUGAAGUGUCUGCCCGUUUGUCUCCGAAGUUGGGAGGAAGCGAUUUGUGGGCUCAGGGGAAUUAUUUAGUUGUUUUGUAGUAGCAUCAGUUUGCUUCCUCUUUUUUGCCCAAAUGGAAGGAAGUAUUUCUCAUAGAUCAGUUCUGUUCACUUUAAUCCAAGUCUUUCGAAGCGAUGAUUGGUUGGGUGGAGUCUGGCGAACGGAAGGUAAGCCGUCCCGAAAAAAAUAAAAUAAUAAAUAAAUAAAUAAAAAUAAAAAAUCGAAAAAAAUCAAAAACCGAAACCCAAAAUUUGAAAACCGAAAAACCGAACCGAACCGAAUAGUUCGGUUCGGUUCGGUUCGGUUCGGUUCAGAAAUUUUCUCUAACGGUUCUGUUCGGUUCGGUUGUGCAUUUUUUAUAAUCUAUUUCCUUAGCUAGUUAAGAAUACAUUUCUUGGACUCAUGAAUGCUGCAUGAAUACUUUAUUUGGUGAUUGAACAAGAAAAAGUAUCGAAAAUGCAUUAGUUGGUUAAUUAGUGUAAUUAAGUUUUCAACUUUAGAUUAUCUGGUUCAAAGUAAGUAAUCCUCCCAGUACUUUACUUAGGAUCUAAUUGAUCCACCUUAAAUUGAUUAAUGUCGUAAUUUGCAUGUUAAAAACUCAAAAUAUAAAUUGCGAAUUAGUAUGAGCUUGAGAGAGUUUGAACUAGAUUUGAACUUAACAAUCCAUUAGCCAAAUUUUUAGUGGUCCACCUGAGGAUAGGUCGCAACAAUUUUGCUAUGACGAUAUCUCAGAUUUAGGUUAUUAUACAAUUUAUCGAUGGUGGAGUCCAAAUUCCAUUAUUCUUAGAAACUUCAUUAGCUCAUUCAGGGUUAUGGCUGUGGAGACCCAAUAAUGUGGAGGCCGAUGAAAUACCCUUCAAGCCUUACAAAUCGGUUAAGUUCAAAUCUUUGGACCUAGACCCAAUAUUAUUUGCACGCUGUUGGUGGUAUCAUAUAUGUUAAAUAUAAAUAAUGGAAAAAAAUUGUCCUAUUAAAGUGGUUACAAAACAAAAAUAUCAUAUACGUCGAGUUGGAAUUCUAAUUUAGAUAACCGGAAUAAUAAUAUCUUAGGAUUUUUUAGGACAAUAAUUGAAUUGUACGAUCGUGAAAAAUAAAAUAUUUGGCAGCAUAGUCUAUCCCAUUCAUUAAUAGGUGCUUGUAAAUUAGCAUAUCUAAGUCUCUAUUGAUGUUGACAAGUGUUUUACCCAUUUAACAUGGAAUUAUUCGAAAUAGAUUUGAUCGAAUUUGGAUUCGGAGCGUGAGGAUUUUGUACUUUGACUUGCUUUGGCCUAACAUGGCCUCUUUUUAUCUCUGUUCCAUGUUAUAAAUCUAGACACCAAUUGCAGAAAAAUCGCGGCACAUAAAACAAAAGUUUAGACUCAAACCAAAUACUAAUGGUUCCAUGGGUGAGGUCGUGCACGAGACUUAGGCAAAACGUCAUCUUCUAUGUAUGUUUAAUCAGGUUAAUGUCGAGUCAUGGAGGGUUAUUUUAAUAUUGUCAACCAAUGCAAUAAUAUUGGACCCGUGAGUUUAUGAGAGCUUUGAAAAUUCCAAGUUAACUUUAAAUGAUGAAUUCUAAGCAUGUAGUGUCGUCAUUUAGUGUCAACCCCUAAACUUCGAGCGUGCGAACAUCCCACAAUGGUCAAUUAAAAUGCAACUUCUCAAGACGUGUCGCCGACUUGCCCAUUCGGCAACAGCCUUAGGCUGAAGUUUGAGAGCUGUGCUGGGAUAUACAGAGGAAGAAAACCCUUCCAUUACUCUUCAGCUCAUACACCCAAUCACACUGACCAUCACCACCGUGCCAUCACCAAUCGCCCCUUUGCCACCACCCACGAAGACUCAUAUGAGUGAAUAGUCGAGAUUCCUUUUGUUCAAUAUGGAACUUUCAGAAGUUUGUUUAAUGAAACUUGACUGUCCCUUUGAAAUUAGUUGGUGAGAUUGAAUACACGAGAAUUCGCUGGUUGGGUUUUGUGAUGAUGAUUGCUGCUCUUCUAGUCCAAUCAUAGCCCGCACGUGUUAAGAGUAAUAAAUUACACCUUUAACAGUUUAAGCUUUUAAAACAGUUGAUAGUGGUUUUACAAAUUUUCUCGUUGUAUUAGAGCUAGAGGUCCUUCGUUCAAAUUUUCUAGGCCUUGUUUGCUUACCUAUUUAAAUUUCCAUGCUUAGAUAUUACGCAAAAAGAUCAGACUAAGACUAAGUGUCACCUCAAGACCUUUAGGAAGAUGUACAAGAGGAGUUGCGGAACAAAUAACUUCAUGGUCUAAUAUGCGGUUAUAAGAAAUGUCAUAUUGUCUAAUAGGACUAUGAUUAGAGGAUGGUACCAUCACUUUCCAUGAAGUGACGGAGCCCUCCUCACCACACAUCCUAAUGUGUAACAUUUUGGGGAUCAGAAUAUCAAAUUGACAAAUAUGUUGUCAAAAAUGUCAUUGCUGUAGAAUUGCCCUACUGUAAAAUUGACCAUACAAAUUUUGAGCUUGUAUGAUGUCAACUAAUAUUUUGUGAAAUUUUCAAUUCAUCGAAUUGAUGUAAUCCCCUUUGAUCACUCAAUUCCAAACUGAGUAUUAAAUGAUAACAAAUUAAAGACAAAUGAAAAACAGAGGCAAAGCAGAAGAUAGGAACUGGACAUAGAUAAAUAGUGGUGCUGGCAAUGGCAGCUGUAGGCGCCGUGCAUAUGGAGGACAACGAAAUGGUGGUGGGGCUGGGUUUAAAUGGAGGGAGGGCGAGGCUGUUGGGUGGCGAUGGAUGUUGCGAUGAGGAAGGAGAGGUGGUGACAACGGAGACGAUCCUACAACCGACUCUCGCCGAAGCCAACGCCUUUGUGUCUAAGUUAUCCUUCACCCUUGCUAUCGAAGCUUGCGGUCGCUCCCUAUCCAUCGUCCAAUCUCCUUCUUUGGUACAGACUUCAUUCUGGAAAUUCAUUAAGUGCCUUCAUUCUCGCUAGGGUUCAGUGGAAGAGAAACUUUUCUUUGAUCGGAGCAAUAACUUGAGAAAAUGUAUGGAGGAAUACAUAGCAUGGAGGAGACAAUAGCAUGUGGGAUAUAUGUGGCUUUACAACAAGGCCAUUUUUGGCAAUUGAUUUUGUCAAUUUGAUAUUCCUAUUCCCAAAAUCUCACACUUGAAAUGUAUGGUUGGGAGAGUUCCCUUACUUUGUAGGAAUUGACAAUACAAUUCUCUAAGCAUUUCUUUGUCUAAAAAUACCUAAGUAGAUACGUUUUAGUGUUGAUCGGUUCUUGUUGAUAAUUUUGUCGAUCAACUUCUCAAAUCUUUUUUUGCUAAUAAUUUUCAAGUUGUGUUGUCAAUGACUUUAUUGGCAAUUUAUCGAUCCCUUCAAAUCAUGGACUGUUUUGUUUUAUCAGUGAUUUCUAUUUUCAACAAACCCCACUCUUAUCUAUUAGAAUAAUAUAAAAAUGAUUGUUGAAGAUUUGAGUAAGUUGGUUAUUGACUCUAGAUUUGGUGUGAAGAGGAGAAGAAGAAGAUUGCGCACGGCUUCCAUGUAAGAUUGUCAGCCGAAUAAGAAAGUGAAAAGAAAAGGGACAACAUAAAUGAAGAGAGGGAGGAGUCGAAAGAAAAAUUGGCCAGUAAAAAUUGUGGGCUUCGUUUGUCCUCUUUCAUUCAUUGCAUGGAUCAAAUAAAGAGGAAAGAAGGGUCCAUGAAGGCCCAUUAAUGCAUGCGCAUGUAUGCAUGUCAUGAAAAAUGGAGGGGGCCGUUGCUAUUGCAGAGAUUUGUCUUGCAGGCACCGUUGCUAUUAUUUAAUGUCUGUGUGUUUUCCUUUUAGCUUUGUUGACUUUUGUAGUUUCACUUUAAUGUUAACAGAAGGAGUGUUGAAGAUUUCGUGUGCUAUGUUUAUCUCCAUCUCUAUUGUAAUUUAGUGUUAUGCUAUUAUGUAAGAUGUGUAAGGGGGUGUUGUAAAAGAGUAGCCACCACAAAGCAUUCUAAGAACAACUUCUCCCUUUGGUCUUCACUUGUGCCUUGCUCCGAAAUUUUCAAAGUUGCCAUUAAUUUUUUCUUUUUGGCUCCAACAUCAUUGACUAGUCUUGGUCAUCUUUUGGUGUCAACAAUAAUGAAAAUGUGUCAAUACAUCUUAACGGGAACUAAAUUAGUAAAACACAGAAAUUAUAUUAUGUUAGUUUGAUUUAUGUCAAUGUCAGUAGGGUAAGUAAUCUUUUGCUCUGUUGUGAUUAAUGAAGAAUGGUGACGGAAUUUUGUGAUCAAAUGCAUCGCUAUCUGCUCCCACCUCCCCAUUUAUUAUUAGAUUAGAUAAACACAUUUUACUCAACUUUCUUGAGGCGAAAGUGACUGAUGCUAAAACAUCACGUGGAGAGAGAGAGAGAGAGAGAGAUCCAAGACUAAAAGUCAGCUGCUACAGUGCUCGUAAAUAAACAUGCAGGGGUUACGAGCAAUCGCCAUACCCAUGUAGGAGACUGCAGAAAACGAAGCCAAGCUGACACAAACUGCUUUCUUUGUUCUUUCUCAUUGUAAAGCCACCAGUGUAUGUGUUUGCGUGAUCGAGUACCGAGUGUGUGCAGGCAAAUGUUCAUCAAACCAGCGAUAUAAAAUAAAAUGAUCAACAAAUCAAUCAUAAUAAAGUAAAUAUGUGAAAAUAUGUCUUCUUCUUCUUCUCCUCCUCUUUCUGAAGUAUGGCGCCUCAGAUGGAUUAGGUCUAUCCAGGCAUGUGCAGUUGAAUUGAUCAUGUUGGACGAGUCUAAGGAGUAAGUUCUUGCAGCCUCUUGAUCGCGCUUGGGUCACUCUGUGGGCUGAAGGUUAAAAAUAGCUAGGUUAUCGAUGCUUCUUUUACUUUUCCUAUCAUUACAUCUUCAAAUGGAAAUCAAACUUGGUAUACGCAAACAACCCAGUCAAGAUCCAAGAGAUUCAAAUGUACUUAUGAAGCCCUGCAUCAAAAUGACAAAAACCCUUGAAAAGGAAAGGCCAUGGAGUGGGAGAGAGGGAUCAAACCAGCGUUCAAUUGAAACACCCCACGGCCAACUCAUCUCAAUCUGUCACCAUCCGGGACCACAUAAGCAUGUCAUACCUCAGGCCCCCUCCCAUUCCUAUAUAAUUGGUAUCCAUCCUCAUAGGCCUUUCCCACUUGCACUACAUAUCCAUUAUAAUCCACACUGACCAGCACUCGCAGCUGUACUUGGCUGGGAGCUAGAAAACGAGACCACCGAGACAGAGAGAGAGAGAGAGAGACAUGAAAAUGAUGGAGGCGAGGAAGAAUGUGAUAAACAAUGACUUUGCAGAGAAAGAGAGCAACUGCAUCAACGGGCAAUCGUCCGCGUCCUACCUGGUGUGGGACGACUUGACGGUGUCGGUGCCCGCUGGUUCCAAGAGGAAACUGCUAAACCAGCUCAGCGGGUACGCUCAGAUGGGUCGGAUCUUGGCCGUCAUGGGUCCUUCCGGCUCCGGAAAAUCCACUUUCCUCGACUCAUUGGCAGGUUUCUCCGCUUCUCUCUGCCAACCUCCUCAUUUCGGAACAUUUUCUGGAAAUAAUAUAUCCAUUUACUUGGCCUUGUUGUAUUGCAUUUUUAUUUGAGUUAUUAAAAAGUCCACCGCCGGUGAAAUCCGAAUUCCACCUUCGAAGCUCUACGUACGAAACUCCUAGUGAUACCGAUACGGUUACCGAAAGAUCGAGACAACAAGCAUUGCCCAUAUAUGGAAAAUAUAGCAACUUAAUAUAGUCACCAAAAUCAUUAAAAGCAUCGAAAAAAUUGCAAGAGGCUACGAUGAUUACCCCUUUCCAUAGCCAGAUCUAGUAGUGUAGAAACGAAAGUGCAGCAAACUGUUUAUUCUCAUAUGAAUUGGGUCUCCCAUGUAUAUUGAUGCUAUUCUCUUUCGAUAUCUAUUAUGUAUAGUUAAACUCACUUUAUUUAAAGAUUAGAAAUAGAAUUACAUAAAAAAAAUAAAAAAAGAUACGGCUUAUAGAAGUAAAAUAGUGAUGAUAUAAUUAUUUUUGUAACUAAUAAAUUCACUUGAUAAAAAUUCUAAUGGCAUAAUCAAAUUCUUACAAAAAAAAGCUGAAUAGUAUUUAAGUGUAACUCUUCAUAGUUAUAUCAUUUCAUUUGGCUUGAUAUCAAAAUCCUUUGAGGCACAAACAUGCUCUACAACGAUUUUGUCUCUCAUUUAUAUUGAUGUUAUUUUUUUUUCUUUCUUGAAUUAUAAUAUGUAGUUGAAAUCAUGUCAUUAGAAGAAGAGAAUAAAAUUAGCUAACGAAAAAAAUUAAGAAGAUACAACUCUUAAAUUUCCAGUAACUAUAUCAAUAUCACUUGGGAGUUUCCAUAUAUGGUGCACUGAAAGUGGGAUUCGGAUUCCACUAGCGGAGGACCAUAGAAUAACUCUAUCUUGUUCACCAUGGUUUUAAAAGAAAAAGGAAACUCUUGAUUUGAUCAAUAAAACCGCAUUAAUUAUAUCAUGUGAUGAUAACAUAGCGUAUUUUUGUUACACCCAUGCAAGCUUGAGGGUUUUGGUGACAAAAAAGGGUUUUUGAGUAUUGAUAUAAAUUAGGGAUGAGCGGUUCCAGAUUUCUUACAAGUUUCACUUGGAACCUGGAACCUACCCUCGAGUACAAGUUCCUCAUUUUUUGGAAUCUAGAACCUACCUGUUACAACCUACCUGUUACAGGUUCGGGUCGGUUCCAAGGUCCAACAAGUUCUUUUAUUCUUUUCUAUUUAAUUUUUAGUUUUAAAAAAACGAAAAUGAAUGCAAUAAUAAUAAACAAGCUUGUCUUUCAUCAAAGAGAAUACAAAACGAACAAAACUAUCAACAGAGGAAAGGAAUUCUUGGCAAGGAAUUCGACUAAAUAAAAUAGAGGAAAUUAGUUCACGGAACAUCCUAAAUAAUAAAGCUGUCAGUCAAUAACCGACACAAAAUAGAUGAAGAAAUACACUUUCAGAUACACAUUCAGCAUUGCAGAAUGAGUCAAGGGGUAUGGUUACUUCACACUAGAGUGUCACUAACAAUGUAAACAAAUGCCAAACAGAGAGAUAAAGUAAUUCCAAUUCCAACGGAGUUCUUACAUGAUGAAUGUUGAUAGCAUUCAAGAACUUUUCAAAUGCCUAAAUCCAUUCAUGAUGGUUCCAAACAAGUGGAAUAUCAACAAAAAUCACCCAAUAACCCCGAAAGUUUUUAAAAUAGGCCAAUUAUGGAAAACCCAUGCUCUAUAUCCUUGGAACAACAUUAACAACACCAAAGAAGUUUGUUGUGCAGUGACCAGUAAGUGGUCAAAGUGUAAGAUGAUAAAAUUGGAUAGCAAAUAACUAGAAAUUCCUAAUCAUUACUCAUAUUGCUGUUGCUGAAAAAUCUUUAUGAUACUGAAUUAACUACCUUCAUCACCAAACACAUGACCUACUUGUAAUAGACAUCAACCAUUCCUGCUGUGCCAGGAAGACAAACAAGCAGUGGCACCACUUUUUGACCAAAAUCGUAAUAUCUCCAUUGCUUUAUGCUAAUCUGGCAAAAAGAAAAAGACGUCAGUUCGGUAGCUAUGAAACAACGUAAUGCAUGGAAUUUUGCUAGAGCAAGCUGAGAAGUUGGGGCUCAAGGGUGGUCUAAGCAUGGGAACUUUAGCUUAGAGUACGAGGACAGCUAAGGUUCUUAUGAGGACUACAAUAGACAACAGAUAAGCUACAUGAAAAUUGACCAAAAGAGCAAAGUAGUACUCUUGACGAUUUGAAUUCGUGAAUGUCACAUGAAGCUACUUGAAGCAUCAAGUUUCAACAAACUGUCAAAACAAAAAGUUGUCAAACUAUCGAAUGUCCAUUAAUUUGUAAAAUUGGAAAUGUGUAAGAUGUCAAAUACUCUAUGGAACUUUAGGAAGGACAUGACAUGCUAUUGCAUAUCAUGGAAGCAAGCAUAUGUCGAAACCAUUGUAAGCUAUCGAACAUCCAGCAUUAGUCACUUGAUAUCUUUGCUGAACUUGAACCCAGAUAUGAUGUUAUAUGGUAUGUAUAUCAUUACCCUCAUUUUUCCAUUUGACAACUAUGAUUUAGUACAAAGUCACAUGGUAAGAAUAACUAAACUCUACAUCAUAUCAUUAUUGCAGAGAGGUCACUGCCAACACAAGAACGAUUCACAACCAGAGCUUUAUAGUCCAGUUGCAACAGCAUUAGAUCAGAACCUGACAUAAUCAAACAGAACACAAAAAAGGGGUUGAUUUGAGCAACCAAGUGGUCAGCAUCAAAUGGUUGAUUUGUGAACUUUCGAGAACAAAAAGAACAUAAUGUAGAGACAGAACAAUUCUUGCCAGAUUUAACCAUCUCACUGAAUUCAUUACUAUGUGAACACGCUCGGUUCUUGGGCGUAAUUUUUACUGCAAAGAAGAAACUUUGGAACUCAACCAGACUGAUCGAGCAAGAAGCAAAAAUGAACAGAAGAAUUUCCAUGUCACAAUUAGUAAACUAAACACAGCAAAACAAGAAUUGACCAAACUGAAAGGAAAAAAUGGAACCCAAAUGCCAACAUCCAGGCGCACGCACAAACAACACGAAACUAAUCCCACAAACAAACGCAGCAAUUCCAAGCUCAUGGGUUCACGGAACAUCCUAAACAUGACAUUGUCCUGUUUUAUAAUCAAGAGAUUGCCAAUCCUUUUGGCUAAGUGUAAAUGAAAAAAUGGCUAGCUUGUACACUCACAUAUAAAGAAAAUCAAGGAAUCUUGAAGUGGCAACCCAAGACAGUCCACAGAAACAAGAUAUGACCUACCAAAUCGAUGCUCAGAGAACGGAAACAACAUUCCAGAAAGCACACGCAUAAAAAAUGUUUAGGCUAGAGGAUCUACCCAAUAUUUUCGAUCCUUCCAACUAAAGAGCUACUCAACGGCAACUGAAGCGCCUCCUUCACGCCAUACUUCCUUUUAGCUUCCGUCUGUCGUCGAUGGUAAACAUUACAAGGCUCGCCUACCACUCUAUCACCAUAUCCUAGUAAAAUAACAAAAAGGUCGUCGAAGAACUAGCAAUUACAAGAAGUAAUGUUCAUUAAGGCAGGAAUUUGGAAUCUACUCACAUUCGGCUAGCAAUAAAUUGGACUAGAUCUCGCAGCUGAGCUGAGUCGCAACCACUUGCGGUGAGUCGGUGACAGCAAACAGAACCGACGUUCGGUGAGCUUGGGGUUUAGUUCUGGGUUGAAGCAACGUUCGGCGACCUCAAGCAACGUUGGGCACGACGCGGGCAAUGCUGGAUUCGGCAAGGAUCGGCAACAAGGACGUCGAGGCGGUAGUUGCUUCUGUCCUAGUUGCGGCGCGAAUAGCAGCAACUCGUCAUCGGGAGGCCGAGAUGCGGCGGCUCAUCGUUGAAGUCUGAACAGACGUGGCGUCGUCGAUGGCCAAACAGCGACGGUGGAGCAACAGCAGCGUCGGGUGGCGGCCCGGCAACAGCUUGUCGUUGGGAAGCCGGCAGCGCAACGGCGAGAGCCGGCGGCGUCGUCAAACGGAGCAGCAAUGGUGUCGACGGCAACAUCGUGGAUCAUGAUGGCGGCAUCGAGGGCGGCGAGCAGCGUCGGAUCAUCGUCGGGAACGUGGAGUGUUGCAAAGAGGAAAUGGAAAGAAAUGGAAAAGUGAAGAAUGAACAUUGAAGAAAAGGUUAGGGUUUUGGAGAGGGGGAAUCUCGGUUCCGGUUCCAACUCGACUGAGAACUGGAACCUAUUUCCUCAUGACCUCGGGUUCGGUUCCCCGGUUUCCGGUUCUACGCGGGAACCGUGCUCACCCUAGAUAUAAUAGUGGUCAUAAUUUAGGAUUUUAAGGUUGGAUUUUUUUUUUUUUUUCAUGAUCUAAUCCUCUUAAAAAUCACAGCUCCCCUAAAAAAAUCUUCUCUCCUAAAAAAAUCUUCAACUUUAGAUUUACAUCCUAAUUUUUCUUCGAACUUAAAAAAUUUCUAACUUUCACUUUAGCCUCAAAUCAGUUUCACAUCCCAAAAUCGCCACUAAUUUUUUCUUUAUGUCAUCAGUAUUGGGAGGUUCUUGUCAUUCCAUAUGAAGGUGAGGGUGUUUAAGAAGAUGUGAGUUUUGAUUGUAAACCUCUAACUAGCUCUGGUAUUGAAAAUUUCAAAGAAAAUAAUUACUUUUUUUGAACGCAGGGGCAAAUUUGGAACUAUAGUGAAAUUUUGUGAUUUUUUUUCAUAUAAAAGAAGUUUGGGCCAUAAUAAUUCAGGUUUUUCUAGAGAACUAACCUCGAAGUUUUGUCAUGUUCUUAUUAUGGCCCAAUUUUUUUUUUUUUUAUUUCAUAAGAAAACCACAUAUCAAUGUUACACAAAUCCAGUAGUUUUCAUCCAAUGAUGUUGUCCAAGAUUCGACCUGCCAAUUCAUGUGUACUUGGCAAAAUCUUAAUGAGGGUCAGAUGUGGGUGCCAAAUGAAAUUGGUAUUUUAUUAUGGGAUGGAAAAAAUUUGGACUAAAAUUAGGCCACAAUUUGAAGUUAAUGUCUUUUUAUGAGACAAAAUUUAUGGAUCAGGGCUUUAAUCCAAAGCCAACAUUUUUCUAUGAGAGAAAUAAUUGAGUCAACAUUGAGAUUCAAGGUAAAGUUGAUGCAUCUUGAAAUGAAUCACGCUUUAUGAAAGAACCUUUACGGAUUAUGGCCCAGAGACUUUCCCGAAUUCGGGGUCGACCCGUCCACUUCGUCCCGAGGCUUGACAAGACAACUUCAAUUUAAAGGGAUUAUUUGGUUGCUUCUAGUUGAUAUGGGACAAGAAUAGUGUAGGUAGAGAGAGUUAAUUAUGACUUAUGCAUUCCAUAUUUUAGGUGCAUAAUUACAUUUACUACAUAAGUACGUAUACACCAAGAAAUACAUGUUUAAACCACUUAGGAGCCACUUUAGUUGACUACUUACUAUGUUUUGCUUUUCAGCAGGUCGGAUUUCUUCUGACGUCAGCAAAGAGGGAAAUAUUUCCCUAAGCGGGAGGAAGAAGGGGUUCCUAAACCACAAUGAUCUGAUAAGUAUAUCAAGUCCUUAGGCAUAAAGUUAUCUUUUGCUGUAAAUUAUUUGUUGGGGGCAGAUUUAAUAUGACAAAGUAAAAUAGAUUAUGAGACGAGUAUCUUGACUCUUGCAGAAGAUAACUCUCUUUAUUUUCAAGAUUACUAUCAUUAAAAAUUUCGAAGUGGCAUUUCAUGACAUAUCUAUCCCAAAAGAGUUUUUGUUUCCCACAAAAUCUCAACUAUUCAUUCGAUUAACUAAAAGAAAACUUUAGUCUAGUAAUUCUUAGAUCAUCAUUGGAAAAACAAGAUUGCUUCCAUCAGCUCAAUCCUGGCAAUAGUUUCGGUUUAGCAUACUAAUACUGUGACCAGUGACCUCUAAAAUGGCGCAUCACUAGGCCACUCUUCUGUCAAUUUUGUUUCAUGAAGCAUUCUUUUAGCCUUCAAAAGAUUAAAUCAUAUUUUCAACUUCCUCUAAUUCAAUCCGGCGGUUUAUGUGUAUGACUAGACGAUAUUCUUAUAAUCAAAAUUUGGCCGAAAAAAAGAGAGAGUCACAAUUUGGCUGGUUUGGCCAUGUUUCUCCUUUCUGAAAUUUGAGCUUGUAACUGACAAAUAAAUUUCUAUCUAAUGAUUGAUGUUUCAACCGGGGUCCCAUGCUUGCAUUUAGAUGUGAGCAUAAUUUUAGGAUUGAGUUGGGAGUUAGAGAACUGGACCAAUCACCAAUUCAGUUCUAGGUUCCAAUGCGCCCUAGUCCGGUUCCAUUUUUUUAGGAACCGAUGGUUCUCGAGGGAACUGGGAACUGAGAAUCAAACCGAUAAUUGGGGAAUCGAGAAAAUCCUGAAGAGAGGCUUUUUACUUUUUCUAAUAAGAACUUAGAUGUGCUUAUAGAGGGGUUUAUACUAAUUUUAUUUGCAAUCAAUAACGAUCAAUGUGCGUGAGGUCGUUAGCAGUUGAAAUAAGGGUUACUCCUAGGAAGAGUUAUAAUUCUCUACUAAUAGUCACUUAUAAAGUUCUAAUAAAGGAAUUAGACCGAGACUUAACAUAAAAGGUUUUCAAAUAUUAGUAGCUAGAUAAAGCGGCAAUAAUGUCAAAUAUCGCACUAAUUUUUCAAGACCAUUAGAUCUAUUCUAGUUUCAUUUCCUGAAAACAGAAUAUAACAUUUGUGUCUUGUUGUAAUUCAUAUCAUUCUAUGUUGUUCAUAGACUGAAUAAAUUACCCUACGUAGCAUUAUCUAGUGGGAAUAUGCAAUGGCGAGUAUCAUACUAUCACAAAAUUUCACAUGGCAUUCAAUAUAUUCAAGGUACUUUUGUUGUACCCAUUAAAACAAAAUUGGAAUCCAUGGACCUUUUGCUCUAUAAGACCGUAAAUAUGGUGAUUAGUUUGGUCAUGAUCUUCAUUGGAUAUUGGCCAAAUCUUAUGUUAUCACAUGUUAACAUGUAUGUCGAUAAUCUAGAUUUUAAUUUCUUGAUUGGUUUAAUUAUAACACCUUCUACUUAUAUUCUAUUAUUGAUGUGUCUGUGCGAAAUUGACGUAUAUAGCAUGUCAAUGGAGGUGGAAGAAUGAGAGGCAAUGACUUUCAUUAUGUGUGAGGGAUGUCGAUGAUUGAUGACUAAAAUUCAAUAACUUAAGUUUCAUGUAAUGUGUUAUGAACUUUUUAUUAUUUAUUUUAUUUUAUACAUUCAUCUUUUAUAGAUUAUUUCUAUUGACAAAUGAAAAACUUUCAUUUUUGUUUUUGCAUUCACUAUCAUUUUGCUUCACUAAAACUGCCCAAAAAAAAAAAAAAAAAGAACAUGUUAGACCACAAAACCGACCUUAGAAUCUAUGACAAGAUAGGUAUAGGUUCCAGGGUAUACAGGAUAAGUUUUAUGUUUUAGAAAAUGGGGAACAUAUUUUAAUGGAUAGGUUCCAGAUUUAAAGUGGAAUCGGAACUGCUCAUCCCUACUUAAAUCUUCUCAUUUUGGGCAUUUUUUCAGUCCUAUGUGACCCAAGAAAAUCUUUUCUUGGGUACUCUCACUGUCAAAGAGACCAUAGCCUACACAGCUCAUCUGAGGCUUUCUUCUGAAAUGACGAAAGCCGAGAUCGACGAGGUGGUAGAAGCAAACAUAAAGGAGAUGGGACUUGGAGACUGCGCAGAGAACAAGAUUGGUAACUGGCACUUGAGGGGCAUAAGCAGUGGAGAAAAGAAAAGACUCAGCAUCAGUCUUGAAAUGGUGACAGACCCACUGAUCUUGCUCCUUGAUGAGCCUACCACAGGCUUAGACAGUGCCUCGGCUUUUUUCGUGGCAAGAGCUUUAAGAAAUAUUGCAGAUGAAGAAAGAAUAGUUAUUUGCUCAAUCCACCAGCCCAGCAGUGAAGUUUUCGAUCUUUUUUAUGAUUUACUCCUUCUGUCGAGUGGAGAAACUGUGUUUCUAGGAGAAGCCAAAAUGGCCAUUGAGGUAAUAAAGAGUCAACACUUCAUUCUUAUUCAGACAUUUAGGCUGUGCAGAAGCAAGAUAAUGUAAUUUUAAGUCCUGGUGCAGUUCUUUGCAGAUGCUGGAUUUGCUUGUCCGAGGAGUAGAAAUCCCGCUAAUCACUUUCUGCGGUGCAUUAGCUUGGACUUCGAUUCUGUAACUGCUACUAUUGCUUUCUCGUAGAAACUAUGUUGAGUUUUAAAUCGAGCACUUCUAUACUCUGCAUCAGUUCUUGUGAUAUGUAAAGUGACUUCCGAAUAUAAUUAUCAGGGCUUGCUAUUUUAUCUUGCAGCAAACUCCAGCAUCAUCUGGUUUUUCAAUGAACAUGAAAACAGCAGAGAUUAAAGCCACACUCAUCCAAAGUUACAAAUCCUCAAAGUAUUCAUGCAAAGUUAGGAAAAAAAUGCAAGGAAUUUCAGCUACUGUAAGCACUCCAACUCAGAAGAAAUAAAAAUCAAGAUAAUGCUUAUGCAGUCAUUUUUCUUGUCUUUACCGCUUACCAUAGUUAAUGAACAAUGUCUCCAACUGUGAUUUUUGAAACUAAUGGAGUUAUAUCCAUAUUGAAGUAGCAUUUUCCAGGACUGAUGUUUUCAAAACUGAGUCUCUUCUGUUGAAUGCUGAAGGAUUAUCAGGUCUGCCGGUUGAAUAAGAAUACUAAUUCCAGCAAGUGGAAGCAGCUCAGCGUUUUGACUCGUCGGUCCUUCAUCAACAUGUAUAGGGACAUUGGAUACUCCUGGUUGAGGAUCAUGCUCUACAUUUUAUCAUCAAUAAGUGCUGGAUCUCUAUAUUUUGACAUCGGAUACGACAAUGGGGCAAUUAUCAACAGAGGAAAGUUUGUUUCAUUCCUCUUCGGCCUCAUGGUAUGUUUGUCUUGUGGUGGUGUCCCUUUCUUCAAUGAAGAACUGAAGGUAUAGCAAAGCGUCGAGGCUGAUCGAUUUUCAUCUAUUAUAUAUCAGCAGUAUCUUCAUACUUGAGGUGAUAUUAGAAUGAUUUGUCACUAGGACUAGAAUUAAGUUUCCUCUUCAGGACAGACAAGCUCCACCAUGAUAGGUGUGAAGUUACAAGUUGAAGCCUAAGACGCUGUAAAUAACACAAAUCUAACUAGAGGACUUUUAGUUGAUGGCCUACUCCGACUCAUAGUCACAGAGGAAUGUGAGUAUUGCACAAUCAGUUGGAGAGAUUAAAGCUAAAUCAACUAAGUUUUUUCAAGGGAUGCUUAAGAUUAUUCAUAUGGGAUCGAUCUCAUCAUCAAAGCAAGAAUAUACAUUAAUUACCUAAAAAAGGAGAAAUCUCGGCAGCAUAUGACAUCCUUUUCUUAUCUAUCUCAGGUAUUUUAUGCCGAGAGAUUCAAUGGGCAUUAUGGCGAGAUCCUAUUUGUGCUUGCAAAUUUCCUUUCUUCACUCCCUUUCUCGGUGGCGAAUUCUCUGCUUUCAGGAACGACGAUAUUCUACAUGGUGAAGCUUCAUCCAGGAUUCUCUCAUUAUGGUUAUUUCUGCAUUAACUUCUUCUGCUGCACCACCAUUAUUGACAGUUGCAUGAUGGUUGUGAACUCAUGUGUCCCCAACGCCUCGAUGGCUGUAGUAACGUAAGCAAAUUUUCUCUCUUAAACAUCCCUUCUUGUAAUCCUUAUAGAUUACGUUGUCGUUCAUAGCUAAUUUUUGUGGAUUCAGGUUCUAAUGAUGAUGGCAUCACAGAUCUUUAGACUUCUCGCUGAUCUUCCCAAGUUCUUUUGGCGGUACCCUAUGUCCUACAUCAGUUUUGCCAAGUGGGCAGUUGAGGUAGUUAGUAUACAGCUUUUUUGAAAUCAAGCUUGAAAAUUUAUCAACAUAUUUAUGCAUAGAGCCAUGACAUGGAAGAUAUUCAUCUUCAGUUUCAAUAAUAUCGUCUGAUUAGUAAAACUCCACCAGGAGCAUGCGCUACUACUUGCAUUGCAUAUUUAAACUCAUUGAAGUAAAAAUUCUCAUCUUCCGCCUGAGGUACAUUUAUGAGAAGGAAAUGUCAAAACAACAGAAAUUAAGUAAGAUGCCUUCUAUUUUGAUGUGAAGAAAUGGGUUGAAUGGUCGACAGUUCCGCCACUCCCUUCUUCCUUUUCGGAUUGUUGACCCGCUCUUCCAUAUGCUAGAGGUUAUGUUAACCAAUGUAAUAAUGUAAUACUAUGAAGAUUCUGUUAUCAGUCUCUUUCAUAGAUUGAUCAGAACACUACAAGGCUUCACCACAUGUUUCACUCCGUCUCUUUACUCAAACUAACGCUUCAAAUGAACAGGCUUCUCAAGAACAGUUCUGCGACUAGCUAUGGCAGUCAACAAUACAAGCAUAUGAUUUGGAUCAGUGACUUUGAGUUCUCCCAAAUAUCUCAUGAAUUACAAGUCACUCAUACAAAUCAUUCACACACCUUGCAGGGUCAAUACAAGAAUGUCAUGACCGGUCUUGAGUUUGAUUCAGCAGAGCCAGGAGAACCAAAACUGGAAGGCGAGAUGAUCCUCAAAACAACUUUCAGCAUAUCACUGGAUCAUCCCAAGUGGUGGGAUGUAGCUGUGCUUCUGUUUCAACUGUUUGUUUACAAAGUACUACUCUUGUUAGUGCUUAGGUACAAGAAGAGAAUAGCACCUCAAUUACAGUCGUCGUCACAAGUGUUACUCAAGAAGGUGUCUUGACAGAUGAUUUCGGUGCCAAAUAGCAGCAAGCAUCCAUUAUAUUUCCAGAACAUACUUACUUUAUCGGCAACUAAUGCACCAUGGUUAUGUAAAUGAUGCAUAUGUCUCUAGUUGUCGCAAGUUCUAAAUGCAAUUCACCUUUUCACUUCAAUGUUAUGACUAAUUUGAUAUUGGUAUACGCAACGUGACAAAAUUUACACCUAAUUCUCGGCCUGAGGUCCACCCCUUCAUCUUUGUAAUUAAUGUAGAUUAUAAACCUCUUACAAAGCACAAAAUUUGGAGAUACGGCAUUGGACAGACGGCCCGUUUAGUGCCUCUCUCUCUCUCUCUCUCUCUCUCUCUCUGUGCUACAAGCUACUGCAAGAUUCGAUGUAGUGGUUAAUAAAGUACAUUGAUUACAAGCAAAACAUAUGUCACGCAAUGAGUUACAACUUAUAUUGAAAAUAAAGAUUAAGCAAUUCAAGGGUUGUACAAGAGUCAGAUAUAGCUUGCACUCAUUUACAAAAAGAUUAAAAAAAAAGAAAAAAAGAAAAGAGAAAGUGGGAGGUAAAGUGUACACUGUCUUUGAACAGCCUCUGUGUCCCCUUAUGGCGCACCAAACAAAAUCAUACCCAUGACCUCCAAAUCUAAUCCAUGGCUGUGAAGCAGACCCAGGUGGAAUAUUCAGAUCUCUCUUUUCCCCCAAAACCGAAGGGCCAAAUAUGUAAAAGCCAAGAAAGUGUACUUGUCCUCGAAUGCCCAACUUUUGAGGCGCCCAGGAUAAACAAAAUCAUCAUAACUUUAAGAUGCUUUGCAAGAAAAACCGGUAUCCUCAUCCUUCCUACUUAUUUCUUCUGUUUUUUCCGCACAGCAUUAUGGCCAUUGCGCGCUCUGGAUGCUUUAUGAUUUCUCAUUGAGGCUUCCAUGCUCAUGCUACCUUUUAGUUCCAUCUUUCUCUUUUCCCCACUUUUAAGUUUGUGAAAGGUCCUCUUCCUUUUCUUUCCAGAUUCGUUGGAUUGAAUCUUAGAAAAUUUCCCUGCAGCCAAAUCACCAUCCUUUUCAGAACCUUCUAAUCUGCCAUCAGCAGUAAGAGUAAGUUUCAUAUUCUCCUGAGUGGGGGGAGCCAUCUUUGUUCUUCAAUCUCCUUUUGUAUCCUCAUCCCUGGACAUCUUUCUGAUUUGCGGAAGCUUCCUUGUUCUCUAUCCCGCCUUCAUUUGAGGUUUUGUUUCACAGAUUCUAAAAGGUCAAACAUGCGAUCAUUUUACAAAACAAUAUUACGACCUCCAGAAAUCAUGCACUGCUAAAUAAUAUUUCUGUAGGAUACACAUCCAAGCGUUGUUGAAUUCAUUACCUCCAUAAUUGUCUUAAGAAAACCCUUGUACUUUUCUGGGGUAACAAGCUGAACAGCAGCAAAACCACACUUCCUAGUCAUUAUCUCAAGAAUGACUGUGACCUGCAUAUACAGUGAUAAUGGACAUUCAUUACCAGAUAGCAAAAAAGAGGCCCUUGGAAGGAUGUGUGCAUGGAAUUAUCACAAAAAAACUCAGCAAACUCCCAGUAAAUUUCACAUGCCUUUGAUCUGAAGUGAUGCCUGGAGACAGAUGACCAUGAAAUAACACCAUCAACAAUGUCUGAAAGUAAACUCUGAAGGUCUUCAUUUCGUAAGCAAGACACUACUACUUUCACAAAACCUAGAACAGCCUGCAAAAUGUGCAUGAAGUAACUCUCAAGCCAUGCCAAUUGGGGCAAGAAUCUACUUUGGUAAUGGUAUACUCAUUUUUAUCACUUCCACCGCUUUGCUUUGUAGCAGAGAAAGAACAGAAGGAAUAAGAUCAGGAAUUGAUAGACAGAUAUCUGUAUCCUUGUAAACUAGUACGGACAAUGCAGAAACAGCUCCACUUGUAAUUUGAGGUGAUGAACCAGAAAGAUAGUCCACUAUCUGAAAGCACGUUAUUUAGAAUCAAAACACUAUUACUUGAAUAAAAUUACAAUCCCGAGAAUUGCAAUUGUCCAGUAAUACAUCCAGUAAUACAUCACUGUUAAGAACUACAAGCAGAAAGGAAAAUUGCAGAUUAGGUUAGACAAUUUCUACAUAAGUAUGCUCUCCCGAUCAUCCGACAGAAAGUCCUGUAAGCAAAUAAAAUUCCCCGAUGGUCACAAGACACUUAAAGUGUUCAUCUGUGCAGUGCAUAUAAAACUUCUUUGGGCAACCAUUUACACGAGGAACCCAAGCUUUAAUAAUAACACAUAAGAAAGGGACUCCACUACCCCUUGAUUAACCAAUUUGGCUUCUUAAAAUUUCUCAAUUUUUCAUCGGAUGAAACAAAUGCAAAAUUUCGACUGAAUAGGCUUAGGGGCCACAAGGCAUCCACAAGAUACAGACCACAUGAUUUUAAAUUUUGCCACUUGUAUUUUGGUUCUUCGUUUUUCUACUGGUUAGAGGGCAUUAAUCAUCUUCUCCUCUGGCUGCAACUGCAAAGCCUAAUCCCUUGGCAGAAGCAGCUAGACAUGAAUAAAUGAAGGAAUAUGCCGUGACUCAACCAUACUGCAGCCACGAAAUUAGCUUUAUUCUUUUAGAAGAGAAAUAUGUUUUAAGGCCUCUGAAUCAAUUCGUAGCCAUACCAGGCUUACAAUCUUCAAAUACAAUGCACAUACUUAUAAAGAUUUUAACCAAUACCAGGAAGCAGUAUACACAAGACCAUGAGGACUUCAGUCCACUGUUUCCCAAUUUUGCAGGAACAACAACAUGGCAAAAGAAGAGGAAUUUAAAUAAACUACAUUCUCCUUCAACUUUUCCCCCAUCUAUGGAUGUUACGUGAGGCAGAGCAGAAACCAAUUAUUUACAACUCAAAAGCCCCUCCAGAUGACAACUUACAUAGGAUCUACCAUUGUAAAAUACGUACAUCAGACAAGAUAGAAGGAUCUACUUCAACCUCUUCCAUUGUUGUUACUUUCAACUGCCUAUGCCUCAUGUACCCAUUCUUUUAAAGUUCUAUUUUUGUUUUCCUUGCAUGUUCCUGAUGUUCUAGGAUGUAUGUAGUAUCAAACAUGUCUUAAAAUAUAAGCAGUAAUUUCCACCAAAGCUACCCAAAUAUGUCCCAUAAUGAGGAAUACCGUACCAUGUUAAUCAGUUUCUGACAAGGUUCAACUGAACUAACAGGUGAAAUGCUUCUCAAGCUGGAACUUAUGUUGAUGAGAACAUCAUAAGCUUCCUUCCUAGAUUCCUCCAUAGCCUGCAAAUUUCAUAUCACAACAGUGAUUAGUGCUGAAAGUAGAUCAUCACCCCCACACUGUAAAGGAGGUUCUUACAUCCUUUAAGACAAGUAUAAUCUCAUUGAGGAUGAAAAAAGCUUUUGAAUCUUCUUUCUCCUCCUCCUCCUCCUGCUGCUGCUGCUCCUCCACAGAACAGCAUAUGACAUCAACAAUAGAGGUGCUUAUAUUACUUAAUUUUGAGCUACAAUUGCAAAUACACCAUAACCAAAAGCUUAAGAAUCCGUUCACAAGUACAUAUAUGAUUCCUUCCAUGUUGAGACACGACCCAAAAGAAAAAAGAAGUUUUUGGCCUUAAAAGCGGAAAAGCCAUUCAUGACAUUCAAUAUUAUUUUAACGAAUUAAGGGAAGAUGGGUGAAUGAUGAUAGUAGGAUCAGGUUAUUAGAAAUUUAAAAAAUUGUGAGAUUGGCGAAAACUGAUCUGUUAGGUUCUUUAAGCAAAAUACCACUUACAUAAUCAGUUUCAAUUUUUUUAAUUUCCACAAAGUUCAAUAAAAACAAAAGGGUGAUGAAAUACUCCAUGCUUAGCUCUGUACAAGAACCUGUUAGCCAUCCAUACAUUUAGGAGUUUGGAAAAGUAAAAAAAGUUUAAGAGUCUUCAUAUUCACAAAUACAGGCACAUUAUACAGACGUUACACCUGCUGUGAGGGUGCAAUUCGAAUCUCCUCUAGGAAGGGAAAGGCCUGCUCUUAGAUCAAGUCUUAAUGUCAAAUUUCCAAAGGCAAACUUUAACUGAAGGAGAUCCAUGAAACAUUUUAAGAAAUUCCUUCAAGAUGGAGGGAAUUGCCCAAGUAGGAGGCCAUGCGAAUAUAUUGUGGGGCCAGAACAAAAAAUGAAAUAGUAUUUAAUUUAAGGAUUGUGAUAUAGCUGCUCACCUGCAGCAUACAAUCUAGGCAACAGAAAUAGAACAAACGCCAAACUCAAAGAACUGCUAAAAUAACUGUUCUAGCACAUCAAGAAUAUAAAACCAUGAAACACGAGGAGAAAUUUAUUAUGAAGAACAAAUACAAUUUCUUCUUGAAUAAAUGUUGUAUACUUUGCUUUUCAGUGGGACUAAUGUUGAGCUGUUUUCACAACACAGGAUUAAGACAUUUCUUAAAGGCUCAUUGCACUCUUAUUCCAAGACAACCAGCCCAGGACAUAGCUCAUAUUCAGUUUACGAGAAGAACAAGAAAUGGCUUCUAUUUACGUCAAAACGUGAUAUAUACACUAAAAAUGAAGGACAUAAAAUUCUGCAUUUUUUUCACAAGAAUAGUAGACACCAAACAUACAAAAGAAAACAAGUACUGCAUUGCCACAAGAAACAUUCUGACCUUUAAUGCAUGAACUAUCAGAACAUGGAAAAAGGCAAAGCGGCUUCUCAGAGUUGCAAUAUCAGAUGGAGUCCUUAGGUCAAUUAGUAAAUCAAUCAACUGCAAAUAUUUAGAUGAACAAAACCAGGGAUGCACCUGCAUAAUAGAAAUGACAGAAAAACAAUCACUUCCAGUAAGAAUAUAUCUUGAAUGGAGAUAGCACACAAACAUACAUCCAAAAUUUUGCUCAAAGCAUUAUAGGCUUCAGCAUGGCCAUUGUCAUUGCUUUCCUUGUGGAAGAAAAUUCAUGAAUGAUUUAGGCUAUAGAAAUCACUAAACUCAUCCAUUAAAUCAAGAAAACAAAGCUACUAUUCUUAAAGUCAAUGCACACCUGAAAAGUGUCUUUAACAAAGCUAAACACCAAAUCAAUGAGAUCCUUCUGUGCUCCUUCAAUAAGAAAUAAGGAUAUCUCCAGUAACAAGCACCUGGGUGAAACUGCAUUCUCUUAGUACUAUAACAGGAGUGCAUUCAUCACUCUGUAUGAAGGGGUGUGAGGGUGUUCUUUCUUUUCUUCAUAUGAAGGGGUGUGAGGGUGUUCUUUCUUUUCUUCAUACUUUUUUUUUUUUCCGGGGGGGACCUUGCAUAGAACAUGACAGGAGUGGAUUUAUUAUUGGAUGCAUCCUCAUGAUGUUACUGUACUUGCAUAGAACAUGACAGAUGACAAAAUGUCAUCAAGAAGAGGAAACAGCAGUGCCCAAUUUCCAUAACAUGGUAGCUCAAAACUCUGGUAGCAGAAUAUAGAAUCUAUGCAUACAGACGCAACCUAGAAAUCUCUGCAAUUGCUAACAGUAGAAAAAAGUUCUGGAUGCUCACAAAUAGAGUUGGUCUGUCGAUAAUCAGACAUCUGUUACAAUGAAUUGUCAAAUGUGACCUAAAGGACUCCCCCUUUAUCAAGUGUAUCAUCAGCAGUCAAGUGUAUAUGCGUAUGUGAACAUAUAUGAAUCUUUCAUUUUAAUCAUUAAUAUAGCUUGCUAACAAUUCUAUUCACAAGCAUUCUCUCUCCAUUACCUUUUAGCAUUUACAUCAAUGGCAUGCUCAUUUCCUAGUUCUUUGUCCAUUGAUGCAUCCAUUUCUUUUUUUCCCUGUCGAACUCAUCUCUCUUAUUUAGAAUGCCAAAUCUUUUGAGAAAUGACACAAAAAUUUCUCUGGUUGCAGAAGAAUCUGUGAUAGAAGCUAAGCAACCAAUAGGAUCCUGAGAAAUCAAAACUGAGCGUGAUAAUAUAACUCAUAUUAUGUAUGUCAAUUACUAAGCAAUGGGAAAAGUAAAAGGUAAUCCGUGAGCAUUGACUGAAUAUAUAUAUCUCAGAGUUAAAGUUCUUUAAGACGGCUACUCAAUACAGCUUCCUUUUGCUAAUUCAGUGCUAUCCACAGGACUCAAUCCUCUCUUUCGAAAAAUUCAUUUGCAAAAUUAUUGAACGCUUUAUAGCGCCCAGAAGUUUGAUCCAAUUAACAAAGCAUCCACAAAGUUCUAUAACUCACAUGCAUGACGAUCCCUUCCACAAUGACCAACCUAAUCUAUCUGACCGACUCUAGUACUUUAAAGUAUUUUGGUGUUCCAUGGUGAGUUCAGGGAGGGUAGACACUUGGUACACAACAUUGAUGCCACUUCACUUCUCAUAACUUUAAUUCUUUUUAACUUUUCCUUUGAGGUUUUCUAAUAACAAGUACGUGAUCCAUUGUUUCAAUGCCAACCCAACCUCAACAUAACUUUGACUUUUUUUAUUCCUUUUAUUUUUUUUUGGUCCAUUUCUAAAGAAUAAUUUGUUGUCAAUAAGAAUAUAAUAAAAAACCAUAAAAAUUCUAGCUUAUGCAUGGCUAUCAUGCUUCUAACAUAUGUUUUUUGGUAGGAAUGCUUCUAACAUAUGUUUCUACCACACAAAAGCAAUACCAUUAUUUUCCUUCACCAUUUUACAUUAAAAUAUAAAAUUACGACCAACAAAUAUAGAAAAAUAACUAAUCAAGUAAAAUUAUAUUAUCUAAUCCAAAUUUUAAUGAUAUGAACUUGUUUUUGCACAUGUUAACACAAAUUUCAACUUGCUUAUAAUAUUUUACAAAUUUAAAAGGAAAGGACAUGAAAAAGUUCAAGUUGAAUUUUAAAUUGAUAGUCAAAAUUAUAUUUUCUCAAAUCAGUUCAACUAUAGCUUCCUGAAGUGACAGGACCACAUGUCCUAUAGAAUCACCCUAAUUUAUCAUGCCAAAAAAAGUUGCAUUAUUUCAAACCUACUGGGCCAAUUCUCCACCUAAUGCUUUUCUCCAUAUACAUAAUUUUUCAUCUGAAGAUUCGAUAUUGUCAAUGGCAUGAGAAAAGGAUAGACAAUCAUGCCGAGUAGAGGAUCCCAAGUAAGUUGUAUAAUUUUAGGAUCACUGCAUCUUGAAUUCACACUUCAUUCUAGGGAGUCAAAAGUAUAUAACUAUUCCGACAGUGAAGGUUUUUCUCUUAAUUUUUUAAAAGCUGCUGUUGUCUGGUGGGGCACACUUGGGAACUAUUCUCUCAUGCAAAGCAGGGAUGGAACAAUAUUUUUCCCAUAGGGCAGGGAAUGGGAACAAAAUUCCUGGCCUGCUCCUCCCAAUGGCAACCACUAGUGCGUGCAAUUCAAACAGUGCCUUAAAUGAUGCAAUCAGAAGUAUUAAUUGUACUUAAGGAAAAAUUACAAGUCAAAAGGGCAGGAGGGGGGGGGGGGGGGGAAAAACACAACAGAAACUUCCAGCUAGAAUCCCAAAAUGUUUUAAGCUUCCAUAGGAUAUCAAAUAGCACAUAAUGACCUAAUAUAUGUCAAUGUAGCCAACCCCAUCUACGUGAACUGUCUCCACAAUACUUUCUAAAGCACUUAUAAGAAUGAUGCGGCCUCACUAGGAAGGAGAUUAGGCAGGUCUGAAUCUGACCAACCCAACAAUCAAAUUUAGCAUGUCAACUGCCUCGUACUAAACAGAAACCUUUGAAUUCCUCUAUACUUCUUCCAGCAAUUAACAUUGACAGAAAGAGCUCCUACUAGUUAUACUAUUUUCAAUCUGGACAGGACUGAGGAGGGAGAUGGAGCUUGGAUUAUCAUAGAGUAUUAGUAUCCUAUUAUUAUCUUAUAGUGCACAUGAGUCCUAUUAGCAUCUUUGAGAUGAGGCAUAUGCCUAAAAAAUUGGAGAAAAAGUUCAGACAACCAAAGUAAGUGGAAAAUUAUGAAUAUGAAAGGGGAGAGGAGAAAACAAUUGUGCAAUAACUAUUACGAAAUUUAGUAUAGAGCCAAAAAAGACUUUAGUGAUUGAGGGAGAACCUUCAAGUAUGACCUUGUCACAGGAAUGGAAUCGACAAAUAAGUCCAAUAAAAGUUGAAGCAACUCAGUAGAGCAUGAACUUAAAGCCUUGAUAUUUCUGCUUGUAGUUUUCUUUGAGUAAAUCAGUAGAGUUUGCAAUUCUAAUCCGGAUGCUUGCACAUUGCAGGUGUCUAAAUAUUUAACUACUCUAAAGCUGAGUACACUUGUAUUCUGAUUCACAAGGAUCAGCAGAAUUAGAACAGUACUAUCAGGAGAUAUGAAAAUGGUAUAACAACCUCUUCCCAGCUAAAGAACAAGUGUGAGCCAAAUGUCACCAAUGUGGCAAGAAGAUCACCUUUAAAGCAAGAGCCACACUUUCAUGCAUAAAAGAAUAUUUUUUAAGAAAAUCAGUCAAUAAUACUGCCAAACGUCUAAACUGUUUUGUCUGUGUCACUUGAACCCCAGCAAAAGGCCGGUAACAGUUUCCAAAGGUCAUGAGCAUGACCCAGCAGCUCCUUACCAAGUACUGAUUUCUUAACUGGAGAAAAGAUAAACAGAAGCACAAUCAAAUCCCCGAUGUCACUAAAAUGUUAAUGAUGAACUGAACAAUUGAUAUCUACGUGAGCGCCAACUGUACCACGUAGGAUGGCCAGUGUGCACAAUUGAUAUUCAUAUCAACAAUUUUCUAUCAAAAUUAGCCAGUGAAUUUAAUUGGCAAAAUUUGAAAAUAUUUAGGACUCAAUUGAUAUAGUUGAAAAGUUUAUGAUUAAAUUGACACCGGUGCUAUAUAUAUAGACACACGCACAACUGUCUUUGUGUUUGGCUCCUAGAGAAGUCCAAUAAUUUUUAAACUCAAAUAUUUAAAAAAUUAUAAAAAUAUUAUAUGAGAACUAUUGUGGCAAAUGAAAUUUCAAGUGCUUGUAAUUUUUUUUGAAAGUCCAAUUAUGUGCGUAAAUAUUGAAAGAAACUUUUAACUAUUUAAAUAGUCAUCGUCGAAAGAGGCUGAAAUUUUCCAAUUACAGGAUGAGUCAUGGAAUCGUAGCGAGGAGGGGUUUUGUACUUUGACUUUGCUUUGGCCUAACAUGGCCUCUUUUAUCUCAGUUACAUGUUAUAAACGUGGACACCAACCGCAGAAAAAUCAAGGCACAUAAAACAAAAGUUGACUUAGACCAAACAAUAAUGGUUCCACGGACCACGUCAUGCACAAGACCUAAGCAAAACAUAAUCUUCUAUGCAUGUCUAAUCAGAUUAAUGUCGAGUCGUUGAGGGUUGUUUUAAUACCGUCAAUCAACGCAGUUAUAUUCAACACGCAAGUUUCAGAGCUUUGAAAAUUCCAGGUUAACUUUAAGUAAUGGAUUCUAAGCAUGGAAUCUCGUCACUUACCUUGAAAUCUUCCUUGACUACAAGAAACCAUGUAGAUUGGAACAAUUUUCCAUUGUAUGUUUCAAUACUCUUGAAAUUUCGAAAGCUAUUAUAUUUUUAACAAUUUUCGACCGUCAUCAAUUUGUAACCAUUUUUAUCUGCCAUUACUUUAUUACAAUUUUAUACUUCUAACGGGGUUGGAGUAAAUCUCUUAAUUAGACAAAUAAGAAAAUAGUCAAAUCUCAAUCACCUCUCCUUUCGAGCUUCUAAUUAAAGAUAAGAGAUUUCUCAAGCCCUAAUUAGUCAACUGGACUAUUAGAGAUAUAUUUAAAAUAUUAUAUGAUUCUAUAUAUUAUUAUAUGGUUCUAUAUAUUUCCUUUGAUUGGUCUUGAUUUGUUACUUUAGAUAGUUAUUAUAUAAAGCCUAUAAAUUAGCUCGUGUAUAUCUUUAUUUGAUGUUCUACAUAAUAUUACAUCUUUCAGUCAUUAUGAUUCUCAACUUGGAUGAAAAAAAAUCAACUCCUCAAAAGUAGAACCUCGUCAGUUUACUUGCCUAGCCGCCCAAAACGUUAUUAGUAGACUACACUAUGACAUCACUUCCCUAAAGGUGAUUCGAUUUUUGACCUUUUAAUUACUGUUUUUUUGGUCGAAAACCUAUUAAUUGCACCUUUUUAUUACUGUUGGCGCGGUGAUUUUUGAACUCGACAAGGAUUGCCCAGUCAACCAUGCAACGAGGGGACAAUUUCUACAAUGAGAAACACGCACGCAUGCACUGACUAUGGGAGUCUUCGGAGACAAUUAUUUGUUCCUGCCGACACUAAGGACCCGACCUCCAUGAUUUGGCAAUUUGCUUUUGCAUUCAUAAUCUGGAACGCGGAAUUUAUGCUAAAGAGCUUCUUUGAAUUUUCGAUGUCCCUCUUUUCUUUUUGUGAUAGAAAACUUUCCACGUGGAUGUUUUAUCGUGUUCAAAAGAAAUGUCAACCUUUCAGAUCUACAUCAUGUUUCCAUGAAAGUCUUUACACAUUGCAUUGCGAAGGUGUGUUGAAGAUCCCCAUUCAACCAGCGAAUGCGUCAAAUGCGGGAAAAUUAUCAUAUUAGGUAGAUAGAAUAUGAUUUUCGGCAUAUAAAUAAUAUGAGUCGAAACGUAUACUAUGACCCAUCUUAAAUUUUGAGACCCAUGUUCUCCCUUAAGUCUAAUCAUGGAAACCCAUGACCCACAUGUAUUUAAAUUCUCUAUUCCUUUGUUUUCCAAUUUGAUUUACAUGUUUCUGAUCUUGAUAUUUUCUAACUUUAUUUUGAUCUUAAGUGCACAUGCCAUCACCUUAUGAGAGGAGCACGGAUUAAAAGCAAUGUGAAUAGAUGAGAUCCGCCACUUAUUUAAAAAAGAAAAAUCAUUUUUUUGCUUUGUCAAUUUCUUGACAUUAACUCCUUUCCAAUCUCUAAACCUUCCAAUGUCCUAUUAAAAAGUCUAAAUCAUUCAAUGCUUUUCCACAGUGAUAUUGAAAGCCUAUCCCUUUCUCGAGUCAUGGAAAAAUUACCUCUAUAGCUUGCCACCUAUUUUAUCUUAAAUUAAAAUUUAAGUUCAUUUUUUCAUAGUGACACACAAUUAUUAAACCGAUGAUAGUUAUAAAAUUGACAAUAAAAACCUUUCCAAAUAUCACUAUUUAAAUAAAUUUUCACUAACGAUUACAUCUAUAGUCAUAAAUCAAACCUAAACCUAAGUGAUUUAAGAAAUAUAGCUAGAUGGAAAAAUAAAUAAUCUUACCUUAUAGUGAUGGCCCGCUCAUUGAACGCGGUCCAAUUUGCAUUCUCAGACCCAAUCAAGUUGCAAAAGCUAACCAACGAUCAACGUCAACUCGGUAUGGACUUCACUUAGUUCCCAAAAUUCAGUCCCUUGCAUUGCAUAAAACGAACCAUUUUUACUAAAUUUUUAUUGCAGAGUUGAGAGAGAGAGAGAAAAGGAAUGGCAUGACAUUGAACUGUUAGAUUCUAUUAAUUAAUUCGAUAAUAAAGUUAAAAAAGUAACUACUGGAAGUAAUGGUCCACCGAGAUACAGGUACUUGUCGGAUUCCACUUAAAGCAGCCCUUCUUUUUCGUUCUUUUUCGAUUAGUUACUUAGAGUGCGUUUGGUAACGCUUUUGUUUCCAGGAAUAAUUUUUUAUCAAAAAUAAAUUAUUUUUUUUGUUCUUCAGAACAAUUUCUAAAUAUAAGAACGCACUUGAUAACUGCACAAAAUUUAUAUUUCUGGGAAAGAAAUGUGUUUGGUAAAAUUGUAUAAUUUUGUUGUUUCUUUUAAUUUUUUAAUAUUUUUAUUAUAAUUUUUCUUCUUUUCUUCUCUCUUUUUUCUUUUUUUGUCUCUCUCCUUCUUCCUCUUUUGUGGCCGGUUGCCAGUGACUAGGUUGGCGAGGUCCGACGAGCUCACCGAAGCCUUCUCGGGCCAAGGCGGGAGUUGGCGAGCUCGCCGGAGGCUUGCCUAACCCCCGCAAGGCUCAGCCUCGCUAAAUUUAGGCGAGGCCGAGCCUCAUCGGUGGCCUCCGAGCAUCACAAGGCUCGACCUUGCCCAGGCAGUGCGAGGUUGGCCUUACCUAGCCUAGGCGAGGCCGAGCCUUGCCAUCCCUCGCCUAGCCAUGGCAAGGCUCGAGUUGACGAGCCUCGCUGUGGCUCGGCAUUUCCAGGGGCCAACAACAUUCCGGCAAGGUCGCCGGCCCUCAUCUAAUCGGUUGCCGAUGCCAGCCAUGGCCAAGGCCAACGACCAGCCAAAAGGAAGAAGAAGAAGAAGAAGGAAAAAAAAAAGCAAAGAGAGAAAUAUAUUCUAGAAAUUGUUCUUGGAAAUAAGAAAUUACUUUUAUCUACUUCUCAUUUCUGUUCCAAAUCUAUUCUCGAAAACAAAAAUUUUACCAAACAAGUUUCUAUUCUUUUUUCGUUCCCCCAAACAAAAGAACAAAAAUAGUUGUUCUAGGAAAUAGAAACAGAUUUUAACAAACAGCUCUUAGGAUGCAAGAUUUGGUUUUCAAUUUUAGUGGAAGUCUGUUGGUUUAGAAAUCAGGAUUUACGAAGUUGCAGCAGAUCCGCUGUUUUGCUUUGCUGGGUUGUAAUUGUAAUAGGUGCAACGAAUCACCCACCUUUGAAGUGGACACUUCAAUUUUCGUUGUGGGAUGUUAAGUGUCAACUUCAUCCAUAUUCACUCGGCCCCCACCUCUCAAAUCUCAGGCGGAGCAGACGAACCCAUUAAGCUUUCGGUUUCGGUUUCAACUUGUUUGAUUCUUUUGACAUUAACCAAAGGUUGUUUUGGGCUUUGACUCAUAAUAUAGAACCAUUGAUGGAAUGGAAGUAGUCCGCUGAUGAGGUACGAUGAGGUAGUAAUCCAACAUUUGCAAGAAACAGUGACUAGACAUGCAAGUUUCUCCAGAGAAAUGUUGCGGGUAGACAUACAAGUUUCUCUUUCAUCAUUUCUCAAAGAUGGGAAAGAUGAAAUUGGCCGACCAUCAUCCACACUAAAGACAAAAAAUUGGCAUCUGCUAAGAGAAAUUCUUGAGUAGCAACAUAUAACAGGCCGAGCUCAUGAACAAAACACAUCCAGAGCAAGAAGGUGCCACUUCGCACAUCUCGCCAUUGAAACAAAUGAAAUGCUUCCAUAAUAGAUUCCCUCCUUGCAGUGGCCAACACAUCGUUAUUGUGUGAAGAGGAAGAAGUUGCAACAUUGUUGCUCUUUGAAUAACAAAUGGAAAGAGAUAGCACGAAUACAAACACCAAACUACAAGCCCUUGUCUUUAGGCUUUCCCCACUAAUUAGUUCACAAUACCCAAUUACUGCACUGCAUAACACUCGUUUUGUUUAUAUUACCUAUACCUUCAGUUCCAAAUGUAAGCAAAAGAGAAACUUCGAAGCAACAUUUAAGAGUUCUGCUGCAAGGAUUACCCAAUGAAGCCCUAGUUCUUUCAAUAACUAAUUUACUUAGAACACAACAAACCAUUUCUUACUCUCUCUCUUGUGCCAGUAAUCAGUAUCCAGAAGUACCGGCAGAUGCAGACAAAGUGGUUCCAGUCCAUGGCCCUUCAAUAGACAUACUCUUGCUGAUAUUCUCACCAACUGCCUGAUGUUCGUCACCUCUAAAAUGCUUCUUCAUGGCCUCAAUUUUCUCCUGAGUCAUGAUAGUGCCCGCAGAGUCCAGCACUGGAACAGCAACCUUGCCUUCAAGCAUGCUAACCACAGAUGACAUUGGCGGCCUGAGUGCUGGAGUUACAUUAGUACACAUCAAAGCUACCUUUAUCAAUGCCAAUGCCUCCUCUUUGUUAAAGUGAGAACCAAGCCUCGGAUCAACUAGUUCUAUCAAAUUCUCUCCCUCCUUCAGAAAGUGUGCCUAGAUACAGAAAUGUAAAGUGAAGGCAUUUCCCUUUCAAGCUUCAGGUAUUGAUCAGUUGCAAAAUAUGCUCUAAAUACUGAAACAGGAAGAAGUAUAUUAUCUCCCUUGAUAAUUACACGGCAAAUGCAGUUGAUAAGCACCUGCUAGUUCUAGGGUAUAAAUGGAUAAAAAGAAUCGAAUGAGUCAAUACAGAUCCAACAUGAUUUUUUUUACCGAUUUUAAAUAAAAGAUACUAGACUACAACAUCACUUACUAAUAGUUGACCGGUUGCCAAGAAAUCACCUACACCGUUUAAAAAUCGCCAGCUAUUGUCGAGUUUUAUCAGCACAAAUUAUUUGCCAGUGUCAUUACAUGAAACGGCAGACUUGUCUUUCAAUGUUCUUGAUUAUGCAACUCAGGCGACAAUCAGAUUUAACAAGGACUAAUAAUGAUGGUUUGCUCUAAUGAUUGCUCACUCAAAGCAAAACAAAAUCUAACUUAAGGAGUCAAUCAUAUGAAUGUGAAAAAAGUUAUACCUCAAUCGAAAGUAUAUGGAUAUUCUGGUCAAGACAUGGUCUUGAAAACUUUUUAAUUUAACAGUAAUUGCCAAAAUUCAAUAGUAGUCGAAGGACUUGUUUGGCGCUAAUGAAACUACAGGGAGUAUGAAUGUCAAGCAUAAAAACAUAAAGACUAAAACUGAACUUUCAAGAUCCAUCCUAAAUUAUGGGGUCAACUUCCCCAAAUUUCAAGGGAUAGAAUUUUCUUCAUUCCAAAAAAAAGAAAAAAAAAAGAAUCUACAUGAAAAUUCAGAGUAGACCAACAUGAUAAGAAGAAUUGGAUUAAUUUGCAAUAACAAAUUGCACUUAACAGCAUGACAAUUUGUUAAGCAAGUUUCAAUAGCUGUUAACUGUGAAACUCCUUUGCAACCAUUGAAAGUGCAUGUGAGGAUUUAAAUACGGAUAUGAUCAUAAUUGAAAUGAUAGAGUUGAUUACCCAAUCGAGUAGAUUAAAGCAUUCCUCAGUUCUUUGGGAGCUAGUGUUGCUUCGGCCAUUAACAACUUCUAAGGCAACAACGCCAAAACUAUAGAUGUCGGCUUUGUCAGUGAGAUAACCAUGCAUUGCAUACUCCGGUGCCAUAUAUCCACUGCACAACAAGAAAAGAGCUUGUGUUUGCAACAAGGUAACUGCCUUAAAUAGCACAUACUUAAUAUUCCUAAAAUUCAAAAGAAAGAGUCGUUCCUAAAUGUGACGCUAUGGUCUAAAGAGUAGAGGAAAUAAACAAAUGCAUCCUAAUAUAUUCAAAUAUAUCAUUUACCGAGAAUAUUUCAGGAAAUAAAAAAGAUCAUUGUUGUUCUUUAUAAACUUUUUUUUUGGUUUGAAAUAUAAGUAUCAUUUAUAAGAUGACGUACAUGAGUUUAAGGGCAUUUCCCAGCAUUACAAAGAUAUCUAAGAACAUGCAAAAAUGGAGUGAGGGAAUCUCCAUAUAGUACCCAAUAUUACAUUUAUUUGGGAAGGCCUAAAGUUUUUGUAAUGUGAAGCUCGCCCUAUAACAAGUUUACGAAUUUUAGCCACGAUGAUGGGGACAUCAUUUGACUUGUUUUGGAAAUGUCGAUAGUUACAUUUAUAGUUCUUUUUGUAGAAUGAACGUUAGAGUUAGUAGAAUGAACUUACAAUUUUAUCUUUUCCCUAAUUAAUCACAUUCCUUUCAAAAACAAGUUGACUUUUCACACGCAUUAAUGCAAACAUCUAAAACAUGUGAACAUGCUUAUCUAUGUUUUUCCAUGUGCAUACAAUAGAAACAUGGGCGAAUUUGCUAUAAUACUAAGUUAUAUUCAAAUUAACAAUUACAUAAGUCAAUAUCAGAGUAUCAUUACUUAAUGGUAGAGUAUGACACAAUUUACAUUUUUUUCCUAAUUAAUGUAAAGAGUGGUGGGACAGUCAUAAAGCUUUGUGGUUAAGCUGAAUUUGUUGAGCACCAUGCUUUGGGAUGAUGUGAAUCCACCACAAAGCUCCAUUCAACUCACUUUUCUUAAAUCAGAAUAUAUGUUUCUAUUCCAUGCUUUUAUGUUGUCACUGGCUCCUACUUAGGUUAACAGGAACAAAAAGCAAGAAACUUACUAAGUUCCAGCAAUCUUGGUGCUAAUAUGUGUUUUUUCCUCCUCAUCAAGCUUUGCUAAACCAAAAUCCGAUAUUUUAGGGUUGAGAUCCUUAUCCAGUAAAACAUUAGUAGCCUUAAUGUCUCUAUGCACAAUCUUCAGCCUUGACUCUUCAUGAAGAUAUGCCAAUCCCCUGGCAAUACCCACGCAUAUCUUGUGUCUUGUCCACCAAUCCAACUUUAACUGAAAUUCUUCAGGACCUUCAAUUGUAUCAGAAGACAUCAAAGCUGCUUUACUGCCAUGUCAUUAACUGAAGUCAAUGAAGCACAAUGUGAUAUCAAAUUACCAAAUAAAGCGCGAGCAAGACUGUUAUUUUCCAUGUACUCGUAAACCAGCAAAAGUUGAUUUCCUUCAAUGCAGCAUCCAUAGAGUUUCACAAGAUGUGGAUGCUGAAGAGCAGAAAUCGUCCCAAUCUCAGUCAGGAACUCAUUAUUUCCUUGUUGUGAUUUGGAUGAAAGCUGCUUCACUGCUAUAGUGGUGCCAUCUGACAGAAAACCCUGCAAUUCAACUUUGGCAUCAGAUCUAUGUUGUGAAAAUUGAGUUACAUUGAAUGCUGCUUUCUACAUAUCUUCUCUCUUGGGAAUUGGGGGAAUUUGGUUAGUCAAUUUUCCAGCAUACCUUGUAUACAGAACCAAAACCACCUUCUCCUAUCUUAUUGGCAGCGUCAAAAUUGUUUGUGGCAGCUUUAAUCUGUCGCAAGGUAAAUAAACCAAUUUGCGACGCUAGACCCUUCAAAUCUGCAACACGUUUCAGAACUUCUAUGAAUUUGGAAAAGUCAACAGUUAAAGUAUGUAAUCCACUAUCUAACAAAGAUGUAUCAAUUCCUUCUCAAUAUUCCAGAAAACCUUUUUGUGACGUUUUGGUCUGAGCAAGUUCAGUACAGAAUAGCUUAGCAUCUUGAAAAUUAUUUUCUAGGAAAGUCUGGCAUCAGUUGGCAGUAUGUAUUUUUGAAAAGUAAAAUGAGAUUGUCCCUAGGGUAUUUAAUAGUGAAGGAAAAUAAAAAUCAUACAGAGAACCCCCUUGGAAACAUAGGGUAUGGUUUGCAUGUUUUUAACUUCUCAUGCACGUGAAGUUCUGGCAGCUAUUUUUGGUGUCUUAAAACGUAGACUUUGUGUAUACACACACACACACACAUCUGAGAAACAAUCUACUGUCUCUCCCUAUAACUAUCUAUUCCUUCAUUUUUCGGAUUUCUAAAUAAAAAUUUAGUUUGUUAAGCAAACCAACUGGUUCUAUGACACUUUAGCUGUAUAUCGCCUAAUAAUAAUCUUUGGCUUUUUGCAUCGAGCCAAAUUCCCUAUGGAAUGCACAAAUGUCAUGCAUCAACAGUUUUAUGGGAACUGUAAAUCUAGAUGGAGCAUUAAUGAUCCAUUGUCAUUACACUUUCCCCAACCAGGAAAGUAAGAAGAAGAAGAAAAAGAAGUAUCAUGUGCCAACAGUGUGACAGGACAACUGUGCGAUUUAGCUGAAAUAUAAAUGAAGCAAUGUGACUAUCCUCCCUCUCCACCAGAAUAUGGAAGGGGGAAAAUGUAUUCAGAGUGCAUAACAUUCUCAUAUUUCUUGACAAAUACACAUGGACUAAAUAGCGGAGAUUCCAGGUAAGCAACUACCUUGUGCCAUUUUAUCUUUACGUCCAAGGCAUCCUCUCCACCAAAGGAUAACCAGGAUAAGGAAAACUACAAAAACUAUAGCAGUCAGAAUCCCAGCCACUGUGCCAGCAGAUAUGCUGGCCGGGGGAUCAAAGCCUGUAAUGAAGAAAGAACAAACAAAUAUUUAACCAAAACUGUUAAAUGGGGUAGACGUAAAUGCAGAAAAAUAUCUGUAACUUCUUGUUGAACACAAAGAAAUUGAUGGAGAACACAAUAAUUGAGAAUUAAGAGGACAUAAAACCGCCCAGAGUACUCCACAGAAACUAUCAGAUAAAUGAGCACAGGAAGAUAUCAUCUAUGGAACAUGUAAUACAAAAUACAAAGGGAAAAAAAAAAACAAAAACAAAAAAAAAUUCUACUCUUCAUUCUCAAGGCUGUACUGUAUUAUACAGGCACAGUGGUUGUAAUCCAUAGCAGAAAAGUGAACAAGGCUAUCAAUUCGUAGUCAAAUGGAAGGAUUAAAGAUACAUAGAGAAAACAUGCUCAGAUAGAAAGAACACAAAGCAACCUAUAACCAAUUUUCAACUCUAAGAGAAUAAUAAUAGACCCUGGUCAGCUAUUGUGUGUAAUUGACUUGAUCUACAAAGACAUAUGCCAAUGGCCUGAAUCCAACAGUAGGCAUUUGCAACCAAACCAAGUAACUGAAUAGCCUAUUGAUGACUUCUGGUGCAAGAAAAAAUAUAGGUAUUCCUUUCAACAUGAAUAAGAGUAACUUUCUCAACAGAGAAGCACCAAGCGAAACAUGGAUGUAUCCAUCUGCGUACCAGGGUAGACGGAGAUAGCAGAUAUAAGAGGACCAUAGACUCCUACGUCAGGUAUAGCAGUGGUUCCUUUCCCAGCCCAAUAGAAGCGUAUCUCCAGAGUGCCCUUGGUCACGAUGGCAGCAAAAUUUCUCAUGACCUCCUUUCCAACUCCACCUGCUUCACUCUCAAUGUUGAAAUCUUUCCAAACCAAUUUCCCCUGAAAUAAUAUUUCAUCUGAUUCAAGUUGAGGUUCUCCACACUGAACAAGGUAAAACUUUCAGUCUCCAUAGAAUGUACAAAUUGUGAAAAAAUCAUGAUUUGCAAGUACAAGAUAUUUGGAUAAACUUCCCAACCAUAACAUAUUGAACGCUUUAUGUGCUUUAUAUAUUAGAACCAGCACUCCAUAAUGCUCUGAGUUUACCUGUAUAUAAAUAUUAAAAGCUCUCCUUCCAAGGCUUUUAUAACUUUUGUCGCCUGUGAACAUUAUCUCCGCAAAAUGAAGGGUUACAUUGUAGGGCCCAUCCAUCAGACAAAAACCGUAAUAAGUUAGAGAGAUGGCAGAACGUCGUGCUUCCAUGUAAAGUUGGGCAUUAUUCAUGGACAGUGUGGAUGUGUUUUUAACUUCAUAGCCAACUGCAGUGCCAUCGUCAUCGGUGAAGUCACCAGUGCUACUGUAGGCCCAGUAAUUACUCUUGAAGAAACUUGAAGGUGUAGCCCUCUGUGAGUCAUCUUCGUAUGUGAUGCCCCUUACUUUUGCUUUGCUC
This 135525-nucleotide long non-coding RNA is filed under the name Eucalyptus grandis. RNAcentral's name for it is "long non-coding RNA (EGRA_LNC006432)". The record is from RNAcentral. Lineage: Eukaryota; Viridiplantae; Streptophyta; Magnoliopsida; Myrtales; Myrtaceae.